This 98222-nucleotide long non-coding RNA is filed under the name Solanum tuberosum (potato). RNAcentral's name for it is "long non-coding RNA (STUB_LNC002334)". Lineage: Eukaryota; Viridiplantae; Streptophyta; Magnoliopsida; Solanales; Solanaceae. The record is from RNAcentral.
UACAAGCAGAUAGAAGCUUUUUAACGUUCAUAUAAUGUGAUCUUGCCAUGUAUAAAAGGAAACAAGUUGAGAUGUUGCAGAAAAAUGUGUCAGUAUUUACCUCAUAAUCUAUGUCCUUUUGAUGGUUGCCUUUUAUUUAUUAGGGAUACAUGGAUCCUGAAUAUUACAUGACAAACCAGUUGACAGAGAAGAGUGAUGUUUUUAGCUUUGGAGUGGUGCUGCUUGAGAUAGUCACAGGAAAAGUUCCUAUUGAUAAAGGAAGAUAUAUUGUCAAGGAAGUGAAGGAUGCGAUGGACAUGACAAAAGAUUUGUAUAACCUUCAUGAAACUUUGGAUCCUGUAGUUCGUUCGGGUGCAACUCCUAGAAGCUUAGAGGAAUUUGUGGUUUUAGCACUCAAGUGUGUUGAAGAAGGAGGAGUCAAUCGCCCAAAAAUGAGUGAAGUGGUGAAACAGAUUGAAAAUAUUAUGGAGAUUGAAAGACUGAACCCCUAUGCAGACUAUGCAUCUACUUCAGCAACCUAUGAAGGAGAAAACAAAGGCUUGAACCAUCCUUAUACUGAAAGUCUCUUUGUCUAUAGUGAAGCAUAAUUUUCUCAUCUUGUAUUUUUUCAAUUGGAUUACAAAAAAGCACAAAACAAAACAAGAAAAGAAGGGAAAAUAGUCAGUAUAGGGUUGGUCACUUGUACUUGAAUUAGAAGUAAAAUUGCCAUCAUUUUAGGAACAGUCUGAAGAUUCAGUAACUAAGUAGUUCAGGACAUUGGUUUCUCCAACAAAGCAGAGAAAUACCACACAUUCUUAUCGAUCCCUCGAUCAAGCUCUAGCAUAGGAAGAUAAGCUACAUUUAACUGUGAUUCCAGGCAGAAGAGUCCUCCAGGCCUCAGAGCUCUGUAUAUGUCAUAUUGAGUGAACUCAAGCAUGGUAUCCAGAAUCCAAUUGUUCAAGAUACGAAUAGAGUGCAGGAUAUCCAGAGUAUUCUUGAAGAAAGGAAGCCUCUGGGAGACGCCAACGUGCAUUGAUAUUAAUCCCCUGAAUGCAAUGAAGCUGUUGAAUGGACCAACCAAAUUCAUGGAAGUUGUUACAAUGGUUACAUUCCUUUCCUUCAUCCUAGCAACCGUACCGAGGAAUUCUACUGAAUUCCGUGCAGCUAUGUUGAUCUUCCAGAGUCUACCCAAAGGUUCAAGCCAGAUUGUAGGAAGUGGGUGAUACGUUUUUGUAUUUCUAUGAGAAGCUCGACGGAACCCACAAUUUCCAAGUAGUAAGUUGUUGGCAUAUCGCGUCGUAACUCUAUCCUAGAUUUAAAUAGAGGUAGUCCUAGAUCAAACUAUUAGGAAUCAAAGCAAGAAAAGUAGCUGAUGGAACGGGGGAUCACACCUUUAGAAGUUUUUGAAAUCCCAACAAUAUUUACUAUAUAAAAAGAAUCCAGAAAGUCUGAUGGCUUUAAAGGAUAGGGGUUCAAUUGUUCCCUGACGCCUGGUUGCCAUAACCUGAUCCAAAAUUUAACAUGUUAUAACAGAUUAUUUACUACUUUAUGCAUCUGUCUCAUUAUAUGUGAAGGGGUUACUGUUUGGAGAAUCAAAUAAUUUAUUUUACCACAAUUUUCUGAAUUUUUUUAAAAACAUUUUGAAUUAUUAGUUAUGUUGACUUGUAAUACUUUUUGUAUAGAUUUUAAAUAUGUAAACAUUAUUGAAUCUACACCCGGAAUCAUAAUCAAUAUGAAUGUCACUUAUUUUCCUACUUCCACUGAGGAAGCCAUUUUCAAAACCUUACUUUUUUAGAAAAAAUAAUUUCCGAAAAUUUUGACCAAUAAACAUUAAUGAAAAAAAAGUUGCCAAAUUCCCUUUCUUUGGACAACCAAUAUGAGUAGUGAGUGAACCCACCUCAUUAAGAGCAACAUAUCUACCUUAGUCAACACAAUGGACCCAGGCCCUUGCUUCGGAUGAUCAUAGAAAAAUCAAUAUUAAAGUCACAAUAAAUGAUAGGGAACUUACAUAUUUGGCCGCUCACCCAAAAAUAAAAAUCCGCACAUAAAAAUAUCUUAUAUAUAUUUUCUUUUCGUUCAUUUUUACUGGUUCAUGUUUGACUUGACAUACCAUUUAAGGUAAUUCUAUAUUCAAGAGGACUCGAGCCUAUGACCUCUGAUAAACUUUUAUACUUAAAAAAAAAAAACUAGGAUGGACUAUUUUUUCAUCUUUAGAAGAGACAAAAUCAUUCUAAGAGUACUGUACAAGUUAGGGUCCAAUUAAUGCAUGAUGUAAGUUGAAACAUAACCUUACAUAGAGGGAACUGUGUUUUUUAGCCCCUACAAGGGUGUCUCUGUUUUCGUGGACUUAGAAUGUUCACUACUUACUACAACAGUAGUAUUUAGAAUGAUUAAGCUAUCACGUUGUUUGAUUGGGAACAAGUUAUUUUAUAAUUAUUAAUUCCAGAAUAAGUUAUUUCAUUAUUACGUAUAUGAAAUAAUUUAUCUUAUUACUAAGAUAUAAAUGGUGAGAUAAAUAAUCUCAGAACUGUCUAAUGCCUUCAAUCAAACGCACGGUAAAAAGUAGACCUACAUUUUAUUUCUAAAAUUAUUACAUAUCUUAUACCUCACAUUAAACACUGCUCAAGUUUACGGAGAGAGAAGACUCGUAUACGUAGAGAGAUAUUAUCCUUUUGCUGUUUAGAGAACAGUUUAAUCCUCAAAACAAACCAAACACUUGUGGUUUCUCUUUCUUCCCAUUAGUCUUUUUUUUCUCUCUUCAUUUUAGUACACAUAUUGGCCCAUAAGAAGAAACUUAGGUUGCAUGGUGGUGGAUUUAAACAAUGGUCCAAACAAGAACAAUCCAACUGAUCAUCUUUUGUCUGCUUAUUAUUUCUAUGCAAGUUUUGGUGCAGCUGGGAGCUUCAACAAAUUCUGGUGACUGUAAGUCCUACUUAUCACAUCUCUUUUGUUGUUUUUUUACUCUAAUAAUCAUGAAUUUAACUUGUAUACACCAUAUCGCGAAUAAAAAAUAAAGUUAUACUAGUACCUAGCACAGUUUAACAUGUUAUAUCGUAAGUUACUUAUUGUAAAUAGUUAUUUUUUAAAUGAUCUGAGUUAUGAAAGCAAAUUGUUUUCAUUUCUUUUCGGGUUUUUUUACUAGGGAAUAUAUUAGUGUCCACUAUUUUGACUCCAAUUUGUUUUGAUCCCAUUUUCGAGUUCAUUACUUAAAAGGUCAUUUCAAUUAUUAAACAUAGUACUGUUUUUCGUUGUUUUGUAUCAGAAAAGUCAAAUAUGAUUUUCUUCAUCAAUUUCAUUCCGUAUGUUCUGAAUUUUUUUAAAAAUAAUUAGUGUAUGGUAUUUUUGUUCAAAAAUAAAAUGAUUGGUGCAGAUGUUGUGUUAGAGCCACUGAAGGAAGAGUGGGAAAACAUACCUCCAAGUUGGGAUGGGUCUGAUCCUUGUAACGAUCCAUGGGAAGGCAUCGACUGCAACAAUUCACGCGUUAUUUCUAUGUAAGCCUUUUUUUGUGAUUAAAUUAAAAUUGUUAAAAGAGAAUCAUAUUAAUCGGAAAUAAUAACAAUAUUACCACUCUUUAAAUUAUUCCUAAAUUUAUGAAUAAAAUGUUGAAAUUAAGAAAUAAAAACACAAGUGCACUCUGUCAAAAAUUCCAUUUUUCCUUAGCUCGACAACGUCACAUGUUUAAUUCAAUGUUCACCCACCUCAUUUAUGCCAGCUAAAUAAUAUCUUCGAUUUUUUUUUUAAAAAAAAAAAAAUCUUCAAUUUUUUUUAAACACUAGAAUAAAUAAGGAAUUAUUUCCAAAAAAAAGCAAAAUAUUUUUUUUCUUAAAAAAUCUUAAUUAGUAAGAAAAGUACAAAAAUAUGUAACUGUUACUGUAUUUACUCUUCCAUUUUGGUCAGUUCAUGCGUAUAUAUAAUAACUAGUUCUGGACACGUGCGUUGCACGUGUGUUCCAUGUUAAUUCAUGUUGACUCAGCGUCCCAUGUUGAUUCAUUCAAAUAUUUUAUAUAUAUAUAUAUAUUAUUUUUUACAAUAGUCUAGGUGUUUCAUGAGUUGUUAUCGGUAGGUUGUUUAUGUAAACCUAAAAAAUUUAACUUGUUAGUUAACUUAGGCUUGCACAAUAUUUAGAGAGUUUAUUGUUUGCAUUUUUAAGAACAAAUAUGUGGUAUAGAUGCAACAAAUAUUAUGAUAUAUUUAUAUCUAAUAUAAUAUUUAUUACGAUUAUGAUUAUAUUUAAUUUUGUCUUUCACAAAAUUAUAAUAUUAGUAUUUAAUAGAAUGAUUAUUGCUUUUGAAGGCCCACAAUAUAAUGAUGGAUUGUUAGAAAUUUGAUAUUAAUGAAUGAUAUACAUGUGCAUAUAAGAAUAAACUCUUCUUUAUCUAUAGCAAAUUUAUAAGUGGUUUAGACAUUUAAAAUGUGAUUUCUUCUAUGCUCAGAUAUAAGAUAAUUUCACAUUAUUUUAAAUUGUCACCCCCUUCUUCACUUCACAAAAAUUAAAAUUAUUAAUGAGUGACACCCCUUCAAUAUUUAUGAUGUCAUGACGAUUUAAUACUUGAAAGAGGUAAAAUUUAUUUAAAACUCUCAUAUCAGGUUGCAGAUUUCUUAAUUUGGAGAAUUAUAGUUAAAGGAUGAAUUUUAAGAAACUGUUAGAUUAGUUUACUUUUUAAUUAUAUUUCUAUUUUAUAAAGUUUGUAUUGAACUAUUGAUAGAUGUUAAAAUUGAAACAUGAUUAUCGUGUUAUAUUUUGUAAGAACUAUAUUUAAUCAAAUAAAAUAAUUUAAAAAAAUACUUUAUAAUGAGAUGUUAAGAAUAGUAGAAAAUUUCAAAUUGCACUUGAAAAAUUCCUUUCUCAAUCAUGAAUUCGAGCUUACUACUUGAAUCAUGAAAGGCGAUUUUCUCACUGCCUAUUCAAUAAUUGAUUCCUCAAAUAGAAACUAAAACACAUUAUAAAUUGUGAAGUCUACAAGCUAAUAAUUUUCUUUAAAAUGAAAAAUUGCCAAACCAACAAUAAUAUAACAUGCAACCAAAGCUAAACAAAAUUAAUUUAACAUUGCAUCAAACGGUUGGCUAUAUGUGAUUUACACUCCUAGCGGUAUAUUGUGUUAACUGUUGAGUAUAUAUAUUAGAUCAAAACAUCUUCAAUUACAAAACUUCGAUUGCAAUUUCUUAAUAAUUCUCUUUUGAUCUCAUGGCGUGUUAAAAACAACAGGAAAAAAUAUGAUAUUUAAUAUGAUAAUAAGGAAAAAUUUUAAAAUAAUAAUAAUUAUACAUAAAAAAUAAAAAAUAACUUAUCUAAAGCAUGAAUUUAAAUACGAAAAUUAAAAUGUUUUUAUUUGCAACUUAGAGUUUUAUAUGAAUAAAUUUACAAUAAACCGUUACAGUAGAAUUCAUUCAAGGAUUUGAAAUAUCAGAUCAGAUAAAAAAAAAGAAAAUAACAAAUAUAGGAAUAAUGUAAUUUCAUAGAACAUGAAAAUGAUCAUGGUUAUCAAUAAAGUUGCUUAAAAUCCAACUUGUUCUUUUAAAGAUUGAUUUCAACCUCCGGGAAUAUUUCAACCUCCCUUCUCUCAUUGUAAACUCCAUUAGAAGAUCUAACAAUUUGUACACAUUUCCUUUCUGUAAACUAACAACGAAUAUAAGGAGAAUUAGUGAUCAGUGUUAUGAACUGAUGAAGCUAAAAGUGAUAUUAAUACUAAAGGAUAAAAACAAUAUAAAUAUAGACAAUUUUUUUUUUAUUUCUUCCAAAGUGUACCUAAGUCUCUUCAAAGUGUAUAGAUUGUUGUGUACAAAUAACCAACAAUUUAAUAGGACAUCAUAGAGUAAAAAUCAAAAGGUAUCAUAAUCAUGCCAUUAAUUUCUUGAGAGUGUGGGAAGAUUAUGAAGGUGUGAAGAUUAAUGAUGAGAUAGUGGAGGUGUGGUAUUAAUACACAUUAUGAUAAAAAUUACACCUAAAACUGAUCAGAUGGAGAAACGAAAAGUUUCUCUAAUAGUUUUUCGUAACUUUAUAAUUAAUUAUUUUUACAACUCCUCAUUCUCCUAACUUUAUUUUAACAAAAAAGUGAAUCAACUUUAGCAAUUUAGGCAUAUUUAAUAUUUAAUUAAUUAGAUAUUUUAUAAUAUUUUAAUUUAGUAUAGGGAUAAAAUGGUAAUUCAACUUUCAACUUUUUUUGUUCAUGCUUAUAGUAAUAUAUGAUAUGAUAAAACUAAAAUGCUUAUUAUCUAAUGAAACUAGGUAAAAAUUAAAUCAUAUUAAUUUUGUUAAAUGACAUUGCUAAUUGUAAUUUGUGGUACUAAUUAAUGAUUGUGAAUUUCAGAAAAUUAUCAAGCAUUAAUCUGAAAGGGGAGCUAUCUGGAGAUAUCGAAGCGUAUGUCUUCUACUCAUCAUAAUUGAAAAUGUUAAAAUUUGAAAAAAAAAAAUUGCCUAAAUUAUGUUCGCUCUGUUUUAAUUUAUUUGUCUGUUUUGGACUUGACAAAAAAUUAAUGAAAGUAAAUAAGACUUCUGAAUCUUGUGUGGUAAUAUGACCAUUUUUAUUUUUGUGCUCGCCAAAGUGUUCCUAAAGGAUUCAUUACAAAAAAUAGUUUAAUGAUUUAAUUUGGUGUGAUAAAAAUGAAAGUUGAGUAAUCAUCUGUUAAAUUAAUCCUGUUCUUGAAGCACCAUUUUGCUUGUGAUCAAGCAUUGCAUGCACACAAAUAUUUUUGACUGUUGAAAAAGUUUUAAAUUUCUGUUCUGAUUAUCUGUUUCCUUAAUAGGGAUCUAUCAUACAACAAAGGCUUGACAGGUUCACUCCCUCAAUCAAUUGGAAAUUUGAAGAGUUUAUCAAUUCUGUAAGGGUAUUAUUACAUGAUAUGAUUAAAUGUUGUUAAAUUCACCAGCUGAUUUCUUUAGAGUAAUUGCUCCGAGCUGCCUCGCAGGAUCCUUGUUGGUUGUGGGUUUUCUGGACUGAUACCAAACACAAUCGGAUCCCUUAGCCAGCUGGAAUUUCUGCAAGGAUAUCAAUUUCUUCUGUUUGCAGCUUUUUAUGCUUAAUGAAUUCAAGAUAUUGAGGAUAUGGAGUAUUUGAAGAACUUUUAGUACUUAAUGUUUUGUAUAAUAUUGGAAAUUUGGCAUGAGAUGAGUUGGAUGGAGUAACUUGGUCAGUGAGGAUUUAUAUAGCCGACCCCAACUUGUUUGGGACUGACGCUUAGUUAUUUUUGUUGUUGUAGUAAUUCUUGUAUCCCUUUUCGUUGUCAAACUGUGAAGUCUUAGAGCUUCAGGUCUCUAGAUAUGUUAUACUAGAUUGAAAUAUUUUUCCUGUUUCUUCUACUGGGCUACAUUUCUAAAACACUAUCUGAAUCAUGCAGAUAAACAACUUUAUCGGACCGAUACCAGCUUCUGUUGGUAAUUUAUCAAAGCUACGUUGGCUGGACUUAGCUGAUAAUAAGCUCAGUGGACCUCUUCCAAUCUCCCGUGGAAGCACAGCUGGUCUAGACAUGCUUGUUCACACAAAGCAUUUGUGAGUAAUACUGAUUACUGUCUGUUCAUUAAGCAACAUCUUCGUCUCUCAUUUUCAUCUGAUAUACCACUUACCUCGCAGUCACCUGGGGAGAAAUCAGUUCUCAGGUGAGAUUCCAGAUCAGCUAUUCAGCUCAAAUAUGACUCUCAAACAUUUGUAAGUUCCACUAAACUGGAAGUGUGUUUAUAUUUUGACAAUUAUUCGAUGGAUCAACUUCAUUAUUGUCCCACUCCUACGCUAUGGUGCUAGCUCUGACACUUGGCACUACUUCCGUUUGGUUAAUGGUUUCUUCUGUUUGGGUCUUGUAAUUGCACAGGCUGCUUGAGCAAAACCAGCUUACUGGAAAAAUACCCCUUUCAUUAGGACUUGUGCAGACUCUGGAGGUGGUGAUGUUCUGAUUGGAACUCUAUUCUGCUAAGAAAAUGCAUCAAUCUUGAUGUUGUGAUAUUACAGAUUAUGUCUUUCGAUUACUUUAAUUUGAUUAUGUGUCCUAUGGUCAUGUUUUGCAGAGAUAUGAGCAAUAAUACAUUCAGCUCAGCUGAUUUUCCUCAGUGGUUUUCAACUUUGCAGUCAUUGACGACUCUGUAUCCAUCUCUCUCACCCUUUCUCUUUAUCUCAUAACAUGCAUGUGUGUAUUUGUCUCUGAGUUCACGUGCCUCAGCAGAACUCACAUGCAUCUGAAUGUAUAUGUUAUCCUAAUGAAGUGGUUCAUAGAAUUUGUUAUGCACCUCAUUUGUAUUUGUUCUGCUCAUAGUGUAAUGGAGAACACUCAACUUCAAGGAGAAAUUCAGCCAACCCUCUUCAGUCUUUUUCAGUUGCAGACUCUGUGAGUCUUCUUUUACUUUUAGGCCACGGUGCAUGUCAUGCAACUAUUUUCAUUUUUUCGCUGUGUGCUAGUCUUGUAACAAAGUUUGAAAGGCAAUACAGAGUGACCUAGUAUAUGAUUCUAUGUUUUGCAUUUUGAUUUUACGACAAUGAGGUGGUUAUUUAUGACAGCAACUUGAGGGGAAACAAGAUCAAUGGAACCCUGAAUAUUGCAUCCAACUAUAGUAGUCAAUUAAAACUGAUUGAUUUGCAGAACAAUUCCAUCGAUUCAUAUACAGUAAGACCUGGAUUUCCUUUUCAAAUAAUGUAAGUCCUCAAGCCACUUUUUCUCCACUUUAGCAAAGAGAAAGAAAUAAUGGAUCAUUCAUGAUAGGACAUUUGAUUCUUCUGAAUACAAUUUAGUCGUUUAACAAUCUCAGUUUUCUACUUGUUCAUUUGGCAGACUUAUGCAUAAUCCAGUAUGUUAUGAAGAAGGAUCAGAAGACUAUUGUGGCAUUUCCCAAACAAACUUUGGAUAUUCAACUCCACAAGAUAAUUGCCUUAAAACACAAUGCAGUUUUGAUCAAAUUCUUAGCCCUACCUGUAAAUGUGCUUAUCCGUACACAGGCGACUUAUUCUUCAGAGCUCCUUCCUUUUCUGACUUAACAAACACAAGCAUUUAUGAGUCACUUCAGAAGUCUAUGCUAUCUUCUUUUAGCCAAAAUCAGGUGCCAGUAGAUUCAGUUUCCUUGAGUAAUCCAAAAAAGAAUUCAGAGUACUACCUUGACACCUGCAAGUUUUUCCAUUUUGCCAAGAUCAUUUCAACCGUACAGGGAUUGCUACAAUUGGAUUUGCACUUAGCCACCAGACUUACAAACCCCCACCAAAUUUUGAACCAUUCUUUUUCUAACUUACUAGAUUAAGCACUAACUUCUUUUGAAUGACUUAAUUAAGUAGUUGACACUUGACAAUGACCCUUAAAUUUUGAUAUUCCUAAAAGAAGAAAAAAACUACUACUUUAAUUUCGAGAAAAAACUAGACUUUAUUUAAUUAUCUAAACCUAAUCAAGUUGUUAAUAUUCAUCUUAUUUAGGAUUAACACUCAAUAUGGUCAAUUAUUAUUAUGAGAAAUAUUCAAUAUUUGAUCGAUGCUUGUGAUGAAGUUUUUUUCCCAAUAAAUUGGUAUAGAGGGAGAAGAUUACUAUUCAGCUGCAAGUGAAAGUUUAAGUGACCAACUAGCUGAGCUACUAAGUAGGGAUGACCAGUGGCGAAUCUAUUUGUAAAAAAUAGGGCAUCGGAACCCGUGGUCUCUUCGUAAAACUAGAUAUUUUAUGUAUAUAUUUUCUAAAAUUUGUAUUUUAUUAUAUUCUUGCACCCGUGCUAUAAGAAGUCUAUCUGGUCCACUUUUUACCUUGAGGAUGAAGAAUCAAUUCUCACUUAAUACAUUUUUCUUGAUGCAUCCAUGUUCGGAUCAAUUUCCACUUAAUACAUUUUUCUGGGUGCACCCAUGUUUGAAAAAUCCUAGAUUCGCCUCUGGGAAUGACAAUUGGGUGAGGCGGGGCAGGUGAAGCCUUGCAUACACAUUUCAAGUUGAAAGAGUAAUAUCGUCUCUGAAAAAAUGAGUCAUGGUUAUUUUAGGAAUUUUCUAUAAACUCUUUUUUGUUAUUUUGAACUAUGAACUAUUUAUAUCUUUAGCUUUAAUUAUAUGUUCAGUAAAGGAUCUAUUAUAUAUAUGUAUAUAAACUACAAAAAUUUAGCAGGUUGAUAUGCUCAAGUUACCAGGGAAAAAGAAGGUUAAAAGUUUAGAUGCCAACAUGCCAAUGAAAUUUUUUAGAAAGAAACUAUAAUGUGAAUGAGAAAUAUAUUUUGAAGUACAUACUAGUGUAUCACUGUGACACAAUUUAUGAUUUAAAGGACAAAAAAGAAGGAUUCUAUCUAAAUAAGAAAAGUAGAAAAUAUUUCAAAGAAAAAAAAUACAAGGCAAGAUCAUAGGAAAAGAAGCUACAUAAAGCUGCACAACCCAUUUAUUGUUCUCUGAAAAUGUACUUUGACCUGCCCUGCCACAAUUGUCAUCCCUACUAGAGAAAAUGGUCUAAAACCCCCCCAAUCUAUACUCGAAAUCUCAACUACACACUCCAACUUUACGGGUGUCCUAUUACCCACCUGAACUUUAUAUUUCUCUAUUUUAUACACACCUAAGUGCUGACCUGUCAUGGGAGGUGUUCUCACCUCCUCUAGGCGCGUUAAAAGGUUAAUUUUGACGAAAAAUUCCUCCUUCUCCAAUGGUCAUCUUCCCCACUUUUAAAUAAACCAUUAUUUCUUUUUCCCCACCAUUAACCCUUGGUCCUUAUAUAAAAAAAUCACAAUUUCCUCUCAAAAUUUAGUAGGGUUUAGUUGUUAAUGUUCAUUUCUACUUCAAAUCUUGAAUUUAGGAUUUGUAAUAUGCUCUAAUUUCUUAUUUAGGUCUCUAAUUUUAAUUUUGAAUUUUCUCGAAAUUCAUCAAAAAUGGCAAGUGGAAACUUGAAUAAGCUUUGUAUGGAUGAAUCAAACCUAAUUGGAACGAUCUGAAUCACUCCCUCCGAAAGAUGAACAACGCGCCUAGAGGAGGUGAGAACACCUCCCAUGACAGGUCAGCACUUAGGUGUGUAUAAAAUAGAGAAAUAUAAAGUUCAGGUGGGUAAUAGGACAUCCGUAAAGUUGGAGUGUGUAGUUGGGAUUUCGGAUAUAGAUUGGGGGGGUUCUAGACCAUUUUCUCUCCCUACUACUAAGGUUGUUUUAUGUUAUCAAGUUGGCUAUUCAAAGUUCUAUUAUGCUUAAUAAAAUAUUGAAAGACAUUUUCAAUCGUUUUGUGUUGCCUCAUUUUUAAAACGGAAAAGGGCCAAAAACUUGUAAUCAUAUUUUAAACGGAAAAGGGCCAAAAAUAUCCUUGGAGUAUUUGAAAAGGUUUAAAUAUACCCCUCAUCCAUCUAUUUGGCUAGAAAUACCCCUCAAUCCACCUUUUUGGCCUAUUUUUACCCUUAAAGCUUAACAGAUUUUUUAAAAUUAUUAUUAUUAGUAGUAGUUAUUACAUGGCGUUUUUCUAUUGGAUAAAAUUUAAAUUUCCAACCCAUUGGAUUUUUUCCGAUCCAAACCCACAACCCAUGACCCAAAUCCAAUUAAACUUAAUAAUGAAUCAACUCCUAUAUCUCUCCCUUAACCACAUUAAUCUCUGCAAUGUACUACUGUAGUUAUGGGAGAAGAGUAUUGAGAAUGCAGAUGAAGUAAUCAUAAUUUUUACGGUUUGAUAUAAAGAAGUUUUCCUUUUUAAUUUGAAAUUAUUGGAAAUUUAUAAAUUGAAGUAACGAGGUGUUCUGCUUAAGCACAGGUUUUUGAAAAAUAGGCAGUAGUGAUUUCUCAAUUAUGUGCUUUAAAUGAUUAUUGAAGCAAUGCCAACCAGAUAAACAAGAAGAACACUAUUAUAAAUAUGAGAAGAAAAAAAAAAGAGUCCACAUUAUUCGUCGAUCAAUAAAUGAGAAAUCACGAAAUCAAUGUGAUUCUGUUUCUGGGAAGUUUCGAAUUUUUUCUUUUCAGAAAGAAAUAAUUUUUUGCAUUUCCUGAUUUCAUUUCAAAACAAUAAUUAAAGAAAUAACAUUUGACAAUAAAAAAUACUUUUAGAGAAAAUCUAAAUAUUGUAAAAAUGCAAGACCAAAUGCUCCAGUAAACUAAAAGUUCAGAAAAACUUUCGUUGUAGUAAUGAAUCUUUGGUGAAGAGCCAGGGAAGGAAGAGAUACGACGUACUUGAUUGAUUGUGAGGUUUAAUUGAAUUUGGGUCUGGAUCCGGGGCGGGUUGAAAAAAAAUUAAUGGGUUGGGAAUUUAAUUAUAUCCAAUAGGAAGAUGCCACGUAAUAAAUUAUAAUAAUUUAAAAAAAUUGUUAAGUUUUAAGGGUAAAAGUAGGCCAAAAAGGUGGAUUGAGGGGUAUUUUUAGUCAAAUAGAUGGAUGAAGGGUAUUUUUAAACCUUUUCAAAUACUUCAAGGGUAUUUUUUGCCCUUUUCCGUUUUUAAAAUAACACCAACAGUGGUAUCAAGAGCUUCAUUAAUCUUAAGGGAUUUGAGAAAUCUUCAAAAAAAACUACCAUACAUUUUUUAACCCGUAAGAGUUACCUUUUUAACCCAUCAGGGCUAUCCAUUUUAACUCAUUCAGAGUUACCUUUCAACUCGUGCUUUUCUCAACGCACAAGCUUUUCUAAACCAUUUUUAAUGAAAAUAAUGUCAAGCAAUAGUCUCUCUUUGAAUGCCCAAAAAAAUUCACUGGUGAAAACUAUCAAUUUGGUCAGUGAAAAUGAAAUCGUAUCUUGAACCCUAUGAUCUGUGGAAAGUUGUAAUGGAAGAUAUACCCGUACAACCUCUCCCUACAAAUCCUAUCCUUGCUCAAAUUAAAUCUCAUUCGAAUGAAAAAUCAAAAAUGUCAAAGCCAAAACUGUAAUUCAAAAUUCAGUUGCGUAUUUGAUUUUUUCUAAAAAUUCUUAUGACAACUCCAGAGAGAUUCGAAUCUAAAUUUCAUCUCGGGAAGAGUCUGAAGAUCUCUCUACUAUUUCUAUUGAAGAACGAAUAAGUGUUCUUCAAGCACAAGAGCAAAGAAGAGCCUUCAGGCAAGAUAAUGUUACUGAGGAUGCCUUUUAUGCACAAAAAGAGAAGAGAAAAAGGUAAUUACUCUUUGCAAAUACUGCAAAAGAAAAAUACACUUGGAAAAUUUUUGUUGGUGGAAACCUGAUGCAAAAUGUGGAAAUUGCAAACAAGCCGGUCGUGCUACAAAAGUAUGCAAGCUAAAAAACAAUUUUCAAGCACAAGUUGUAGAAGCAGAAAUCGAGGAGGAGCAACUUUUUUAAAUUGCAGUAUCUAAAACAAAGGAGGAGUGAUGAAUUUGUUUUUUAGUUAUUGCAUUCAUUUUUUAAAAUAAUAAGUUACCUUGUUUUUGGAUGAAUUUGAAUUUUAAAUAUUUGUUAAAAGUUAUUUUAAUUGUUGAGAUUAUGUUAUCAAGUUGACUGCAGCUUAAUAAAAUAUUGAGAAACAUUUUCGAUAGUGUUGUGCUGCCCUUUUUAAAAAAAAACGAGAGUAGGUGAAAUGAAGCAAUCCCUUAUUCAACUCCUUUACAAGUAAAUGCAUCAGAUAGCUGUCAUUGAUAGGCAGAACUUGAAAAGGGAUUUGAAGUUGAAGUUGUCUUGUCGAUUUUAAUUUCUGAAGUUGAUCACAUAUAUGGUAGUUUCUAUGGCAAUGAUGCUGCGAAUUUUCGUCAGUUUUCUGGUUGUUUUGAUCCAAGUUCUGUCAGUAGCAGCACGAACUAAUCCUGUUGAUUGUAAGUUGCUUUUGUUCUUCUCUAUCAAAUGUUUCUUAACCAGUGUACAGAGAUAUUUGAUUUAUCUGUGAGUACUGGUGUUCAAAUCUUAGUUCCUUUUUGUAAUCAUAUGAAGAACUUGUCUCUUAAUUGCAAUAAUCUUGAGGGAACAUUAAAUAUUUCCUGUUCUCUUCUAGAUAUGGUCAAUUAAGUGUUCUAGUGACGAACUGAUUCAAUAUUUUAUACAGCUGCUGCUUUAAAGUCUCUCAAGGAUUCUUGGUAUGGUCCUUCCAAUUGGACAGGAGAAGAUCCCUGUGGGAGUAGUUGGGAAGGAGUUGGAUGCAGAAAUUCACGAGUGAUUUCUAUGUAAGAAUUCGGUGUGUAUCCUUUUGUCAACUGCUUAAAAUUACAGAAAUCAUAUGGUUGAUGCCAUCUUUCUCAAUUUCAGAACACUGUCAAGUAUGGAUUUGAACGGUCAGCUAUCUGGAGACGUCCAAGGAUUAUCUGAAUUGGAGACUUUGUAGGUCUUCCUUUCACAUUUCGUGUUUCUACUUCACUCCCUUUUUUCUUUUGACGGAGCAAUACUUUGUCAGUUCUAAUUAUGGACUGCUCCUUAUAGGGAUCUAUCAUACAACAAAGAUUUGACCGGAUAUCUUUCUCAGUCUAUUGGAAAAUUGACAAAGUUAUCAAAUUUGUAAGUGAAUGUGAAUAAUCAUCACUCGAGUAUUCACUUACCAGCUAAUCUCGUGAUAAUAUGCUGAUGUUUUCUUGAUUUCAUGACAGGAUCCUUGUUGGUUGUGGAUUUUCUGGACCAAUACCAGACUCCAUAGGAUCUCUGACCCAGCUGUUUUUUCUGUAAGCAUUAUGUGGCACUCUUUGUACUUUGAAUGUGCGACCAGUACGUGACAUAUUUUACCAGAAUGCAAGGGUCAUACACUAUCUGCUUAAAAUUGUUAACGUAAUGUGUGCUUUUGGUGCUAGCUGUACUCAAAUUUUGGUCCAUCUCUGGGACAGGCAAUGCACUUCUAAACAGAGAAAUCAGUUCAUGAGGAGUUCAAUCCAUACUGCUAUUCUUGUGUUUUAUACGUUAUCAAAAGUUGAACUGUUGUGUUUACCAUAUCUAUCUGUAUAUGAUUUCUUUCAACCCUUCUUCUGGUAUAUGCUCUAAAACAGCCCCAUUCUGUAUUAUGCAGAUCUUUGAACUCUAACAAAUUUACUGGAGGAAUACCUGCUACCAUUGGCUAUCUGACAGAGCUUUAUUGGCUCGAUUUAUCUGACAAUCAGAUAGAAGGAAACAUUCCAGUCUCUAGUGGGAGCAACCCUGGUCUUGAUAUGCUUGUUAACACUAAACACUUGUACGCAUCUCCUUUUUCUUGAUGUUGUUUCGUCUCUCAACUGCAUUUUCUAAGAUUAUUUACAUUUCUUCAGUCACUUUGGGAAGAAUCAGCUAUCCGGUGAAAUUCCAGCUCGUCUUUUCCAUUCUAAAAUGACUCUGAUACAUCUGUAAGUUCCAUCGAAUUGGAGAAUGGAGUGAAUGAAUAAUUUUGUCCGUAAAUAUUGGGGACCUCACUUGUAGUUGAGCUUGCCUUUUGAUAUUCUUGUUAGUGCAUGUUUUUACUUCUGAGAGUAGUCAUGUGAAAGAAGCUUGAUAAUUAUAUCACAAACAACUUUCCUUUACGGUUUCCUCAUGCUUGUAUAUUCCAACUUGUAGGCUAGUUGAGAACAACAGGUUUACCGGGGUAAUCCCAGAUACAUUAGGAUUUGUCCAGACGAUGGAAGUGCUGUAAGUAUUGCUAUCUUGUGCUUUCCCUUUAUCAUCUAGUAAAGUUGCUUUCUGAAUUGUUUCUGGUAUUGCAAUAGUCGUCUUGACAGGAAUUCAUUCAGUGGAUCUGUUCCACAAAACCUCAACAAUCUCACACAUGUCAAUGAACUGUAAGUAGAAAAUGAAACAAUUUUCUGAACCUACUGUAGGUCCUCUUGAUUUUUUGAAGUAGUAUAUUUUGACCAUGUAUUACAGCGACAUAUCAAACAACAAUUUGAAUGGCCUUUUGCCGAAUCUCACUGGCAUGAAUGUCCUCAACUACUUGUAAGUUGCUUAUCCUAAGUUUUGUGUCUUUAUCCCUUUGAGUUGACAAUCCAUUAUUCUCAACAUAGUACUAUAAAUAUUUCUCCCCAAUCACGAUUCACGGGCACUUUUUUUUUGCAGGGACAUGAGUAGUAAUACAUUUAAUGCAUCAGAUAUUCCAUCAUGGAUCCUAAGCCUGCAAUCAUUAACAACAUUGUAUACUCUCUCUCUCUCUCUUUUUUACUAGAUUUGGGAACGUGCGUUGCACGUUUAUCCCAAAAUACUUAUAUAAAUUUUGUAUUGCAAAUGACAUAUUUUAUCCCCUUCAAAUCUUUGGUAUUUACAAAGAAAAAUCUAUCAUUGUUUCUAUAGGAACUACAUAUAUCUUCCUAAUUAAAAAAAAUAUACCUUUAACUAUAAAAUUGACUAAAAGUUAAUAAAGUAAAAAUAACUAACUAUUGCACAAAUUCAAUAUUCAAAUGAGGAUACUAAAACACCACAUGCUAGGCUAAUGUAUACAAAACAACAAACCAUGAUAAAUUCUCAAUAAUAACAACACAACAAUAGAAAGUUGUACAAUAACAACAAACAAGAAAAAUAAAUGUUAAACUAAACAAAUAAAAAGAGACAAGAGAAGAGAGCAUAGAGAUUUUCUCAUAUUUUUUUUCAAUUGGUUUAAGUGUGUAAAUUAUUGUGUCAAAUGUCAUUAUUUAUAGGAUAGCAUUGAGGAACACAAAGAGUUGUCAUAAAUAUGAUAUUAAUCCAUUUGAGAUUAUUGAUGAGAGUAAAAACAUAAUGAAUAUAAUUGGUGGGAAUUACAUACAUAUAAUGAAGAGUUAGUGGUAAUUUAUGUAUACUAAUAUGAUGAUUUACUAUUUACUACUAUUUAAUUUAUUAAACAAUUUAUAACAUUUAAAUAUAAUGUAGAAAUAAAACCGUUAUCUAAGGAUAAAAUAUGUAAAAGAAUUCAAAUAUAUUAAAUGUGUAGUGAAAAAUCAUUAUGACUAAUUAUUAAAAAAUUCAUAGUAACUAUGAUUAUGAAAAAUCAUUACUAUUACUACAUGGAAGAUGUAAAGAUGGUUGUUUUUUUCUUGCUAAUAAUAACUUACAAUUUAAUAAUGAGUAUUGAAUUGUAAGUCUAGCUGGAAAUAGGAGUGUUAACUACCAUAAUACGAACAAUCAAAAUUCAUUGAAUCCCAAAAUAAAUAUUAAAUGAAAAAAUAAUAUUUUAAAUAAAUUCAAGAAAAUAAAUUAAUAGUUAAAGGGUAUUUUCGUAAUUCAACUUUUGACUUAGAUUCUUCCCACUUUUAAUAUAACUAGUUCUCGACACGUGCGUUGCACGUGCAUCCCAUAUUAAGUAAUAUAAUUCAUAAUUAAAUUGGAGGUUAAUGAGCAACAAAUUAUAUGGAUAUGCUCCAUGUAUGAAAUUCAAAAGUCCAUGUUAUAUGGAUAUGCUCCAUGAAAUGAGGAAAAGAAGUUGCAUGUUAUCAGAAGUCCAAAAGUCCAGGUAAGAUGGAUAUACUCCAUGUAUGAAAUUAAUUAAAUGAAUUUAAUCAUUAAUAACUAACGAAAAUUAUAAUGCCAUAACUACAGAAUCAAAAUGCAAUUGCUAGACUUCUAAUUCAGUAAAUAAAAUAUGAUUAUUUCAUUAAAUUUACUGGUUAAUUAAAUAUUUAAUUAUAUUUUAAUUUAGUGUGGGGUAAAUUCGUAAUUCAACUUUUAAGUUAUGAGCUUCCCACUGUUAAUAUAAAAUAUAAAAUAAUAAUAUGAUUUAUUGGUUAAUUAUAUUUUAAUUUAGUGUGGGGGUAAAAUCGUAAUUCAACUUUUAAGUUAUGAGCUUCCACUUUUAGUAUUACUAGUAUCUGGACACGUGCCAUGUUAUUUUGUUCAAACUUAUUCAUUAAGAUGGAGGGAAUAUAUAAUAGUUAAAUAUAUUGGUUUUAAAAAAUGAAAGCUUAUACUUACUAAAAUAAAAAAAUUACAACACAUAUCAAUUCUCUCUUUACAUAUAAAGUAGAAACAACUGCUAAAAGUAUAACAAGAAUAUUUGAAUCCUAAAAUUAAAAUAUUACAUGUUGGAAUAAUAAUACAUAAACAUUGUGCAUUACAAUAAAUCUGUAUUGAACUUUGUUUAGUGAAGUUGAUGUUACUGGCUAAUCGAACUCUAGACGCCAAUAGCUUUAGAUACUUUCCAUUCUCUCAAAUUGUUGCUUUCUCUUCAAGAACAAAAAAGAAGAUGAAAUUAAUUAAUAAAUUAAAAUUAUGCAAGAGCCUAUAAAAAUGGUGAGAAAGAAUUCAAGAAUCCUUUCUUGCCUUUUAUAGCUAUUUUUUGAGUAAGAAUUCAAGAAUCCUUUCUUGUUUUUUUAUAGCUAUAUUUCAAUUUUCAUUCCUUGAACCUUUUCUUUCAUUAGUCUACAUUUAAUUAUUCAAUGCAACUCUUCCUAUUCUCCAAACUAUUUAGCAAUGAAUAACGCACACUUAAAUUUGAUUAAUGGGUAAAUCAUUAAGGGCUACAUUUAAAUUGGACUUUUGAAUAUCUACAGAUUCACAAAUCUCAUGUAAAUUUAAAUACAAUUACUACUAUUUCAAUUAGAUUAGGCAUUUUAUUUUAAUUAAAUAUAAGAGAAAAAUUGUAAUCUAACUUUAAACACUUGUUUUAUUUUUCUCCAUUUUUAUUCAUGUUUAGUACAUUCACCUCAGACUAAUAUUCUACUUUGAACAGAAAUAACACAAAGCAAUAAAUAUAUAGAGAUACAUAUUCCAAGCCAUAAUAAAUGUCAUUAUUUUUUAUUAUGGAUACAUUCACCUCAGUUCUCACUCCAUGAAUUUCCGUAACAUUUCAUUAAUUUGACUGGAAACAUAAUAAGUAUCAUUAUCUUUUAGUUGGAAUAUGAAUGUCAAAGAGUGCCCUCUCUUUUUUUGUGUGGAUAAUUUAGUGAUUUUAUAUUUAUGUAUAUUAAUUUUGAAGAGAUAAUACAUUUUUAUUAUUAUUUAUUUAGAUUAGAUGUUGUAUCUAUUACAUUUUAAUUAAGUAUAGGGGUAAAAUUGUAAUUUAACUUUGAAGAUAGGUGCUUCCCACUUUUAGUAAUUAGUAAAAAUUACUCCCUCUAUCCCUAAUUACUUGUUCACUUUUGAAUUGACACACCUAUUAAGAAAACAAUUAUUGACAUAGUGAGUGUACCAUUUUACCCCUAUUAUUAAUUAUAAAGUGGAUGGAUUAAAAAUUUAAGAUUUUCAAGAAAUUUUACCUUUUUCAAAGUAUUUAAUUGAGGGUAUAGUAGGUAAAAUUAUUUUGUCCUUUCUUGAUUUGUCAAAAUGAACAAGUAAUUAGGGAUAAUUAUAAAAGGAAAAGUGGACAAGUAGUUAGGGACAGAGGGAGUAGUAAAUUAGUAAUAUAUAUAAUAUAUAUAUAAUAUAAUAUAUGAUAUGAUGUGUGUGUGUAUGCACGACCAUGAGCAGGUGCAUGUGUGUAUGGGGCUCGUGUAUAUGCCUGCAUCCAUUUGAAUAUGGACUGAUUUUAUUUUUUCUUGUUUUUAUGGAUUCAAUUCCUAGAUGUUCUUUUUAACCGUUUGACUGACCUUGUAUUGUCAGGGUGUUGGAAGACACGGGACUUCAGGGAUCAGUUCCAGCUAACCUUUUCAGCCUACACCAGUUGCAGACAGUGCAAGUGUCCCUUUUACUUUGUGUCGUUUUUGUAUGAAGUAUAGAUUGAGUAUCUGAAGUUGAAUUUAUCUUUGCUGAAAUUUCCGAACUCUGUAUUAUGCUGAUAGUUGUUGACAAUGUGCUCGUUGCUUACAGCAUCUUGAGGAAUAACAAACUCAACGGCUCUCUUGAAACUGGAACCACAUAUAGCAACCAGUUGAAGCUCAUUGAUGUGCAAAAUAAUCUUAUCGAAUCAUUUACUCAAAGACCAGGGUAUCCCUUUCAGAUAAAGUACGCACUAUUCCAUGAUUCUUCAAGCCAUAAAAUCUCCAAGUUGAUAAGAAACACCAUACGCGAGACAGUUUUUUGCCUAGCUUGUUGUGUCGUGUGAUUAUUCUAUGCUCAACUUGACUAUAUACUCGUUUAUUUACUUUUUCCUAUGCAGGCUUGCAGGCAAUCCUAUCUGCAAUGAAAGAGGAGAAGGGAGAAAAACUUACUGUAUGGAAACUCAACAAACUGAGACAUACUCAACCCCACCAGAGAAUUGCUUGCCAACUGAGUGCAGCUCUAAUCAAGUUUCUAGUCCUACCUGUAAAUGUGCCUUUCCAUAUACAGGAAACCUAGUCUUCAGAGCUCCUUCCUUUUCAAACUUGGGAAAUAGAACUACUUAUGAGACUCUCCAAAAGUCUUUGUUGCUUUUCUUCCAAAAACGUCAACUGCCUGUGGAAUCAGUUUCCCUCCGUAACCCAAUAAGAGAUUUAAAUGACCACCUUGUAAUACAGCUGCAAGUUUUUCCAUCUAGCCAAGAUCGUUUCACUUGGACUGGUGUUUCUGGAAUAGCUUCUGUGCUUAGUAAUCAGACUUUCAAGACCCCAUCGUCAUUUGGACCUUUCUUCUUCAUUGGUGAAACCUAUAAAUACUUUGUCGGUAAUAGAACUAUUUCCUUUUCCUAUUUAUCACUCAUUUCUCAUCUCCUACAUAUAUGUGCAGCCUAAUCUAUAAUUACAGAAAGUUGGUGGCUGAAGAAACAAUAUAUAUUUGAAAUCUUGAUGAUUAAGUUUGUAUGUACUUUCGUUUGACAGAAGAAUUUACUGUAUUUUUAAGACUUUGAACGUGAAUAGCAACUAUUACAGAUCUACUGUUUUGAUAACUAUAUCAAUCCUUUCUGAAGUAUUCAAUUUAGAAGUACAAGACCCAAAAAAAAUUGUCUAGUCAUUGAAUUUGAGACAAAGAUACGAUAAAAAAACUAAAAAUUUAGGCUACGUGCAUGUGAUGGAUCAACUUUCGUUCAUUGUUACUAGUGAUUUUUCUGUUAGAGUUUGCAUAAACUUCAAUGGAUUUAUUAAUAACGUUUUAGUAUAGACGCAGGUUAUUCUGAUCGGUCUCCUUAGAAAAACUGGUUCAUUAAUUGACAGCUGAAAAUUCAAAUUAUUGUUUGGAACAUUAUGGAGCUACAUCUAAACGUUUCAUGUUACUGAAGUCUGAGGCUGUGCUUGCUGUUUUCUAGGGGAAUCCACAGGAUCAAAAAAAUCAGUUAGUACAGGCAUUAUUAUUGGAGCUACAGUUGGUGGUUCUGUCCUUGCAAUUUUAGCACUAAUCAUUGGUAUUUAUGCUUUCCGGCAAAAGAAAAGAGCUGAAGAUGCUGCAAAGAGGAGCGAUCCUUUUGGUAAGAGUUGGAACUAACUAUUAGGCCAUUUACCUAUUACUUCAUCUUACGGUUGUUGUUGCUAUCUUCCUUCUUAAUGCAGCAUCCUGGGACUCAAAUAAACAUAGUGGUGCUGUUCCACAGCUGACAGGAGCUAGAUUUUUCUCAUUUGACGAACUAAAAAAAUGGACUAAUAAUUUUUCAGAAACCAAUGUUAUUGGUUGUGGUGGUUAUGGAAAGGUCAGCUUUUAUGCUCUGAUACACUAAGCAUGUGUUCUGUUAGCAGUACUGCAGCCUUCAUUCGUUCUGAUCUUAAUCAUCUUAGACUUAGUAGUUAGUACUACCAGUUUCUUUGUCAAAGUGUCAGGCUAUUUACAGACGAUAAUGAACUGAUUGUAUAUUUGGAUGGAGAAGUCUUGAUUCUUCCACCCAAGAUAAUUCACAUAUUUUGGUUUCGGAUGUAAUACAAUAGCUCUAAUCUAUUUAAUUAAUAAGAUCCGGUAAGUAUGGAUAUUUUUUAUCUUGUUUGUACCAGCUUCUCUUUCCACUGAAAAGAAAAUUUCUCGACUACAAUUGAAACUGUAUUAAGUUUUUAAACUGUAGAAGUGUGGCUCUACAGGUUUACAGAGGAAGUCUUCUGAACAGAGAAUUGGUUGCAAUUAAAAGAGCUCUACAAGGGUCUAUGCAGGGCACACAUGAGUUCAAAACUGAGAUAGAGCUUCUCUCAAGGGUUCAUCACAAGAAUGUCGUUGGCCUUGCUGGCUUUUGUUUCGAUCAAGCUGAACAGAUGCUUGUGUACGAGUACAUUCCUAAUGGCACCUUAAAAGACGGUCUUUCAGGUAUAUGUUGAUCCCUUCUUGUUGAUUAAUUGAAACUAGCUCCUUUUAACUUAACCAAAAUGCAAAUGGAAUGAAAUUUGUACUUGUAGGUAAGACUGGGGUCAGGUUAGAUUGGAUGAGGAGAUUGAAGAUAGCCAUUGGAGCAGCCAGAGGUUUGCAGUAUUUGCAUGACCAUGUCAAUCCCCCCAUUGUACACAGGGACAUCAAGUCCAACAAUAUUUUGCUAGCUGAUCACCUAAACGCAAAAGUUGCUGAUUUUGGCCUGUCCAAGCUUCUAGGUGAAAGGGGUCAUAUUACCACUCAAGUCAAAGGAACAAUGGUAAGUAAAGAUUCUAUAAACACCUGCCUGAACUUGUUUCGUUUUAGAAUAAUGUAUGCUCCCUCAAAUUUCUGAUGUCCAGAAAGUUCAGAAAUUAAAUGUGUCGAUAAUUUCUAGUCCUGUAAUAACCAUUACAAGCACUAUUUCAUUGUCUAGUAAGAACACCUGAAGCUCCUCCUUUCUCAUCGACCACCCUUCCCUCCACUAAAAAUGAGUAAAUAAAUAAGUAGGAACAGGAAAAUACGAAAACGUUUUAUUUAUUUCUUGAUAUUCUCUCAAGGUAAGGGACUUGUAGGUAAUGAUGCUUAAAAACACCAAAUUUAAGGAGAAAUACUACCUUGAUUAGGAAACAAUGAGUUAUUGCCCAUAGCAGAUAGAAGCUUUUUAACGUUCAUAUAAUGUGAUCUUGCCAUGUAUGAAAGGAAACAAGUUGAGAUGUUGCAGAAAAAUGUGUCAGUAUUUACCUUAUAAUCUAUGUCCUUUUGAUGGUUGCCUUUUAUUUAUUAGGGAUACAUGGAUCCUGAAUAUUACAUGACAAACCAGUUGACAGAGAAGAGUGAUGUUUUUAGCUUUGGAGUGGUGCUGCUUGAGAUAGUCACAGGAAAAGUUCCUAUUGAUAAAGGAAGAUAUAUUGUCAAGGAAGUGAAGGAUGCAAUGGACAUGACAAAAGAUUUGUAUAACCUUCAUGAAAUUUUGGAUCCUGCAGUUUGUUCGGGUGCAACUCCUAGAAGCUUAGAGAAGUUUGUGGAUCUAGCACUCAAGUGUGUUGAAGAAAAAGGAGUCAAUAGACCUAAAAUGAGUGAAGUGGUGAAACAGAUUGAAUAUAUUAUGGAGAUCGAAGGCCUGAACCCCGAUGAUGAAUCUGCAUCUACUUCAGCAACCUAUGAAGGAGCAAACAAAGGCUUGAACCAUCCUUAUACUGAAAGUCUCUUUGUCUAUAGUGAAGCAUAAUUUUCUCAUCUUGUAUUUUUUCAAUUGGAUUACAAAAAAGCACAAAACAAAAGAAGAAAAGAAGGAAAAAUAGUCAGUAUAGGGUUGGUCGCUUGUACUUGAAUGAGAAGUAAAAUUGCCAUCAUUUUAGGGAGUUAAUAUUUCAUAUGGUCACUCAACUUUGAAUAAUUCACUUAGAAAGUCACUCAACUUUGAGUUGUUUAUUUAAAAAGUCACUCACCUUUGUUUUAUAAUUCAAAAGUCACUCAACUACUGAUGUUUUAUUUAGAAAGUCACCCAACUAUUUAUAUUUCACUUGAAAGUCAUUCAAUCAAUUUAAAUAAUUUUAUCAUAAAAUAUUUUUAAAGAAAUAAUAAGAUAUCUAUUUUAAUUAUCUUAUUGUUCCGCUUCAAUUAUUAUAAUUAUAAUUUUUCUAAAAACACGUAGAGUAGCGAUUGACCCCCCAAAAAAACUUUUCCGUUCCAGUAAUUGUAAAACUAGAAUUAAAUUGUUAAAAAAUAAUCAAGAAGAAAGGUUGGAAUUGAUAAUAAGUAAUUAAAAAAAAAGGGACAAUAACAAUCUUCUACUAUUUUUUUUUAAGAAAAGGUAAAAACAAAAACUAUAUAUCAACAAACUUCAAUAAAAUAAUUUAAAUAAGUAUCUUAUUUUAAUUUUUUAAAAAUAGUUUAAUUAUUUUUUAUAUUUUUACAAAUUUUAAUGAAAAAAUUAUUUAAAUUGAUUAAGUGACUUUCUAAGUGAAAUAUAAAUAGUUGGGUGACUUUCUAAGUGAAACAACAAUAGUUGAGUGACUUUUGAGUUAUAAAACAAAGUUAGAGGAAGGGCUUAAAAUAGUCCAUUAUCUUUGAGAUUAGACUCAAAAUAGUCCUAUUUCUUUUUUAGUGGAGCAUUAAUAGUCCUGAUUUUUAGCGGAGCAUUAAUGCUAAAACUAGAGCUGCUGAACCAUCUGCUUGAAAAACAACAAGUGAAAGUGAGCUACCUGGGUUGUUUUUCUUCUUGGCUAAGAAAACUGGACAAUGUGCCUUCCAAUGGCCUGACAUCUUGCAAUGAAAACACUUGCCCUUAGACUUUUUCACGCCCCCAGUUGGAGGUGCAAUUGCCUUAGCUUUGUGAGCCUUUUUCUUCUUCUGUCCACCUUGCGGUUUAGAAGUAGAAACUUUCUCAGUUAGUGCCAUGGAAGGUGCCUUUUUGACAAGUGUCUCUGCCGCCUGCAGCUCAUUCAACAAUUGUGCCAAAGAUAGACUCAUCUUAUUCAUAUUAUAAUUUAGGCAAAACUGUUGAAAACUGUCAGGCAGAGACUGCAAUAUCAUCUCAACUUGGGAGUCAUUGUCAAUUUCAGCCCCCAAGACCUCUAGUUCAUUCAGAAGACCUAUCAUAUUUAGAACAUGGUCUCUUACAGGAGUGCCUUCAACCAUCUUAGUGUUCAUGAGAGUUCUCAUGGCAGUCUGCUUAGCUGAUCGACCCUGGUCUCCAAACAUUUGUUUGAGAUUCUCCAGAAUUUCAAAAGCAGAUAACAUAGCUUGAUGUUGAUGUUGCAACACAUUUGACAUUGAAGCCAUAAUGUAACAUCGCGCCAUCUCAUCAACUUUGCGCCAUUUCUGAUAAGCUAGCUUAUCCUCAUCACUAGACUGUUCAUUUGGUUUCAAUGGACACUCUUCAUGAAGUACCAACUUAUAUUCUUCAGCAGUUAACACAAUGUCAAGAUUUCUCCUCCAGUCAACAUAGUUAGAACCCUCUAGUUUAUUCUGACCCAAAAUAGUACUAAUGGGAUUAAAAGGAGACAUGUUGAAUCUGAGAUUGAAGAAAAAGUUACAAUAGAUCAAUCUAAACAGUCAUAUAAUCAUUGAAUAUUUACAUUCAAACUCAUCAUAUACAUAUACAUUCAUGCAUCUUGAAUAGCCAAUCGAUGGGAUUGGAGAACUACUCAUACAAUAUAAAUAUAUAAUGACCGAUUAUUCACUCCAUAAACUUAUUUAGACCUAACUCAGAUGGAGAGUCUACUGUUAGUUUAAGUCAAGUGAAAAUCCUCUAGUUACAUUGAUCCAAUCAUAUAUUACUCAGUUUUAGGAGAGUUAAUAAAGAUUAUCAAACUAGCGAUUAAAUACGUAGUGACUUGUAUUAAAUUCAUCCGAUGGGGAGGAAGGUCUAAGCCAACACAUAAAUUUAAUACUUCAUUACUAUUUUAAUCUUGGUAAUUAAAGAAAGAAUCCUCAUCACCAUUUUAUUUCUUCAAAUUUUAUACAAAAAUUUCCAGAAAAUAAAGCGUAAACAUGACCAGUUCAAUUUGUUUAAAUAUACCAUACAAUGACAUAUAACAUAAACAAUAUUCCAGAGCAUCUUGUUCACUGCCGCCUUAACACAAAUAAUGCACACAACUUUUAACUAUUACUAUUCAAUCAAUUGAAAAGUUUUUAAUUUGCGUUAAUCAGAAAAGGAAAACAUGCAGGUCCACCAUGAAACAAAAUUUCAUAAAGAAGUUGAUACCUAUUCAUGUGAAUUACGGGCAUACAACCUUUUAAAAUAUACACGGUUAGAAAAAAAAUCCCACCGAGCCGCCGUCGUCAGAACUCUUGUGCUAUCACAAUAAUCUUUUAAAAUUAAUCAAUGCAGAUUGACCACAACUUUUACCAACGAAUUUACAUGUCUGAUUAUCGUAUGCACUCAUCAAAACAAACCAGUCUAGUUUCAUCAAUUCUGCCUUCAUCGUGAUAAAAUAAAAUUCACCAACCACGAUUCACGCAUACAAUUUCACAUACGCAUAUUUUAGGUUAUCUAUAAAGAUGCAAGUAUGGCUCAUGAUGCCAAUUGUUAGAAAAUAGCAUUCACAGCGGAAGCAUACCAGAAUCAUACAUCUUGCAUGAGUAUAGACAACAAUCACAAAUACGUAUCACAUACAAGGUAUGCUGAAAAUUAACUCAGGAUUACCUCUUGAAGCGUGUGCAGAUAUCUUGAAGCAAAUCCAACUCCAGCUCUACAGUCUUCUACAGUGAUCCCAAUUAACAAUUGAACUCUCUCAAUACUUGGGUGGGCAAGUAUCGUAUAGAAUACUGAAUUCUCUUUCUAGGUUAGAAGAAUCCCUACUUAUAGAGAUGUCUUCCCAGUCCAAAAAAGGAGAAGAAAGUAUAAAUCCUUAUUCUUCAAGAAAACCCCAAAACUCACGUUUCUUUCUUGGAGGAAAAUAUACACGUUACUUUUCCUUCUUCUACUAGAAAAUAGGAUUCUGAGUUCUAGUUAAAUUGGGCACUGGAGGGACCACAGAAUUUAUUACUGAGGCUUCCUAUUAUGGAAAUAAUUCCAAAUAAUUAAUUUGAAUUAUUCUUACCAUAAUAAAUUACAAAUCAUUCCACUAAAAAUUCGUAAUUGCACUCCUCUAUUUAUAUUUCGAAAUUCACCAUUAAACACUUAUGUAAUUCCCCAUGUUAAGAUUCCAGAUACUAAUCAAUAAAUUAAAUUACUGACGAAUUUAAUUCAAUGAUUAAUUUCCUUUAGAGCAACACUUAACUUAUUUCAUGUGCCAGAUUCAUAAAUCUACCGGCCGGGUUUACACAUGAAAACUUAUAAGUUUCUCAUAAAAAGGUGUAUCAUCAAUCUCUAUACUGAGACAUGGAUUCCAUCAACUAACUAAUUAUUUCACCAAUAUAUAUUAUUAUCAUCCAAUCUACCAGGCAUAUUGACCCAUCUCAGAAUCUCACCUUUUAAUAAAUCAAAACAAUAAUUAAUAUAUACAGAUCAUAAUCGUUAUAUCAAGAUUAAGAAUAUAAGUACAUUUAACAGUUUAGAGAAUAUGUUUUUAUCAGUCAGUCUAAAACAUCUAUCUCUGCUUGGUCCCGUUCAAUACAUACAAAAUGCACUAGCACGAGAAGUUAGAACUAUACCAUUCUCAUAAUCAAGAUAGAUUACAUUUAAUCUCGUGCUACAAUCUUUCUGAUGGUUUUGUCCAAAAUUUCCAUCUACGAUUGUGAACUAUAACUUUUAACUUAUAAGAACCGAUGAUUUAAUCUUCUGUGUAUAAGCUUAAACUCUAUACACCAAAUCAUCUACUAUAUAAGUUAAGGACACAUAUAUGACAAUUGAUCUAUUUAAUGUAACACUUUAUUGAAUUGAAUAAAUGAAUAAACAAUUGUUCAAUAAUAAUACUAUAUCAAAACGCAUGGUUAAUAGUAUAUCCUAACACCAUCCAAAUUCAUGGAAGUUUUUACAAUGGUUACAUUCGUUUCUUUCAUCCUAGCAACCGUACCGGGGAAUUCUAUCGCACUCCGUGCUUUUGAUCAUGCAGAAUCUACCAAAGGUUCAAGCCAGAUUGUAGGAAGUGGGUGAUACAUUUUUGUAUUUCUAUGAGAAGCUCAACGGAACCCACGAUUCCCAGUGGUAAGUUGUUCGGCAUAUCACGCGUAAACUCUAUUCGAUUAGAAUUUUUUUUAGAUUUAAAUAGAGAUAGUCCUAGAUCAAAAUAUUAGGAAUCAAAGCAAGGAAAGUAGCAUUGAUGGAAUGGGGGAUCACACCUUCAGCAAAGAAAUAAAGUGACCAGCUGGAAGUUUUUGAAAUCCCAACAAUAAUUUCUAUAUAAAAAGAAUUUGGAAAACCUGAUGGCUUUAAAAGAUAGGGGUUCAAUUGUUCCCUGACGCUCGGUUGACAUAACUUGAUCCUUAAUUUACUACUUCAAGAGUCAAAUAAUUUAUUUUACUACAGUUUUCUGAUUAUUUUUUAAAACAUUUUGAAUUAUUAGCUAUGUUAACUUGUAAUACUUUUCAUAUUAAUUUUAAAUAUGUAAAGUUUAUUGAAUCUAUACCCGAAAUCAUAAUCAAUAUGAAUGUCACUUAUUUUCCUACUAAGUCAUUUUCAUGUCACUUAUUUUCCUACUGAGUCAUUUUCAAAACCUUAUUUUUUUAGAAAAAAUAAUUUCUGAAAAUUUUGACCAAUAAACAUUAAUGAAAAAAAAAAAAAGAGAAUUUUAUUGAUAUCUUUUUCUCAAUAAAUUCUUUCCAAAAUAUCAAUAGCAUAUAUAUAUAUAUAUAUAUAUAAAAUUACUCUUAGAUAGGGCUACUUGCCAAAUUCCCUUUCUUUGGACAACCAAUAUGAGUAGUGAGUGAACCCACCUCAUUAAGACCAACAUAUCUACCUUAGUCAACACAAUGGACCCAGGCCCUUGCUUCGGAUGAUCAUAAAACAAUCAAUAUUAAAGUCACAAUAAAUGAUAGGAAACUUACAUAUUUGGCCGCUCACCCAAAAAUAAAAAUCCGCAUAUAAAAAUAUCUUAUAUAUAUUUUCUUUUCGUUCAUUUUUACUGAUUCAUGUUUGAAUUGAGAUACCAUUUAAGAAAAUUCUAUAUUCAAGAGAACUCGAGCCUAUGACCUCUGGUUAACAUUUAUACUUUAAAAAAAUAAAUUAGGAUGGACUAUUUUUUCAUCUUAGAAGAGACAAAAUCAUUCUAAGAGUACUGUACAAGUUAUUUAUAUGGGGUCCAAUUAAUGCAUGAUGUAAGUUGAAACAUAACCUUACAUAAAGGGAACUGUGUUUUUUAGCCCCUACAAGGGUGUCUCUGUUUUCGUGGACUUAGAAUGUUCACUACUUACUACAGUAGUAGUAUUUAGAAUGAUUAUGUUAUCACGUCGUUCGAUUGGAAACAAGGUAUUUUAUAAUUAUUAAUUCCAGAAUAAAUUAUUUCAUUAUUACGUAUAUGGAAUAAUUUAUCUUAUUACUAAGAUAUAAAUUGUGAGAUAAAUAAUCUCAGGACUGUCUAAUACCUCCAAUUAAACGCACAGUAAAAAGUAGGCCUACAUUUUAUUUCUAAAAUUAUUACAUAUCUUGUACCUUAUACCAAACACGACUGCUUAGAGAGAGAAGACUUGUAUACGUAGAGAGAUAUUAUCCUCUUGCUGUUUAGAGAACAGUUUAAUCCUCAAAACAAACCAAACACUUGUGGUUUCUCUUUCUUCCCAUUACUCUUCUUUUCUCUUUCUUUUUAGUACACAUAUUGGCCCCUAAGAAGAAACUAAGGUUGCAUGGUGGUGGAUUUAAACAAUGGUCCAAACAAGAACAAUCCAACUGAUCAUCUUUUGUCUGCUUAUUAUUUCUAUGCAAGUUUUGGUGCAGCUGGGAGCUUCAACAAAUUCUGGUGACUGUAAGUCCUACUUAUCACAUCUCUUUUGUUGUUUUUUUAACUGUAUAAUUAUGAAUUUAACUUAUAUACACCAUAUCGCGAAUAAAAAAUAAAGUUAUACUAGUACCUAGCACAGUUUAACAUGUUAUAUCGUAAGUUACUUAUUGUAAAUAGUUCUUGUUUUAGAUGAUCUGAGUUAUGAAAGCAAAUUGUUUUCAUUUCUUUUCUUUUUUUUUUAGUAGGGAAUAUAUUAGUGUCCACUAUUUUAACUCCAAUUUAUUUUGAUCCCUUUUUCGAGUUCAUUACUUAAAAGGUCAUUUCAAUUAUUGAACAUAGUUAUGUUUUUCGUUGUUUUGUAUCAGAAAAGUCAAAUAUGAUUUUCUUCAUCAAUUUCAUUCCGUAUGUUCUGAAUUUUUUUAAAAAUAAUUAGUGUAUGGUAUUUUUGUUCAAAAAUAAAAUGAUUGGUGCAGAUGUUGUGUUAGAGCCACUGAAGGAAGAGUGGGAAAACAUACCUCCAAGUUGGGAUGGGUCUGAUCCUUGUAACGAUCCAUGGGAAGGCAUCGACUGCAACAAUUCACGUGUUAUUUCUAUGUAAGCUUUUUUUUUUUGUGAUUAAAUUAAAAUUGUUAAAAGAGAAUCAUAUUAAUCGGAAAUAAUAACAAUAUUACCACUCUUUAAAUUAUUCCUAAAUUUAUGAAUAAAAUGUUGAAAUUAAGAAAUAAAAACACAAGUGCACUCUGUCAAAAAUUCCAUUUUUCCUUAGCUCGACAACGUCACAUGUUUAAUUCAAUGUUCACCCACCUCAUUUAUGCCAGCUAAAUAAUAUCUUCGAUUUUUAAAAAAUAAAAUAAAAUUUAAACACUAGAAUAAUUAAGGAACUAUUUCCAAAAAAACAGCAAAAUAUUUUUUUUCUUAAAAAAUCUUAAUUAGUAAGAAAGUACAAAAAUAUGUAACUGUUACUGUAUUUACUCUUCCAUUUUGGUCAGUUCAUGUGUAUAUAUAAUAAUAAAACUAAAAUGCUUAUUAUCUAAUGAAACUAGGUUAAAAUUAAAUCAUAUUAAUUUUGUUAAAUGACAUUGCUAAUUGUAAUUUGAGGUACUAAUUAAUGAUUGUGAAUUUCAGAAAAUUAUCAAGCAUUAAUCUGAAAGGGGAGCUAUCUGGAGAUAUCGAAGGCUUGUCUGAAUUGCAGAUAUUGUAUGUCUUCUACUCAUCAUAAUUGAAAGUGUUAAAAUUUGGAGAAAAAAAAUUGUCUUAAUUAUGUUCGCUCUGUUUCAAUUUAUUUGUCUGAUUUGAAUUUGACACAUAAUUAAUGAAAGUAAAUAAGAUUUUUGAAUCUUGUGUGGAAUAUGACCAUUUUUGUUUUUGUGCUCGCCAAAGUGUUCCUAAAGGAUUCAUUACAAAAAAUAAUAGUUUAAUGAUUUUAUUUGGUGCGAUAAAAUGAAAGUUGAGUGAUCAUCUGUGAAAUUAAUCCUGUUCUUGAAGCACCAUUUUGCUUGUGAUCAUGCAUUGCAUGCACACAAAUAUUUUUGACUGUUGAAAAAGUUUUAAAUUUCUGUUCUGAUUAUCUGUUUCCUUAAUAGGGAUCUAUCAUACAACAAAGGCUUGACAGGUUCACUCCCUCAAUCAAUUGGAAAUUUGAAGAGUUUAUCAAUUCUGUAAGGGUAUUAUUACAUGAUAAUGAUUAAAUGUUGUUAAAUUCACCAGCUGAUUUCAUUAGAGUAAUUGCUCCGAGCUGCCUCGCAGGAUCCUUGUUGGUUGUGGGUUUUCUGGACUGAUACCAAACACAAUCGGAUCCCUUAGCCAGCUGGAAUAUCUGUAAGGAUAUCAAUUUCUUCUGUUUGCAACUUUUUAUGCUUAACGAAUUCAAGAUAUUGAGUAUUUGAAGAACUUUUAGUCCUUUAUGUUUUGUAUAAAAUUGGAAAUUUGGCAUGAGAUGAGUUGGAUGGAGUAACUUGGUCAGUGAGGAUUUAUAUAGCCGACCCCAACUUGUUUGGGGACUAACGCUUAGUUAUUUUUGUUGUUGUAGUAAUUCUUGUAUCCCUUUACGUUGUCAAACUGUGAAGUCUUAGAGCUUCAGGUCUCUAGAUAUGGUAUACUAGAUUGAAAUAUUUUUCCUGUUUCUUCUACUGGGCUACAUUUCUAAAAUACUAUCUGAAUCAUGCAGAUCUUUGAAUUUAAACAACUUUAUCGGACCGAUACCAGCUUCUGUUGGUAAUUUAUCAAAGUUACAUUGGCUGGACUUAGCUGAUAAUAAGCUCAGUGGACCUCUUCCAGUUUCACCUGGUCUAGACAUGCUUGUUCACACAAAGCAUUUGUGAGUAAUACUGAUUACUGUCAGUUUCUUAAGUAACACCUUCGUCUCUCAUUUUCAUCUGAUAUACCACUUACCUCGCAGUCACCUGGGGGGAAAUCAGUUCUCAGGUGAGAUUCCAGAUCAGCUAUUCAGCUCAAAUAUGACUCUCAAACAUUUGUAAGUUCCACUGAACUGGAAGUGUAUAUAUUUUUGAGAAUUAUUUGAUGGAUCAACUUCAUUAUUGUCCCACUCCAACGCUAUGGUGCUAGCUCUGACACUUGUUGCAAACUACACCCGUUUGGCUAAUGGUUUCUUCUGUUUGGGUCUUGUAAUUGCACAGGCUGCUUGACCAAAACCAGCUUACUGGAAAAAUACCCCCUUCAUUAGGACUCGUGCAGACUCUGGAGGUGGUGUAAGUAUUUCCAAAAUCCAUCAUGCUCUUAAAGAAUUCUAAUAAGUGUCCAUCUUUCUUGCUUUUGAUUACCUGGUGAAGUUUUAUUAACUAGAUACCCAUGUCCACUGUAGUCGUCUUGACAGGAAUUCAUUAGACGGAUCGAUUCCAUCAACCCUCAAAAAUCUCGCACUUAUGAGUGAACUGUGAGUGGACAAGCAUUAUGCUAAUAUAAAAAAUCCUUUUUAUGAGUGUAUCAGACCAUCUAUAAAUUUUCCGUAUCACUUGCAGCUUCUUAUCAAACAAUAAAUUCACUGGCCCCCUGCCCAAUCUUGCUGGCAUGAAUGCCCUCUACUACUUGUAAGUUCCUUGAAACUCUUUUCUGCUAAGAAAAUGCAGCAAUCUUGAUAUUGUGAUAAUUACAGAUUAUGUCUUUCGGUUACUUUAAUUUGAUUUUGUUGCCUAUGGUCAUGUUUUGCAGAGAUAUGAGCAAUAAUACAUUCAGCUCAGCUGAUUUUCCGCAGUGGUUUUCAACUUUGCAGUCAUUGACGACUUUGUAUCUAUCUCUCUCUCGCUUUCUCUUUUUCUCUUAACAUGCAUGUGUGUAUCUGUCCCUGAGUUCACGUGCCUCAGCAGAACUCACAUGCGUCUGAGUGUAUAUGUUAUCCUAAUGAAGUGGUUCAUAGAAUUUGUUAUGCACCUCAUUUGUAUUUGUUCUGCUCAUAGGGUAAUGGAGAACACUCAACUUCAAGGAGAAAUUCCGCCAACCCUCUUCAGUCUUUUUCAGUUGCAGACUGUGUGAGUGUUCUUUUACUUUUAGUACAUGGUUCAUGUCAUGCAACUAUUCUCAUUUUCGCUGUGUGCUAGUCUUGUACAAAGUUUGAAAGGUAGUACAAAGUGACCUAGUAUAUAAUUCUAUGUUUUGCAUUUCGAUUUUACGACAAUGAGGUGGUUAUUUAUGACAGCAACUUGAGGGGAAACAAGAUCAAUGGAACCCUGAAUAUUGCAUCCAACUAUAGCAGUCAAUUAAAACUGAUUGAUUUGCAGAACAAUUCCAUCGAUGCAUAUACAGUAAGACCUGGAUUUCCUUUUCAAAUAAUGUAAGUCCUCAAGCCACUUUUUCUCCACUUUAGCAAUGAGAAAGAAAUAAUGGAUCAUUCAUGUUAGGACAUUUGAUUCGUCUGAAUACAAUUUAGUCGUUUAACAAUCUCAGUUUUCUACUUGGUCACUUGGCAGACUUAUGCAUAAUCCAGUUUGUUAUGAAGAAAGAUCAGAAGACUAUUGUGGCAUUUCCCAAACGAACUUUGUAUAUUCAACUCCACAAGAAAAUUGCCUUAAAACACAAUGCAGUUCUGAUCAAAUUCUUAGCCCUACCUGUAAAUGUGCUUAUCCGUACACAGGCGACUUAUUCUUCAGAGCUCCUUCCUUUUCUGACUUGACAAACACAAGCAUUUAUGAGUCACUUCAGAAGUCUAUGCUAUCUUCUUUUAGCCCAAAUCAGGUGCCAGUAGAUUCAGUUUCCUUGAGUAAUCCAAAAAAGAACUCAGAGUACUACCUUGUGUUGCACCUGCAAGUUUUUCCAUUUGGCCAAGAUCAUUUCAACCGUACAGGGAUUGCCACAAUUGGAUUUGCACUUAGCAACCAGACUUACAAACCCCCACCAAAGUUUGGACCAUUCUUUUUCAGUGGUGAAAGCUACAAAUACUUCGAAGGUGAUUGGUCAUUUCAUUUCAUUGAUAUGUAAAUGUAUUUCCUAUGCACAAGUUUCAUCUGAUAGCCGUACUAUUAGUCGUGGUAUUACUCUUGUAGUUUAUUGCCCUUUGAGUUAGGUUAUCGUCUAUAGUUUUUUUACACUUCGAUAUAUUGUUUUCAGUUGGAUCAAGAGGAACUCACAAGUCAAUCACUAAAGGAAUUAUAAUUGGAGCAGCUGCUGGUGGUGCUGUCCUUUUAAUUUUAUCAGUAAUAAUAGGAGUUUUAGUUUGCCAAAAGAAAAGAGAUCAAGAAGCUAUUAGAAAGAGUAACCCUUUCGGUGUGUUCUGUUACUGUUCUUUAGUGUUGCUUCUAACUUUUUAUUUCGCUGAUGGUUAUCGUCUUUUUUAUCUGUCCAGCUACAUGGGAUUCUAUAAAAGACAGCGGUGGUGUUCCACAGUUAAAAGGUGUCAAAUGUUUCACAUUUGAAGAGUUGAAAAAAUACACCAAUAAUUUUUCAGAAAGCAAUUACAUUGGAUCUGGUGGUUAUGGGAAGGUUGGUUUCUAUUGACUUUUGAUAAUACAAUGUUAUAUUAUGAUGACUGGUUAAAAAGCUGUUGCUUUAAUUCUAUCCAUACUAUCUGCACCAUCUUUCGGGCAAGCUAAAGUUAGUUGAUCACUUAAAACUUCUCGUGAACUUACAGGUAUACAAAGGCACACUUCCAGAUGGACAACUUAUUGCAAUUAAAAGAGCAGAACAAGCAUCUAAGCAAGGCGCCCUCGAGUUUAAAACUGAGAUUGAGAUUCUUUCAAGGUUUCAUCACAAAAAUGUUGUCAGCCUUGUAGGAUUUUGUUUCAGGCAAGGUGAACAGAUGCUGGUCUAUGAGUUUAUACCAAAUGGAUCCUUGAAAGAGAGUCUUUCAGGUAUUUUGAACUCUCAUCGACUGUUGUUUUGAAAAUCAGCUGUAGGUUGGAAUGUCUGGGCAUUGAUAAGUUAGUGUUAACUUCUGCAGGAAAGUCCGGGAUUAAGUUAGAUUGGAAGAGGAGACUUCGGAUAGCCCUUGGAGCAGCCAGAGGUUUGCAAUAUCUUCAUGAUCAUGUUGACCCUCCUAUCAUCCACAGAGAUAUCAAAUCGAAUAACAUCUUGCUGGAUGAGCGCUUGACUGCAAAAGUUGCUGAUUUUGGUCUUUCCAAGACGAUGUAUGAGCCAGACAAGGGUUACGUCAGUACUCAGGUUAAAGGAACAAUGGUAAGUCCAGACUUUACAAAUGUUGUCAUAUGGUAGCAUUUCUCAGUUUCUAUAUUUCUUAAGUCACUGGAAACUCCUGUCCUUUAAUAGUUAUAGACUGGUGAUCGUCUUGGUUCAAUUCUUAAAAGUUAACACUGAAGUUGCGUCCUGAUCAAUUACACAUUGUGCUGAACUUAUGUAUGUAAGUUCAUACAACGAAAGGAGUUCAUUGGUUAAACUGCUUAAAAAGACUAAAACAACAGUUGAUUUGUAAUUUUCGCAGAGUAGAAAACUUGAAACCUGAACACUUGAUAUCAACAUUGUUUGAAGAAUCUGUAACAGAACAUUUAAUUAAUACGAGCUGCUUUGUACAUUUAUCGGCUUAGGGCUACAUGGAUCCAGAGUACUACACAACACAACAGUUGACUGAGAAGAGUGAUGUCUAUAGCUUCGGAGUUCUGCUGCUAGAGCUUAUAACAGCACGGAGUCCUAUUGUGAGAGGAAAAUACAUUGUGAAGGAAUUGAGGCAAGCGAUAGACAAGUCUAAAGACAUGUACAACAUUGAUGAGUUUGUUGAUCCUGCUAUCCCCUCAAACAUGACACCUAUAAGCUUCAGGAAGUUUGUGGAUCUAGCUUUCACAUGCCUCGAAGAUGCAGGAGCUAAUAGGCCAACAAUGGCUGAGGUAGUGAAAGAGAUUGAGAAUAUCAUGGAAAUAGAUGGAUUGAACAGUUGUGCUGAAUCCAGAUCAACUUCUGUGAGCCACGAAGGAACCAGCGCAACCUUUGAUCAUCCUUACAGUGAGGAAAGCCUAAAUCGUUACAAUGGGGUCACCAAUUCGCGAUAAACACCAACUCUUCUCCUGGAACCAGGUACAUUGUCAUAGAAAUGGAAAGUGAUUCAAGCAACUGUUGUGCUUUUGUGUUAGCUGUGUACAUUCUGUGAACCUCUGUGUGCGGCGUAAACAGCCUUGUAUGUUUCAACUGUUUGCUUCUGAUAAUCCAGGAGCUAGACUCCGUGGAUUCAAAAUGAGUGAUUUUAUUGUACGUAUACAUUUUAAUUUUGAUUUAUUUUUACCUAUGUAUACAUAAUACGAAUCAAAAAGUAAUGCUUCAAUUGAACCUACACAGAACCACCCUAGAUCAGGAAAAAUUUAGGCUGUGUUGAAACUUGUCUAAUCUUUAAAACUCUACUGCUAUCAUCGGUACGACUUUAACCAAUUUGUUUACCCAAAAAACGGUAUAAUUGAAUUUAUACGAGGUCAAGAGUACUAAUUAAUCUAACUCUGUGAUACUUCAAUUACAAUUGUGGCAUUUUGGUAAUUCAUUAUACAUUUCUUUUUUAUUUGAAAAGUCUAAUAAGAAUAGGUCAAUACCAAUUUGAUUGAUUAGUUGACCUGCUAAGAUAGUACAGGUAAAUGACUGACCCCAUCUCAUAAAAACCUUAAUUAUGAUACCGAUUUAUGAUGGGACAUAUAUUGUCUACUAUUAUCUUUGUAAGUCAAUUCGACUCAUUUUUUAAGUUCGUUAAAUUUAAAAUAUUUUUAAAAAAUUAUAGUACAAAUUAUGGCUUUUCUUAGUUUAAUUUGAUAAAAAAAAUUAUAUUUUCAAAUAUUGAUCAAAGUUUAUCUUAUUUGACUCUCGAAAAGGCUGGGGCAUAUUUACUAUGCAAAAUACAGUACAUAUGAACCCAUGAUCUUCUCCAAUAAAAUGUCAAUUCUCAAUUAAUCAUGCUAGUUGGAAACUAGAACUUUAUAAUCAUAGCAACCACUUGUGAAAUUAAUUAAUGAGUGGAUCCAUAUUAUAAAGAUGCUCCUGUUAUCAUAUUGUCUCUCCAACUUUUAAAAAAGGAAAAAUCUUUUUGGCCAGAAAAUUUUGUCAGAAUUUGAUCAAAUGAUAUUUUUCUAUGUUAUUUUAAUUUUUUAAACAUUCUUACCCUUUUAAAUUAAAUACAUUUUAACUAAAAAUAGAAAAAAGAUCUAUUUGUUUUAAAAUAAAAAAGAUAUUAUAGUUUUUUUAAUUUGCUAGCCAUUUAGCACUUCUCUUUUAAAAAUAUCCACAUUAUGAUAUUGAAAAUUGUUGGACUUGAUUAUUUUGACACAUACUCGCCAAUGACUAGGAUUACGUCAAUUCAGAUGUUAAUUGCCCUAGCUUCAGUAUAUGAUCUUGAAAUCCAUCAAAGGGAUGUGAAAACCACCUUCUUAAAUGGAGAGCUGGAGGAAGAGAUUUACAUGGAACAACCUGAGGGCUUCGUAGUUCUCGGUAAAGAAAAGAAAGUAUGCAAACUUGUUAAGUCACUUUAUGGACUAAAACAAGCACCGAAACAAUGACAUGCAAAAUUUGAUCAAACCAUGUUGUCAAAUGGAUUUAAGAUCAAUGAAUGUGAUAAAUGUGUCUACAUUAAUGACACUCCAAAUCAGGAGGUCAUUGCAUGUCUAUAUGUGGAUGACAUGCUGCUAAUGAGCCAAGACAUUGCUAAUGUAAAACUACUAAGCGUAUGCUCGCUAGUAAGUUAGAUACGAAAGAUUUAGGAGUUGCCGAUCUUAUAUUAGGAAACACUUCCUUUAGUUCUUAAAGGAAAAUUGAUGUGAUUGAUAAUAUUUUUGGAAAAAAUUUAUUUAAUCAAUCUCAUUAAUUGAUUUCCUUUCUCUUAUAAAUUAAUUCAGGAUGUUAGUUAAUUAACAUAAUUAAUUUCGCGUAACGAAAUUUAUUUGAAAUUCGCGUGUAACGGUAAAAACGUUCUGAAGGGACCUGUUCCUUCUGAAAAGGCGUUACUUUUCCCAAAAAGACACAACGUUCUGGAAAGAUACCAUUGUCCGAACAGACGUGUUCCUUGCUGCAAAUGGCUAUAAAUAAGAGGUCUUUUUCGUUUUUCAUUCACUGAAAAACUUUCCUCUCUGCAUAUAUUUUCUUAUAUAAACAAAUUGUCGAUCGACUAAGUCUGUGUGUGCUCUCGUUACUGUUCUUGCGUUUGCUGAAAUUAUUGAAGUUUGAGGUACCGCUACUUCUCUAAUGGAAAAAUCACCCCAUAUACACAUUUAAAAGUAAAUAUUACGAGUUUUAAGCCUACUUUUAAAAAUUUCUUGAUUAUAACAGAAUAUUUACUGGUUAUGACAUAUCAAUUAAAAUUAUUUUUAUUUUUAUUUUAAAUUUAAAUUAUAUUUAUUUAAUAAAUCAUUAAUAUAUUUAUAGGUUUUUAAUAUUAGUUAAUAAUAGAUAAUUAAUUUGUUUUUUACUUCCUUUUUUAAAAAGAAAAUGUCAAUUACCCAAAUUUAGGGAUUUACUCAAUAUCUUUUCCUUGUUUACUGUUACCCUCACCAAUCGUACACCCCACCCCCACCCCACACGUUUCUUCACUCACACACACCUCAACCCACCACCGACUAUCAUUCUCUCUCCAUUGUUUCUCAUCUUCUCCAAAAUCAAACCGCCAAAACCCACCAACACUCCAAAAUCAAACCGAUUAAUCAUGUCUAAGAAAUCGAUGGAAACUCCAAGAAAGAGCCCCAGAUUUGAUGAAACCUUAAUCGAUGAUGCUCAUGCUCCAUCCUUUUAACAUACUGUCUGAAGAUGGCGCGAUUAGCAAAAGCGAAGUUACGGGGACAGUUGCUAGCAAAUAUGGUGGACCUCGGAUAGCAAAAGAACACAUUCCGGAUACAAUCGAUUAUCCUACACCAAUACCACCGAUUAAAAAGUCGAAAUAGUUGGUUGGAUAAUUAUUAUUUUUUAACUUUUGGAUAAUUUUUUCAUGUUUAACUUUGGAUAAUUCUUUACCGUUUAAGUAUUUGAUGAUAUAUACUACAAUAUGUUAUCAAAACAAUUGAUUGCACCUUUUUAUUCUUGUUUGAGUGUUAUAAAAUAGUUAACAAUGUGCACAUAGUGUCUGGUAUGAAUUUUUUUUUUAUAAUGUUUGGGUUUCAUAAGUUCAGGACAAAAUUACUAUACAUAAUUCAUACAGCUCGGAUACACUAUCUUUUAAGCAGUAAUGUGUAUAUUGAAUGUAUGAAACAGGUAUGAAAUACCAGUUAUAUCAAUAUGAUUAUGAAUUUACUAUUAAAAACGCGAAUUGUGCUCUCGUUACUGUUCUUGCGUUUGCUGAAAUUAUUGAAGUUUGAGGUACCGCUACUUCUCUAAUAGGUUAAUCCGUUUUAUCUUGGAAGGAAUUAAUCUGCAACCUCAGAUACUUGAGGGGAUUAAAUUUCUUAAGAAAAUACAGUGGAUUCUGUGGACUCGAAUUAUUAUUUAUGUCUGUUUCAUCUAUUUUUAUGUUUCUGUUUUGCUAACCUCAAUAGAGGACAUAACAGAAACUCCAAUUCAGCUAUCAAUGGUUAUUUACUAAGGUAAUGAUUCAAAUUUUCAAAAAAAUUCUUAGUACUAAAAAAUAUGCCAUGGUCCUCCCCUCCCAUUUAAUUCAAACAGUUAAUAAUUUCCUUUUCCUUUUCAUUUUUUGGUAGUGGAGGAUGGCGAUUUUUUCUAUUGCGAAUUAGUGGGAAGUUUUCCCAUCUUAUUCCUUCGAACUAGCUCGUUAUAAAAAUACAUGGUGAAAAAUAGAUUUUUAUCGAAAUACUGAGAAUAGUGAUUUGAACAUUUUUUCUUUUCUCACUAACUCAAUCAAAAUAUCUAUGAAAAUAGUCACCGAAUAUUUUUAGUGGAAAAUUUCAAUGAAGAAAUAAUAAUUUUUAAGUAGUGGAUUUCACUUGUGAUCAAAGAAGUUCAUAUUUAUAUAUUCAAAAACUAUAUAAUAUAAAAAUUACUCACUUCUCUUCUCAUUUUUAUGCUUUUUUUUUUUUUUUUUGGUUUGUACAAAGUAGUAAUUAAUCAAGUACUAUCAUCACUAUUGGUAGGGCUAGAAAGCACUUGCUUUUUAAGGUUGUCAAUGAUCAUAACCAACUUUGUGUUCAACCGAUUCACGAAGCAUUUUGGUAACCAUCCUGCUGGAUCCAACUGCAAAUUUUCAUCCAAAAAAAAUAAAUUAAUUUCCAUUUUUAUUUAAUGAAAUUACAAAAUAUAUAUACGCAUAAACUACGGUCAAUAAAACGAAUGAAAACUAUAAUUCAACUGACAAAAAAAAAGAAAUACUCCAUCAGGUAAUUAAUUUCUCUUAUCUAUCCAAAUUUUGAAAUAAUCGAGAUAUGUGCGAAUUGACAUUGAACAUUACCUGGACAACGUAAGUGACCAUGCAAGAAUCAUGGUCAAUUUUCUCAACAACCCAUCCAGAUUGCAACAAUAAACCUCUUAUUGCAUUGUUUUGCUUUGGGUGCAAACCUGCUGCUAUCUCUUUUGGAAGUGAAGCUACUGCUACUACCUACAACAUUAAUUAACAUUUAACAAAAAAACAUCAUAUGUGCGUUUGUUUGUUAUCAACUUGCAAUUAAAAUAAUACGUACCAGUGUUCCAUCAUCCAUAGUUUCACGACGUUCAUAGACAAUAAAUUCUCUGUUUCUGAAUAAAGGCUUCGAAUUUUCCCCAAAUCUAAGACGUAUAAUACUCAAAUUAUCUUCCAAAUCCUUUAUGUAUCUUGCUUCUACUAAGUCCCCGUCCCAUUGCUGUCAUUUUCAUUCAUCAAACAAUAAACUAAUUUGAUCGAUAAUACUUGUUAUUUUAGAAAAUGCGCGAUAAUUUAUUCAAACUUACCCUUGCAGCAUCGAUGGCGUUAGCUACGGUGAUGAAUUGUUCAGGAGAGACAGAUUUGAGUAACCAACGGCUACGGAAAGUGUGAAGUGAACCUGAACGGCGUUUAGAUAUCUCAACGCCGUUAUCUACGCCAAGUAUUUUCCAGCCAUCGUUACAACUUUUUGAAUCUGAAGCUGAUAAUAAUUCUUGGAUGCAAUUUUCACUUGCAUAGAACACAUAUCUUCUCAAUGAGUCCUCACUGAUUGACCUAUACAACAAGUAAACAACGAGUCUGAACGACAACCUACUUGCAAAAGUUGAACUUAUAGACAUACGCGUGACAUAAAUAAAAAAGUAUGUAGUAGUAUAACUUACCAUGAUCUACUACAAGGAACAGGACUAGAAGUAAGAUUACUCAUCUUGAGCCACAAAAAGGAUAUAUGAGAGAGUUUUAUUUUAGUUUUGUUCCUCAAACUCAGGGAAAAGAUAGAUGAAUUUAAGGAUAUAUAUGGUUGAGAGGAGGGUGGGGGGUUGUUAGAUCAAAGUACAAUGUUAGAUUGUUUUGAAAGAAAAGAAGGGGAAUUGGUUAAUAUAUUACUAUAUGUGUGUAAUGUUUAAAUAAUAAGUGGGAAGAGUUGAUUGUUGCACAUGGAAUGCCAGAGAAAACUCCAUGAUUAAAAUUGCUAGUCAUUAUCUCCACUCUUCUUUCAAUUUUUCUCUUCUCUUUUUUAUCUCUUCUAAAAAAAACUCCAUGAUUAAAGAUGUUUAUUGGUUUCGACUACUGCACUAUUUUGUUGUUAUUCGUAUUCUUUCUUUUAUUAGUUAUUAUGUUUGUCAUUGUUUUCUUUUUCUUUAUAUUUGAAAUUGCUGCACUUGAGUCGAAGGUCUUUCGAAAACAGUCUUUCUACCUCGCGAGGUAAUAAUGGUAAAGUCUGAGUAUACUUUAUCUAGGUAUGUUGUUGUUGAUGAUGUUGUAAUAUAAAAGAGGCUACCAAACAUGCCAUGUGCAUCGUCAUCCCCACUCUCUUAGCCCUUUGUACCUCUUUUUUCGAAUAAAAUUAAAGAAUCUUUUUUUUUUUGUUUAAAGUCUACAAAAGAAAUGAAAUGAAGAAAAAGACUAACAACUAAAGCCAGACUAAUAUUGUUGAGAAUUCAUUUAUUUUUCUACCCAAACUUGCUUUGGCUAUGGGUGACAACAACAUACCCCAAAGGUUCCAUCUUUUAACUUUGGUCCCCUCAAUCACGUGCCACUUAGCUAACUCACAAAAAAAAAAAUUGUAACACAAACAAAAACAAAAAAACCCUAAGACAAAACUUAAAUUACUUUUUUUCUACUAGUGUUGGAAUUUGUUAUUAUAAAUUUGAAUCCAUUCAAAGUAGUAGAAUAAUUCAGCAGUACCGUAGCCAAAUCAGUUCUCUGUACUUAUUAAGUAAGACAAUUUCACUUAUUACUUUAUACUAUUUUUAUAACUUAUCUUUUCAGUGAUCGAAAAAAAAUAAUCAGUUUUGGAGCUAUUCUUCUGAAUUCUGAUUCUCACACAUUGACAGAGCAUGGAGUGGGAAGGAAUUCAAGAAAGCAUCAACAAUCAAUCUUUUUAAAAGCAAAAAUAUGCACCAUUUUGGAUUUGAUCAACAACAACAUACUCGAUAUAGUCCCACAAAUUGGAUCUGAAAAGAAUAUCAUGCAUGUUAUCUAUGUAAAAGAUAGAUGAGUCGUUUCUGGCUGACCCUCAACUCAAGUAAAACAUAUCAAAAUCAAGUAUCAUAACAAAAUACUGACGAUAAGAAUAUAGUAAUAGAAGCAAAAGAAACAACAUGAAAUAAUAAAAUUGAAGAAAAAAAUUAGGAGAGUAAUAAUAUCAAAUACUAAUCGAUUGAUGAAAAAAUAAAUUAACAAUCAUUCCUAAAAUUUUGUUCUAUGUAAAAAGGAAAAGUCUUAUCAUAAAGUUCAAUAUGUCAUGGUUAUUAACGGACCCUUGUUAAUCAUAAAUUUUUAAAUAAGUGUCCGUUAACAAGGGUAAUCUAUUGUUUUAAUCAUUACUUUGAAUUUAAAAACAAAAAAGGGGCCAUGAUCCAUUUAAUCUCAUUGGAAAUCUAAAGCAGGUAUAAUAAUUAUCACCAUAGGGUUUCUAAUAAAUGAAUUAAAUUACCCAAAAAGACGGAUACUAAUAAAUCAUUUCAUUUAAUGGUUAUUAUGAAUCCAUCUAAGCAAAAAGAUGAAUUUUCUAAAAGCAAGUGUGGGAUCAAGAUAAUUAAUUGAGCAAGCCUUUGGCUUUAAGGCUAUUCACUGUAUCCUUAAUUGCAUCUUCAACUGGGGUGAAAAUUAGUCCCAAAUCAAUCAAUUUUUUAGCAGCAUCUUUGCAAGCCACCAAGCCUGGCUGGGUCUCCCCUGUGAACCUGUAUUCAAUUUUAUCCACUAUUAUUGGAGACAAGACCAGACCAAUCAUACAAAAAGGUAUCUAAUAAAAAAUGGUAUCUUAUGCAAUUGAAACUAAGACAUGAAAGAAAUUCUCAAAGGGGGCAAUUAUAACAACUUAUCAAACAUAUCCAGUGUAAUCCCACGAGAGGAGUCUGGGGAGGUAGUGUGUACGCAGACUUUCCUACCUUGAGAGGUAGAGAGGUUGUUUCUGAUAGAUCCUCCGCUCAAGGACAAGUUUAUCAAAGCAGUUCGGAAAAAGCAAUAACAGAAGUGAGGAACUUUCAAUUUGAUUAAAGCACAUUGAAUGCUAAAAAAAUGAAGCCUAGAGUCAACCUGGUUAUAAGUCAUAGCUAAAUAAAUGCACUGAGGAAACAUUUCAAUAGAGGCACAUGGUAGUUAGGAGCAAUUGGAUGGUUGAUAACUAAAAUUUAUAAUGUACUAACCUCAGUAUACAUUUGAAAUUCAGUUAUCAAAUAAAGUUAAGCUGAUUAUGCAGAGACCCUGAUACAAAUCAGGUCGACCAUGAAUUACAAAUUACUUAAAACAACAUAUUAACGAGAUUUACAUAUGACUAAAAGAUGCUGAGGCUGAACUUCAGCAAUAAGUCUCAGUCGUAAAACUAUUCAGGAUAACGAGAAUAGAAUCACUAAAAGGAAGGAUAAGCUGAAUAGGUAACAUGGAAGGUGACCAGUGGGACUUGGAAUGCUAUAGAUGUAGCUAGCACUUCAUAGUGGGGUUUCUUUGGGUAGCCUUACAGUUUUAAAGUGGGGUUGUUAAAGGCCUGGAUAACAUAAAGGUGAUCUUGAUUCUUGACAGUUGUGACUUCUGAAUGUGUGUUGUGCAAUUAAAAUUCCUUUGAAGCUAAUACUUGAGGUGGGGUCAGGUAAGACCAAUUUGUAUCUAUACUCCUGCAAGUUAGGUAUCUACUGCACAUGUUGGUUUUCAUACCGAAGAAGUGGAAGGCUGUCUAUAUCACACCCCUUGGAGUGCGGCCCUGCCCUGUACCCUUCUAACGGGGGAUGCUUUGUACACCGGGCUGCACUUCAUACCAAAGUGUAGAAUGGAAGCUCCUGCCACCCCACUACUAUAAACCAUGUCGUAAUUGAUUUUACAUUAAAUGAAAUACUAUUGUCAUGUAAUAAUCACUUCAUUUUGCACAAGAUUUUUCUAUUGAGUAUAGUAUAUUAAUCUCCCUCCUAUUUUUAUUGACCUACUUCCAGUGUACCACCAACAAUUUAUAUGUGAAUAUAAACUAAUACUUCUUUUAAGCUAUUCAAGUUAAAUGUCAUAUGUUCAUGAUUCAACUUAAUGCUGUAAGCAAUUUUAACCAUAUUCAGUAUAAAAUCCCAAUCAAACAGUUCACUGAUAUUUGGAGAGUCUAAGGUGGUUGGUUGAGGGGAUGUAGGAAGUAGCUUUAAAUGACAAAAAAGGGAGUAAUUAGUUGAAAAGUUGUUUCAUCUUUUAAAUAACAUAAACUAAUUUUUCAGUUGAGGAGUUGGUGUGCAGAAAAAGUUAGUCAGCAUUUAUUUGGGAAAGGCCAAACAAAAUUAAGAGUUUUCCAACGAGAUGGAGAGAGUAUUAAACUAUUGAGGUAGUAAUAGAAGUGACUGUCUAUAUGUUAUGCCUGAAGAAAAUCUAGUUAACAAAACUUCGUUCCCAAGUUCUUCAGGUGGAGAUCAGUUCUUAAUGACUCAAGCUGCUCAUUUCUUACUGUUGAAUUGUAAAACAACAUCGAAAUUUAAGUUUAUCAUCAUUCAGUUAAAGAUAGCAUAGCUGAAUUAUACGCCUUUUGAGUAACAGAGGAGAACAAAUAACUAGUUGGCUAUGUCAAAUCCAGUGUUGAUAAAGAUUAAAUGUUAUUAGCUGAGACGAAGACUGGACUGGAUUAACAGAUGUAAAAACAUCCCUUUCAAUAUAUGUCCUAUUUUUGCAUAUAACAGAAGAUUAAACUUGAGGAUAGUUACGAUAGAGAGAGAAGCAAACCUGUAGACAGAGAAUUCAGGAGAAAGUUUUGAGACUCUGUCAGCAAAAUCACCAAACUGGUAAAUGCCAUUGGUACAUAAGUAUCUUCCAGAAGCACGAGGGCUCUCAAAUAACAAAAUCUGUGCCGCUGCCACAUCUUUGACGUGCACAGCCCCUAACCAAUGAUACUCUUGGGUAUCUGUUGAUCCCUGAAGCAGUUGUUGCAAAACAGCGCAGCUUGCAUUCAGUCCAGGUUGCAGAAGUUGACCAAGACAUGUAGCUGGAUUAAUUGCUACCACAUCCAAUCCAUUCUUCUCCGCAAACUCCCAUGCAGCCUUCUCAGCAAGUGUCUUUGAGACUGGGUACCAUUUCUGUCAUUGAACUCAAUUAUGAUUUAUAAUGUUUAAGAGCUCUUCGUCAUGCAUGAGAGGUAAUUAUAUCAUACUAUAUGUCAAUGGGGGAAUCAGGAACGGUAAGUUUUGAAUCCUUGCAACUUUGUUUAAAAUAAAAGUAAAUUUAGAAGUCAAGGAAAUCAAAUAGAAAGUGUCCAUUUAUUAGGACAUGGUAAAUAAUUGAGUAGAUCACUCAACAAUAUUGGAUUAUACUACAUUAUUAGAGAAGUGGAUUAUGCAAGCAGUAAUCUCGAUAUAAGCCUAAAGCUCUGCAAUAAGAAGUUUUAACAUGUUGAUUCUCAAUUACCCAAAAUACUUCAAUUGGUACACGCACGAAAUAGGCUAAUUAAACAGUCUUUUGUUCAAUCUCUCGUGGAGUCAAAGGAGUACUGAUCCCCUAAAGCGAAGGUAGUGUUCUUUUAAUUAUUAUAAUUAAUCGCUCACCUCCAGCUGAAACUUUAAUUCCCUACUACUUGUGGCAUAUUUGGUUAACAAGGAAUGAUAAUCUCUUUAAUAAUAAAAAAAACUUCCUAUUUCAUGUACACGGGCUACUCAACAAGCCACAGAAUAUCAUUUUUUGGCUAGGGCAUCAACUCCCAAGGUGCCUAGAACCCAAUUACAACUCAAAUGGAUACCCCGAAACCAAAUUAUUAUAAACUCAAUACUGAUGGGGCCUUUACAAAUAUGUCGGAUAGUGGAGGCAUAGGAGGAGUUUUUAGGAACACAGAUGGUCAUUGGAUACUAGGCUACUGUAUGCAUAUUCCAUAUACUACUAUCACUGAAGCUGAACUAAAGGGUCUAUUCCAUGGCCUAUGCUUAGCUAUGCUUAUGAACCUAUCUCCAAUUCAAGUGGAAAUUGAUAUAAAAGAGGUAAUCACAUUGCUAUCAUCUUCCAAUGCAAAAUAUGCUGAUAUUUUACUUGAUUGCAGGUCCACACUUCGACAAGUCUGUGAAACACUCGUCACUCACAUUUACAGGGAGCAGAAUCAGGUAGCAGAUAGUCUAGCUAACCAUGGAGCAACAAUGGAGCUUUGACUACAUUACCACUUUUUGAUAGCCCAACCCCUUUUACAGAAUCGAUGGUCGAAGCAGAUAGUCUAGACACCACUUUUUGUCGACAAACAACUUUUUGUAACUUACCAACUGAUAGUCUAACUAGUGAGGCAUGUAGUGCAUUUCACACUACAAUGCCAGUAACCUCUUUUUGUACUUCUAGAAUAGGGCCAUCUACUCCCUGUAAUGUUUUAUAUUAAUUAAUGCAACUCAUCUAUUUCUACCCAAAAAAAAAAAAAAAGUAGUGUUCCUCUAUUGGAAUGUUAAUUAUUGGCUCAAUCUCCUCUAGAUGUUUGUUUAACAAAACAUCAACUUUAUUUAAAGUCAAACGUGCUUUUUGUUUCUUUUUUAACCUUAGAUAACCCACAGCCGGCCUAAGGAUAAGCAUUUUGUGCACACGAAGUACAUAGCCUACAAACCACACCGAAGAUGUAAACCGCACUACAAAAGCUUUAUGCAACAGACUCAACUCUGAAGGGAUUGAGGUGGGGGACCGAUCCAUAUGGAUAACCACCCUCCAAACCCAAACCAACCGAGUCAUCCGAAGACGUGUUAAUUUUUUAUUAAUAGAACUAAUUCUUUUUUUUUUUUCAACAGCAAAGUUGGCGUUAUAAUUCAUUGAGCUGAAAUACGAUGUUUGGCAGCUCAGUUCCAGAAUCUAAAUAGACAAAAUGUAUUGCCAAACUGAAGCAGCUUUAUUCAGGGGUUGUAGCAGCAAAACUAAAGAGUAAUAACAUAACAUACAAAGACAUCUCUACGUUGUCUUGCACAAUUCAUGCGACAGCAAAGUUGGCACUAUAAUCCAUUGAGCUGAAAUACGAUGUUUGGCAGCUCAGUUCCAGAAUCUAAAUAGACAAAAUGUAUUGCCAAACUGAAGCAGCUUUAUUCAGGGGUUGUAGCAGCAAAACUAAAGAGUAAUAACAUAACAUACAAAGACAUCUCUACGUUGUCUUGCACAAUUCAUGCGACAGCAAAGUUGGCACUAUAAUUCAUUGAGCUGAAAUACGAUGUUUGGCAGCUCAGUUCCAGAAUCUAAAUAGACAAAAUGUAUUGCCAAACUGAAGCAGCUUUAUUCAGGGGUUGUAGCAGCAAAACUAAAGAGUAAUAACAUAACAUACAAAGACAUCUCUACGUUGUCUUGCACAAUUCAUGCGACAGCAAAGUUGGCACUAUAAUCCAUUGAGCUGAAAUACGAUGUUUGGCAGCUUAGCUCCAGAAUCUAAAUAGACAAAAUGUAUUGCCUACAAAUGAUGAUUAUGAAAAAGGCUAAAUAACGAUGACAUCCUCAUCUGGAUGAUUUUCCGGUGCGCCUUGACCUCUUGCCCUCAUCCCAGGCUCCAUAUCAACACCAUCAUGAUUGCUCCCCAGCAGAUCGUUCUUAUGGAAGAAUGGCGGUUCCCCACCACUUCCACUCUCACAACCAUCGGUGAGUUUGGCAAUCACAUCAAUUAAUGCUUGUUCAUGUUCCUUGAGCAUUUUCUUUGCCUUUGCAAGCUCAGCCAGAUCAGGGCGACUUGCAUCAAUAACCUUCUUUAUCAGUGUUGCUGUGUGCAGAAUCUCAAUUUCAUCUGAUGUCUUCUGUACGAUUCUAUUCUCUGAUGCAUUGACAUCAUUCUCAAAUUGUUGCCUAGCAAAUCUCCUCCCUCUUCCAGCAUUUAGAGUAUUAACUCCUCCAUAGCCUGGCCCACCACCUCCUCCUACUCGAGAUAUUCCAGGAUCACCACCUAUCCAACGAAUAUCCAUGGAGUGAAUCUCUUUGGGAUCAACCUAUUCCCAAGUUUCAUUUGGUGUAUUCAUAUCAUACACCAAAGCAUGCCGAGCAUCGACAGCGCUGUAGUCAGUUAUAAUGGCCUUGUAGAAGUUGUUGUCAUGUGGCCACCUAGUCAUCACUCUUCUCCCAAUCAAGGGGUCGUGGUGCGGUCUUUCAGCAAAUUCAGCAGAACGAAGAGCACUUGAAGAACCAGGACCAGCCUGCUGAUAAUGAACAGGCCUUGAAGAGGAGAACAGUUGCUGGCCAGGUCUAGACGUAAAUCCUCCAUUUCCUGGGGCUGCUGCCCAUUUUGCACCUGGAGUAGUAGGUUGCGUGCUUGCUGCAAUUGUCUGAUGGUGCAAGGACUCCAACGGGGCACCAAGUGGCACUAUCACAGAUUUUGUUGAUCCAGAAACUGUUGGACUGGGGAGUUGAUCUUGGUUUCCAUUGGUCUUUCUCCACUCCCUGAUACUAUGAAUACGGUUAUCGGCAUUGACGUUGGUCAGUAGGUCUCUGUGCUCAUCGUCUGAGUUGUGUUAUCAAGCUUUCCUUUUCCCAUGUAAGAGCAUCAGACUGUGCUUUGAAAGCUCGAAGGAUUGCACCAUAUGCAUCCUGCUCAAGGUUGUGAAUUUCGACUUCCAUAUCAACAUACAUCCCCUUUGGUAUGGGGAUGAACUUAUACUAGACCUACCGUUUCCACCUAUAUAUAAUACUAUGUGAUUGAGGCCGAUCAUCAUCACUACCCCUGCUGAUUUCUAAAAGUCCAUACACCGGAUCUUCAAGCUAUAUUAAUCUCACAAUUUCACAAAUUAAACGAAACGGCUUUCUCAUGCAGAAAAGAUUGUUGUUUAAUGCCCUUCAACUAAUUCCAACUUAUUUAUAUUAAUAAUAAUAAUAAUUUGAGUUUUACACCUAACAAAUUUUAAAAAGUUCAUUUUAACCUAUUUAAUUUCUAAGUAAUCAUAAAUAAAUUAAUUUUAGAUAUCACGUGAAAAGCACGUGUAUAUUGGUGAGAGAAUGACACCUGGCGAGACUUGCAGUAGUCAAGAUCAGUCCACGACGACUCAUCGAACACCUUAUUUUCCGGCCAACCAGGAUUGGGAACCAUGGCGGAAAUGGAGGAAGUGAGCACCACGCGCCGAACAUUAAACCUCUUCGCCGCCGUGAGCACAUUGAUCGUACCCUGUACGGCCGGCUCAACCAGCUCCUUCUGCGGGUCCACCGGAUCCUCUAGCGUACACGGCGACGCCACGUGGAAAACCCCACCGCCGCCGCAUCCUGCUAUUGCUCUGGAGACUGCAUCGGCGUCAAGGAUGUUGACUUCGUGAACCAAUAUUCGCACGCCGGGGUUAGAUGCGCCGGCGAGAGAGUGGAGGUGCGAAGGAUCGGUACCGGGGAAGAUGGCGGCGUGGAUGGUGGUGUAGCCGCGGUUGAGGAGCGUCUGAACCACCCAUGAACCGAUGAAUCCGUUGGCUCCGGUGACGCAAACCGGUGGUUUUUCGGUAGACAUUGCUGGAAUUGCGUAACAAACCGAUUAAUUGUUGAACUGUUCAGUAGUGACAAAAAGGAUAUAAUGAUAGCGAUGUGCUUAGUUAAAUGAAAUAAAAAUUAGUUAGGGAAGUAAUUAAUAUAAAUACGAAUUGGAUUUGCGUUAAGAGUUAUAGAUAAAACAAAAUUUUAUCCUUUAAUCCCAAUUUGAUUUAAUCCAUUAGAGUCGUAAUUUUUCGUUACACGUUGCUCCGAUAUUUGCUUAGGGAGUAUGAUUCAGAUAAACAACAAUACUUGUACUCUUUAUCUUUACAAUUAAAUUAGCACCGUUAUAAUUGACUGAUUUUAUAGAUAAGGAAAAUGAUCUUUUUUAAUAGGAUUAAAGAAAAUAAAUUUUAGUGAUAUUUUAUAUUCAUUGUUUAUACCCAUUUUUCAUUGCAAAAAAUAAAAGUUUUCAAGGCUAGCUAUGCUUAUUCGUUUCUGAGCUCAUGACAAUUCACUUAGACACCUCAACUAAGAUUAGUACCUAUUGAACACUUUUAUCUAUUUAAAACUUGUUCCUAUUAGAUAUUUUUCGAUAAUAAGUAAAACAAACAAAGUGUGUAAUACACUUGUUGUGAUGUGGCAAAAUGACAAAUUACAAGAUAACAUGUGGCGUUGAGCCCAACAAUUAUAGAAAAAAAAGAAUUUUUAUGUUAAAAAGAAUUAAAAUCAUUUCAAAUAUAUUUUUCAUCUAUUUUUUUAUUAAAAAAAAUAAAUGAGAAUCCCAACCCUACCCCAGCCCCCUUUCUUCUUCAUCUUCUUCCAAGCAAGAUUUUCUUUCUCAAACGAUAAAAUUCAAUUUCUUUGUUAUUUGCUUAUAUAAUUAUUUUUUAUUCCUAAUACAUGAGAAAGAGAUAUUCAAAGAGACUGAUACAAGAGUGAUGAAGAAAGUGAAUCUGUCAAUCGUCUUGAAAUCGAUAGCAAAGAGAAAUCGAGAGAACAUAAAUUAAUUUUAUCGAAUCAAUCUGAUAUUAUUUUUGAUAAGUUUAGUGGGUUUACAUUUUAAUUUGAAUGAUAAUAUUUGUUCGAAGGUGACUGAAAUGGACAUCGAUCGGCUAACUUUUUUCAGCCUCCCUCCAAAUUCAAUUAGCUUAUUCAAUUUUUAUUUUUUAAAGUUAAAAAAAAACAAUGAAGUGCACUGUCUUUGUGAAGAAAACGACUUAAAGGGGGUGGGGUGGUUUUUUUUUUUGUUUUGAUUUAAGAAUUAGUAUUACUUUUAAAAUUAUUCUUUAAGAAAUUAAAUUAUUUAAAUGCCAAGUGGCAGUCAAAGAAGAAAAAGUAUUAAGUUUUUUUGAAAAAAGUAAAAAUAAAAUAUUAUUUAAGAUUGUUUCACGCUCUUAGCGGAAGUGAAAAACACUUCUUUUGCCACAUCAACAUUUUGUGUUUAAUAGGUAUACUUUUUAAACAAUUAGGUGGUAAUAGUCAUAGUUGAGGUGCCUAAGUGAAAUAUGCGGACAACUUUAAGGGGAUGCAGAUGACUUAAACAACUACAUAGUCAUAUUAGUGUUUGUACAAAUAAAAUUUAACUUAUCAUAUCAAUAAAUAAAUUAAUAAAGUGAUAAUGUACAUUAAUUAACUAUAGUCAAGUAAACAAAGUGAAUAUGCAAAUAUAUAAAUAUACUUGGUAUAAUCACCAGACACGACUUAGUUUUUACAUUUGAAAACUACGACAAAGAAUCAUAGAUUAGGGUGGCAAAAUAGUCGUUCAAAUAACUCAUUCAUUAAUUAGAUCAAUUUAUUUUAGCUCAAUUCAAUUGAUAUGUAAUUGACUCAUAAGAAAUUUUGUUAAAAUGUUUUGAAAAUAACUUUUUUUUAUUUGAUAUGUUAAAUGUAGCGAUAAUAAAGACAAAAAUAACACUAAUUUUUUUAUAAAAGAAUAAUUAAAAUUGAAUAAGAAUUGAUCAUAUUGAAUUAUGAUCCAUAUUUUAACCAAUUUUUAGCACAAAUAACUUCUGGACAAAUUAUUAACCCAUCUAUUUAUUAUUAUAGCUCAUUGACCCACCCAAAUACGACUCGAUCUAGCCAUUUGACACCUCUAAUCAUAAAUAUUGAUAUACAAUAUUGAAAUUUUUCAGUUGAUUGUUUGAGGUUUGAAGAAGAGAUCCUAGAGGGCUACAAAAUUCAAUGGAUCGUUUCGUUUGGGUAUGCACUUGGGCUGGCCCAUUAGUCAUAACAACUACAAUAACAUAUUUCAUAUAGUAUUUCAUGAGUAUACGCAGAUCUUUUCAUUGUCUUGGUGGGGUAGAAUAAUUUUUUCGAUAGACUCUUGGCUUCAGAAAAUACAAGUGUAGAAGCUACGUCAAAAGAUUCAAAGAAAGAAAAUUACUGACAACACAAAUAUUAAAGAUAAUUAAAGAAAAAAAAAUUGCUAAUAGAGUCAACACAUGAGAAAAUGUUAGCAUAGUCCUAACUCCUAAGCCUCCAUGCUCUCUCAUGUAAAGUCAUAUCCUCGAUUAGCUAAUGACUAUUCAUGACUUUUCUAAUCAUCUCUCCUCAAUUUUUCUUCGAUCUCCCCCAACCUCUCUUCAACCCUCCUAUUGUCAACCUCUCACACCUUCAUAAAGGAGCACACAAGUGUUUCUUGUCUCCACAUUUCUGAACCAUCUCAACCUUAUUUUCCGUAUCUUAUCCACUAAUAUGGUUACUCCCACCUUGGCCCUUGACCCCUAUAUCUUAUUUCCCAUAUUGUCUCUUUUUUUUUCAAUUUUUUUUUAUCAUUUGUUUUCUAGUUUUUAAAUUUAAAAAGAUGCAACUGAAAAAGCCCACUUGUGCAUGGACCGCAUUUUGGGCUUGAACCCAGGAGUGAACUGAACCCAAUUCAAGAUGCUACUUAUAAUCGUAUUUCAUCUUAUUUCUGAGAUGUAAUUUCCAAAUAUGUUUGAGACGCGUCUUAUAAAUCAUAUAUUUGAGAUGAGAAUUAUAAAUCAUUGUUGUAAAUUUGAUUUCUAGAGGCUACGUAUAAAUUUAAAGGCGAAGUCACAGUUCUAGAUGAUAAAUUGCACUUUUAAAAUGUGAAUUGUAAAUCGCUAAUAUGUAUGAAUAUUUACUAAUUUGAUUUAUAAUUACCAUCUGAAAGUCCAAAUAAGUUGCAUUUCAUAAAAUGUGAUUUUUACAAAGUGGUGUUUCUCUCAAAAACUAAUCCUAGGAUUUAAGUUUUAAAAAUUAGUAGUCAUGUAAUGAUUUUCUUACCCUAUAUAUGCAGUGUAAUUUGAGAUGAUAUCUAGUAGGUUAUCUUGCAAUUUAUUCUAGGUUAUCAAAAGAUAAUGUUAUUAAAUAAAAUAACUGUAUUAUAUUUUACUAGACCGUAUCAUUGUAUACAUGUAUUUUGUACUACAGUUAAUGUAUAAAACUUAAACUCAUAGAAAUAUUAACUUUAAUUCAAAGAAAUCAAAAUUAAGUUUCCUCACCACCAUUUCACAAUAUGGUAGUAAAUCGACAAUCCAGACAAGAGAAAUUAAAAUCUUACUAUACUACAUUAUAUAAGACAAGCAAAUAACUUGUAAAGUUGUUUUCUACUAAUUUGUACAUUCUCACAUGGAAUGAAAAUAACACAUACAUCUGGGAUAAGACCAUCAAAGAAUCUGAUGCAUUGGGUGAGACUGCUUUUUUCUUAAUCAGAUGUUUCGAACUUGAGCAUCGAAUUUGGAUUAAUCAGGCCCUAAUACAAAUACUAGACACUGAAGGAAAACAAAAUAAACAAACAAACAAACAAAUAAGAGAAGAUAUAUAGUUGUACAUUAAUGUUGUGUCAAUUUUUAGCUGAGAUAGAAAAAAGGAAUCACGAGAUGUUUGUCUUCUUUGCCUAUCCCAGCCCAUUUGUUUCAUGUCACUAUUCUACUAACCUUUUGCCUUCCUAUGAAUACAAAGGAGAUCAAAUCGUAAUUUAAAGUUCUUAAGUUCAGAAUAAAUAUAAAUUUAUUUUUAGAAAAAUAUUAAAUUCAGAUGAACUCGCUUGUCAUGUUCUCUUAUAGAAGAAGAGCCAGUUGAGAGGCUUCACCUUUCUUUUCAUCGUCAUGCUUGCUUCUAAACACAAAGGCAGUUUCAAGUGCCAAAACAGGAGCAAAUCAACAUACCUGCUUUGGCACUUGUUUUGUAAUUUUUGUGUGGUUUCUUUAUUUUUAUUUGUUUAUCUUAUCUUCUAAUUAGUCUUUUACGUACUCCCUCCGUCCACUUUUAAUUGUCAUGUUGCGCUUUUUGAAAGUCAAUUUGACUAAUUUUCAAAGUUAAAUUAGAUUACGUUAAUUCAUUAUUUUAAACCAAAAAAAUUAGAUUUUCAAAAAACAUACGAAAAGUACAAUAAAUUGCAUUUUUUUUUGCAUAUCAAUAUGAUAAAAAAAUACAUCCUAAAAUGUUAGUCAAAAUUCUUAUAGUUUGAUUCGAAAAAAGGAAACCAUGACAAUUAAAAGUGGACGGGAGAAUAUAUUGAAAAAUUGCAUAAAAACAUUAUAAAUAGCUAUAGUACUAACAUUUACAAUAAGUAGAAACUAAAAAUAUUUAAAAAUCCAAUUAAAAAUCGAAUUAACUUUUUAAAUCAUUUAAAUUAAAAAAAAUAAAAAAUAUAUAUAUAUAUUAAGCCCGUGUUAACACGGACUUCUGAAUCUAGUAUUUAUACACCCAAGACAAAUAAGGAAUCGAUAAUGAAGUGAUGAGGGAAUUGGAGAGCAAUGAUAUGAUAAGAACAUUCAGAGAAGAAAUAAAGAAUUAAAUUCUGACAGUCAAAAGAGAAAUAAAUGAGUAUAAUGGUAGUACUAGUAUAGUCAGAGAGUCAAACAAACAUGUAAGACCUAAGUUUUAAUUAGCAUCGGUGAUGCAAUAAAUGAAACAAAUGGGCCACUCACUACAAUUAAAUCCCAUCGGUGGUUUUGGUCUAUGGGGUCCCCAAACGUUUAAUUUAAGGGUGGUUAGGUCAAGUAGUCCUCUUCUUUUUCGAUUUAAUUAUUCGGUACUAAAGUCCGACUAAUUCAGAUAUCAAAAAUAAUACUUCUAGUUUGGAGGAGAAUUAAAAAAAAUCAUUUUAUCAAAAAUUAAAAUAAUUUUUUUACUUAUUUCGAUCGGAGAAUCUAAUAGAGACGAUAUUAUAGAUAUUUUGAUCGAUGCAUUUAGAUAUUUCAUGUCCUUGGAGAUGCUUUGUAGAUGUGUGUAAGGUGAGCCAAUUGGGGAGAAUAUGCAAAGCGUUCUGUAUCGGAGGUUGAACUCAAGAAGAAUCUCAAUCAUCCCGUCACACUAUCUUUUGCUACAAUUAUCAUGUCCAUUUUUCUUUUUAGGUUUAAUAAUCUAUAUUAGAGUCACACACCGAAUGAAAAAGGGAUGAACGUACAGUUUCUUUAUAUAGUCUUGAGCAAUCCUCUUCUUUUGAGCUAGUUUUUGGAUUAAAUUUAUAUCCAAUGUCCAUUUCUUUAAUAAUAUCGAAGAUUACUAAUCAAUUAUUCAAAUUCAUGUUAUCAAGGGGGAGGAAAGAGUUUCUCAUAUUAAAAAAUGUUCUUCGAUCAUCGAGCUCGAGAUAUUUAAUUAAGGGGAAUUAAGGAACACUGAUGAUCCUAGCUACCACACCUCUGAGCUGCAAUAGUUUGGUCCACACUAAAAUCUAAAUCAACCUCAGUCACAUUAUUCUUUUUAUUUAGGUUAUCUUUUGUCAUAUGUUAUUAUUAUUAUUAGUAUAAAGUGUUCAAGCAGUCACUAUAUAUUAUCAACAAUUUGUGUGUAUAAUAGCAGCCGCAUUGCCCACUUGGCAUUAAAGGGGUUGGCAGAUAUUUAACCAUAACUUUGCUCUCAAUAUUGUUAUCGAUCAAUUUUGGUAAGUUAGUUACGUUAACGGAGAUAUAAAGUAAUUACAAUAGCAAAGACUAUAUAUUUCUUAUCCCGAAAUAAUAUGAAAUAAAUAUCAAUUUAUGACAAGAAAUAACAUCUUAGAAACUCCAUUUAUUCAAAUCCAAAUUUAUGUAGAAAUUAAAUUGUGAUAAUUAACGGUACUUUUUAUACAAACGCGUUUGCAAUUGGAAAUAAACAUAUGAAGUACACGUACAAAAGUACAUGUGGUUCAAUAUAAAACACGUUGUUUAAUUAUUACUUAGGUCUCUCGGACAACUUUUUUUGGCUAUGUACGAUUGAGAGAGGAACAAUUGGUGCUUAGAUCAUAAUCCCUUUUUUAUGGGUCAAGGACGAUAAGUUCGGUAAGGGAUAACGAUGAGAUUCAAACACAUAACCUUUAUCUGUCUGCUCUAAUAUUAUAUUAAUCGUAUUGUUGAAAAAAUUCAGGACUAUAUAUCAACUUGUGGCAGCACUAAAUUCACAAGUACAAAUUUGUAUUUGAUUUCUCUUUCUUCAGCCAAUAAUAUUCUUGCCCUAUUUUGCACGCUUGGUGCCGUUAUACGUAUAGUGAACUUUAUUGCAAGUUGGGUUUAUUAUGCAUGUAACUCUGAAAGCCUAGUUUCUUUUUUGGAUCAGCUAAUUUUUUCUUUUUAAAUAAAAAAUAAUAAUAUUUGCCUAUCAUAUUGUAUUAAAUUGGAAAACGUGCACUUGUUUUUCGACGAAAAUACAUUGUUAUUAAUAAUGUGAUUUAUGUUAUAUCAUUUGGAGGUUGUCAAAAAAAUGAAAUCAUAAAAGUGAAUGAGAAAAGUUUAACGUCUAUUUGCUUAAUGUUGUUUGUAUAAAGAUUGUGAUAUCUGAAUCUAAAUGAGUAUAUAAUGAUUAAGAUAUUAUUUCUAGAUUUGAAUGUUGAGUAAUUAAGGACCCGUUUGGUUAUGCGAUAUGGUAUCAUAAUAUGGAAUUAUGAUGUGAUAUCAUAAUAUGGAAUUAUGAGAUGAAAUUGAAGUUUUGUUUGGAAUGCGAUAUGAAAUUUUUGUGUUGUAUAUUUUCUCAUAAACCUAAGAAUUUCAUAAGUUGUAAAACUAUUAAAAUAGCCCCAAUUGUUUAUUCAAUCUUACCAAAUAAACAAAAAUUAUAAAAUCGCAUAAUAGAUUAUUACAAAGCUAUUUGUUCUCCACUUAAAUAACUCUUUCAUCUAACUUUAAUUCAAUAAAAGAAAUUGAACAUAAAUUGUAGUGUACUAGUCUUUAAUAUAAUCCUCCCACAUAGUACGGACAAUUUCCUCACGUUGAACUUGCAUUUCUCGAUCAUGUGACCGAGAAAACGAACCAACAUUGUUACUUUGAGUUGUAAUAAAUACAAAACGGUAGAAGUAAUAAAUUAGGUGUUGGAGUAAAUGAAGAGAACAAAUUUAUUACUCAACAAUCGGUUGGUGUGAGUUAAAGUGACUUAUAUGUUGGUGAGAAUAAUAAUUUUUAUAAAGUAAUGAUGUGAUUAUAAAUUUUAUUUAUAUAUGAAAUAAAUGGUUAGUAGAUAUAAAUGUGUGGUUGUUUUAACAAAAUAUAAACUUGUGGAUUAAUUUUUAUAUUAAAAAUAUCUCAAAUCAUGAUAUGAAAUUCACAUAUCAUGGUUUUGGAGAAUAUGGAAUCAGCAUAAAAUCGCAUGUCCAAACUCUGAUUCCAUCUCACGAUUCCAUAUCGUGAUAUGGUAUUGCAUGGCCAACGCCUACUAAGUCUAUACUAUCCGAUUUUCAACAUCUAAAUGAAUAAAAUUUAUUUAAAAAAUUAAAUUAUGUUCGCUAGUGAUAGUGGAGAUAGUUGGACCUAGUGGCUAGUAUGAUGGUGGUGAUAGUUAUGAUGGUGGAGGAGGUUAAUAUUAUAGUGAUUGUCGCGAUGGCGAUAGUUCAUAUAGUGGUGACGGUGAUUGUGAUUGUGUAGUUGGUCGUGGUGGUGGUGGUGACGACGUUGUGGUCGGAUGUAGUUGAUAGUAGGGAUUAGCCGUUGUGAUGUUAGUGAUUGAUAGUGAUGGUGGUGUCACGUGGUGGCGAUGACAACGGAGAUAAUGAAUAUAAAUUAUAGUAUAUGUGGUAUCAAUUGACAAUAGAAAUUGACAAUGAUGAUAAUUGUCAGUGACAGUUGUGAUAACAGAGGUGAUUGGUGGUGGCUUAUGCUGGUGGCCUAGCGAGAUGAUAAAAAUUAUCCAUACAAAAAUAUAUAUUUUAAUGAUAUGAAAAUCUUGAAGAUCUUAACGAUACAAGCAAAAAAGUGCAUUAAAUUUUAAUUUAAAUAUAUGCAUUUAGCCUAAAACGUGAAUAAUUAAGAUUCAAACCUCCAUAUUUCAAACAAUAAUACAUGAAUUGUAGCGUAAGUAUUAUUUACUAGUACUGUUUAUUAAGUUUGAUGCAUUAAAAAUCAUUACGCAAAUGCAUAUUUUUUAAGAUAUACUUUUUUUUUUUUCUCAAAAUAAAAUAUUGGUUAUUAGAUGAAGGGUUACAAACCAAACGUCCCCCUUAUGGUUGCCCUAGUUUGAGAAGAAAAAAAAAAACAGAAGGAAAUUAGGGUUGCCUUGUCUCUAGGCAUAUUUACAUACCCCUACAUUAAAUGUGUGACGAUGAGAUCAACAAUAUUGUUGAAAUUAAAAUUGACUAGAAUAAAUUAAGAAAGGGGUUUUAAUUUAUAUUUAACUGAUUGAAAGAGAUAGGCUUCAAGUUGAAGAAAAAUGCCAAUUUAGAUCCAAGACUUUGAUAUCAUUUCAUUAAAUUCAAAAUUUUAUUUUGGGAUGGAAACAUGGGAACUAAUUAAUAUCAAUUAAUAAAAAAUAUAUAUACAUAUAUGUGAAUUAUCUAGUAAAUCAGGUAGUUGGCUGCCCUAUUUGCUCAUUGUAAUUUUCUAGUAUCUUCAUUGUACGACAACAGCUAAUUUACCUACAUGCAACUAAUAAUUUUUUCAAUUUCUUUUUUUGGUAUUUGGUUUCAAUUCUUGAUGUAUUUUAUAUUUUUAUCGCUAUGCCACUAAAUAGUUGUGCGUUGAAUCUUCAGAUUAAUUCAAAUUUGUAUCGUGUAAGACCUGUUAUAAGAGAUCAAGUGUUUUUAUUAGAAUUUUUUUUUCAAUCUAAAGUUCGAACUCAAGACCUUUGAUUAAAGGUAUAUAGAGUAGUAGAGGAACAUAUAUAUCCAUCCCGCCACAAUUCUUGAUGAUGUUGUUCUUCAUAUCAUUGGUUUAAACUCAAGACCUUUGAUUAAGGGUAAAAGAACGUACAUAUUCAUCCUGCCACAAUCCUUGAUAUUAUUAUUCUUCAAAAAUAAUCUAAGGAAUACUUUAAUUUAGUUAAGACAACCUAAUUCACUCGAAAGCUAGCUUGGAAAUUGAAAAUUUGUUAAGUAUUUGUUUUUUUUAAAUAUUUCUUGGGUUACCAACUAUGUGUCACUCACAAGACUAAUGAAAUCUAAAAUACUUCACCUAAGACUUAAUUUGUCAAAAUCUUGAAAUCUUGAAAUCUCACAAGAGAAAAUGUGAGCCUAAAAAAAGAUCCAAAGUUGUCAAGAUCAAGAUUCAUGCCACUCUAGAGAAAACUACAAAUUAGGACUUUUUACAAAAGUGAGGAUAAAAUACAUUAAUUAGGCCUACUAAUAAGUAAAUGCAAACGAAAAAAAUAUGAAACAUCAAUCAUAUUCUAAGAAAUAAAAGUUAAAAGUGAAUAAAGAAAAAUGUGUGGUUUGGUAAUGCCCCAAGUAGAAAGCGAUUAAAAAUGACAUAUGCAUAGUGACAAAUAAGUGUGCCUUAAAAGAAACAUAAAAAGAUUGGUCGGACGGCUUAUGAUCACAAAAUGGUCGGUGAUUUAUUGGAAAGAUAUUAUAUUUUGGACCUCUUGCAUUUAAUAAGGAAUGUACAAACUUCAAUUCCUAUGGAUUUUCUUGGAGAAAGGUUAAUGUUAAUUGUCAAAUGAUCUAGUAUAGCUAGUUUAACAAAAUGGAGGAGAACUUGUGACUAGGGGCAAAGAGCAAUCAAGAUUGGAUAUAGUUGAUUUUUCGUGAAAUCUAUUUCAGUAAAAUAUAUAAUGUUGAUGGUCCCAAGCAGAGCACUCAAUAGGAAUAGAUUAGAGUGACCUUAUUUCGUUUUAUCAAUUUAGUGAGAAACAGAACUUCAGUUCCAAUAGAAGCAAAACAUAUUGGGUGAUAUCUUCUCAUUUAAUCAAGUUUUGUUAGGCGAAAUUAUUAGAUAUAUAUGUGUACACUAGCUCGAACACUAUUAUCAUAAAAAAAGAACUCUGAUAUAAUUAUUUCCACGCAAAGAUAAAAAUACUCUAUACUUUUCUUGUCUACUCCUUUCAAACAUAAAUAUAUAUUUUUAAACGAUCUUAAUUCUUGAACUUCAAAACACGAAACAAAGUAGACAUUUGCGAGACAUUUUAGUUUAAUAAACUAUAUCAUUCUUUUAAGAAAAACUUCUUAUACAGACAAAAGACAAGAAAAAUGUAUUCAGAGUAUAUAUUACCACGAUAAAAAUAAAUAUCUAAUAGAAGGUAUUUUGUUUUGUGAUACAAGAGAAAGGGUUGACAACCGCCAAAAUGGUCCAGGCCACGGGAAUUUCGUGUGGGAUAACACAAAUUAUUGAUGGGCCCCCAUCUCCCUUAUGGGGCCCAUUUUUCACCACUAUUACGAUACAAAUUUUGAAUUAACCGAAUCGGAUCGGAUUGAAUGGUAAACCACUUUUCAUUUUCAACUUUAAGAUUAUAAAUUUAGGUAUAAAAAAAAAAAAAUUAGCAGAGAACAAGGGUCCAACAAUUAGGAAUACACCAAAACGAACCAUUUUCUACUAGUGAAAAAAUCAUAAAUUAGACACUUUUUAAUCAUGUAAUUUAGAAAUUAAUUAAUGUCCUAAAGUUUUUAAAAUACAAGUUAAAUUCCAUAGUACUAAUUAAUAUCCUGAAAUUUUUACGUAUCAAAAAGUAACUUAGGGGACGUUCUUAUAGGCUAUGUUCUACUGCUCAUCCCAACUUUGAAUUUAUCAUAUUUUUUGGGAUAAUGCAUAAGUACCCCUUAGACUAUGAUUGAAAUCUUAGAGACACACCUAAACUUAACUAAGGUCUUAUUACACCCUUAAACUAAUUUAAAAUGGAAUAAAUAUACCACAAACACUGACAUGGCAUAGAGAGUGUGCACACUCUCUAAAAGGCAAGUGAUAAGUGCACAUAUUUAGUUAGUACACAUAUUUAUUGACAAUAAAACUUAUAUAUAUAUUUAAUUAUUUUAAUUUCUUUCUUUGUAAAAUAUUUAUUUUAAUUUCUUUUCACUUUAGACUUUUUUCUAAUUUUUUUUUUUACUUUUAAUUAUUUUUAAAAAAUUAUGUGUAUUUUUAAAAAUAAUAAUUUAUAAGUGUCCUUUAAUUUUAACAUUUUUUUGUAUGUUUUAUUUGAUUUUCUUCACUUAUUUUGAUAUCCGUUCAAAAUUAACUUAUUUUAAAUAUAAGACAUUUGAAAUCAAAUCAAAACGAAAGACAAAGAAAAUAAAAUCAAUAGAAAAAUAAAACAGAAAAAACAAUGAAUGUAAUGUGUAUUAAUUAAUUUAAAUACAAGAUUAAAAAUAUAAGAUUAUUUUUUAAAAAAAAUUGAUUUUUUUUAAAUAAGAAAAAAAUAUUAAUUUUUUUAAAAAAAGUAAUUUUUAAUUAAAAAAAUAAUAUUUACACACGUGGCAGGCGAGUGUGUACAAAUACAACCCACUUGGGUGGUUGAAGGUGCCACAUCAGCACAAAAGGUGUUCAAAAAUACGAAACAAAUGAGUUCAGGGGUAAUAGGAUCUUUGUUAAGUUUAGGUGUGUCUCUGGAAUUUCGGUUAUACUCUAGGGGUACUUAUGCCUUAUCCCUACUUUUUUCCUCAUCUUUUUCAAUCCAUAAUUUUUAAAAUUUACAAUAAGUUUGAUAUAAAAUUAAAUUCAUAGAAUUAAUAUCUUGAUUUCGUCUUAAUGAUGGAUGUACCUAAAUAUGGGAAUCAUGAAUCACUGCAGAGAACUUUUAUAAUUAAUUCUUGAAACUGUCGGAAGGGCUUCAAUAAUUUUACUAUAUGACUACUGGUGAUAUACUUAAAUAUAAAUUGAAUAAAUCUUUUAUAAUUAUUUUCUCCGUUUCAAUUUAUUCUUUAUACAUUCUUUUUUAGUCUAGCUAUUUAAAAAAAUAUUUGUUUCUUGGUUUAAUAAUUUUUUUAAUUUCAUUUUUCUACGUGACAUGUUUAAGAUUACGAGAUUCUAUUUUAUUUUAUUUUUUGCUUUCUCAAAUUUUGUGUUAAGUAAAAAUAGGAUAAACAAGUUAAAACGGAGAAAGUAUUUUCUUUGUAUGCACUUUUUUGGGUGGAAUGUCAUUUUUUAAGAAUUUUAUAGUUUUUUUUUUGUUUCUCACCCGGUGUUCGGUACCCACAUUGGAAUCCAAUUACAUUUGGAUUCGCAUCGGAAAGUCCCAUAUUGAAAUGGUAAAACACUCCCUAACAAAGGCAACUCUAUACCCAAAGUGCUCGAACCCGAGACUGCACUUUUUUGGGUGGAAAUGUCCUUUUUAAAGCAUUUUAUAGUUUUUUUUGUUUCUUACCCGGUGCCCGAUACCACAUUGGAGCCCGAUCAAAUUCGAAUUCGCACCGAAAAGUCCCACAUUGAAAAGGUAAAACAAUCCCUAACAAAGGCAACUUUGUAUCCAAGGGGCUCGAACCCGAAACCUCUUGGUUAAGGAUGAAAGAUUAUUUACCACUCCACUACCACCCUUAUUGAUAUUUUAUAGUUUUCAUUGUUAUAGGUCACAUCUGCAUAAAAUAUACACUAUGAAUCGUUUUGCCUCAAUUUUACAAGCAAUGAGAUCAUUCAAAAGAACAUUGGAGAAGUAUAUUCAAUUGUUGUUCACUCAUAAAUAAAUAAAAAGUAGCGUAGUAAUAAAUUAAUCACAAGUCCAAAUAGGGAAAUAAUCACUCUACCUAGCUACUUCUCUUUAACCUAACUCUUUCCGUAUUCAUAUAUAUACUUAUGGUUGUUCUAUUCUAUUACUUUUUUUAGACUGAUCAAUUCAUUUGAUAUAUUUCUCUUUUACCUGUCCCAAAAAAGAGUAUCAUCUUUUUAUAAUUAAAAAUUUAAAAAUUUUCUUUUAUUCUAAAUUAAAUGAUUUAUAGUUAUAUAAAUGCUUAGGAUUUGUUUCAAACCAUAAACUUAAUAAAUCUUUUUAAUAUCAGAUCAGACGAGGCCACAUAAAUUAUGACAUGGGAGGUAUUUUUAUGUGAUAGAUAUAAUCAACUACCUUGCUAGAAUGGGGAAGAAAUAAAAAGAUUUAGUUUAAGAUUUGAUCAACGAACAUGCUAGGUAAGCAUGGCGUAAGAUGGUUACCUAUACAAUAUUGUCUAAUUUAAUUUGUUAAAGUUUCAUAUGAUUACGAUUGAUUUCUCUAGUAUAAUCUAUCUAGAUUUUUCUAUACGAUAAUGAUUUUCCAUUUAAUUAAAAAGAAGACAUUUCUUAAAAUAUAAUUGAUUUUUAUGUUAGAAGUCUUUUUCGUAAAAAGGCUAGCGGCAACGGUUGUGUUACUUUGCCUUUUAAUCCAUAUUUAUAUACACAAUUGAGGAGACCGAUCAAUAUAAACUUAUAGGGCUAACGAGAAAGUCUCACAUGAGAUUUGAAAUUUCGUAAGUUAAUUUUCAAAUAAGCUAGGACGUUUUCAUUUUAGAAUUAAAAAUAUAGAUAGCUAUGUUGUGAUUCGUAUUUAUCGAAACUCCAUAAUAUACAGGCUGUGGGAUAUAUAUAUGUUGCAUGAAAUAUUGUUUCAUCUAAGCUUUUGACUUAUGACACAUCAAAGACGAGAUGAAGACAAGAUAUAGAAUAAGUAGAAACCAGAAAGGGUAAAGAAGAAAACAAAAUAAUAUAUAGAAACUUAUAAAUACAAAUUAAUGAAAUAAAAUAUACUCUAUGAAGUCAACCAUAUAAAUUGGAAGGUACUUUCACGAGAGAGAAAACAUGUAUAAACUUUUUUUUUUCUUUUUUUUUUUGGUGUGGGGCUAUAAUUAAAUUUCUAGUAGACAAGACAAAAUAAUAUAUCAUGGCUGAAUAUUUAUGUAAAGAUGAAAAAAAAUUAAAUCUGAAUAAUUCUAAGUAGGAGGCCAACUGAUCAGUCCAAUAAAUGGGGUCCAUUGAAAAUGAUUGGGGGUGGCAAAUUUCUGUUUUCCAAUAGGAUUUUCUUGAAUUCUCCUAAUCAAGAAAUUAAACUAAUAGAGUCAAUAGUUAUGUGCACCCUCCACCGGCCGUAUCAUAUUAGUUGAUUAUCUUAUUAAAAAUAGUUAUUUCAUAUUAGUUGUCUAUUUUACUAGAUCAAACAAAUAUCAAUUACUUCCUCCGUCCCAUAUAAUUAGUUGGUUAUUUCUAUAAAUAUUUAUCUCAUAUUACUUGAUCACUUUCUAAGUCAAGAUAGAAUUAAUUAACUUUUUCCAAUUUUUCCCCUACAAAUCAAUAUGGUCUUUGGAGGUUUAAACAAAUUUAAAAAUCUAAGUUUUUUUUAAGAGACUAAUUAACAUGAACAAAGAGAAAAAUAGUAAAAUUGAUUAAUCUAUUAAUUAAUGAUUUCUUAACAGCAAUGAAAAAUAGAAAGAGCUCAUCUAAUAUAUAUGGGAUGGAGGUAGUAAUUUUUUUUAUAUAUAUUACCCUUGUAAUUAUUUCUUGUUGAAAGUGUUCACAUUUGUUUGUAAAAUUUUGAAGAAGUUUUUUAAGGGGUAAGAAUUAGUAAAUUAUCUUCUGAUUUAUAUUUUCUUAAUAUGUGUAAAAAGAAGAUAAAUUACUAUGAGACGAAGGGAGUAGUAUAUAUAGAGUGUUAUUAUAAUUUAAAUGAUAUGAAGUAGGUGAAAAUAAUUAGCCUAACUUUCAUCAUAUUUGUUAAAGCACGUACGAUUUAUACCUAAUUGCAAUCAAAAGCAAAUCAAAUCUCCUUUUCUAGUUGGAUGGACUUAACUAUUAAAGAAACUUUAGGGCUUUAAUAAAAUAAUUUUGAAUUUGCAUGCCAAAUUAUAAUUAAAAAAAAGUUUAGAACAUUCAAGUUAUAUAAAUAUUCUGGAAUUUAUUUUUCUAAUAUGCUUUUCUCGUUUCUUCAAUUUUCAAAGAAGAAAGAGAGAAUUGUGACCUCAUACUCGUGACUUUAGAAAAACUAAUAAAACUAUAUUUUUUGUUCAUAAAAAUUCCAAAAGACCCGUGUAAAUGUCUUGUUUUUCUCUAAAAGAAGACACGUUUUGACUCUUCUAUAUUGCAAAAAAACAAAUUUGUAUAUAUUCUUUUAGGGGUCGAGAUAUCUAUCUUCAUAAAAUGAAAAAGAAAUUUGUUUUAUUGGUAUAUAUGCAUUCAACAAAAUUAGCGUUAUGUCUAAAAGAUAAAUUAUGUAUGUGUGGCACGUAAUGGUUUUCUUUUUAAAAUACAAAAUUCAUCAAGAUCUAAAUCACACCUCAAAAGCUAGCUCAAAAAAGGAAGAUUGUCCCACCCUUAUAAGGAUUGUUAUUUUCGGGGGCUAGCAUUGGUUGAGUUGGAUCCUGCUUUGAUAUUAUGUCAAGAUAGGUUUCGAACCUAACUCACACCCCUCAUAAGUUAGUUCAAAGGGAGGAGAAUUGUCCAAGUCUUAUAAGAAGUCCACCCAUCUUAUUAAUCAUCAAUAUGAGACUUUUUGUCAUUCUUCAACCGUUACCUCGUUAUGCAACUUAGGACAAUAGAGCUAACAUCCUACUUAGAGUUUGAUUAAAGAUCUUACGAGCCAACCAAAAAAUCAAAAAGUAGGUGCUUAUAUACAUAUAUAGAGAGAGAGACUGCGCCAUAACUAGUAUAUAUGCAGCCAACAACUUUAAGGAAUCGAAUCCUCACUCAACACACAACACAGUAAAAAUACAAGUAACCAACCAAUUGAACUAUUAAAAUUUUGCGAUGAAAUUAAAUAAGAUUAAAGUGGUGUAAUAUUAUUGAUAAAGAUGGUAAUUAGUUGUAGUGAGAGUCACGGGGUUCUCUUGACAAUGUUAAGUAGUCUCCCUCACACAAUUAUAUAUAAGUGGACUCCAACCCAUCCCCAGCCUAGCUACCUCUUCAAUUAUCUUGCGUCAAUUUUGCUUCUCUAUAAUUUUUUCUUAAAGUCUAUGUGCAUGCGCGUUCUUCUUAGUGCUUAAAAUGAACCAAAAUCAAAUGAUGGCCUAAAAAAAAAAUUCUUCAACUCAUGACAACCUACCCAAAUCUAACGACUCUCAAAUAACUAAACAUGCAAAAGAAUCAACAUUAUAAUCAUGGUAAUUGUCUUAAUUGUUUAAAUCACUAGUUUAGACCGAUCGCUGCUUUGGAUUAGGCCUCACGUAUAUUUCACGUGCAAGAGGGGAAAAACAACUAAUUUUGCCUUUAAUUAGUUCAUUUCUCAUGUGUGUGCGAGAUCAUUCUCUUUUACUGAUUCAUUUCAAGCUCAAUAAAGAAAUUUCUAAUUAUAUAAGAGAUUAUUGUAUUUCACAUAAGAGAAGUAAAAGGACUCACAAACAGUGGCAUAGCCACAUAUGGUAAUGGGUGGCUAUGAGAAAAUUAUACGAAUUAUAUGAAUAAAAAUGUUAUCUUCAUAUGUAUAUGUAUAUAAUAAAUUUUAAAUACUUUUAACCAAAUUUCUAACUCCAUCAUUGUUUACAAAGAGUCUUUCACUUUGUAUUACCAACUAUUAUAAUACAAAUACCAACAAUUUAAUACUCCUUUGUGUUCAUUUUACUUGUUAUGAUUUUUUUUUGCACGCCACUUAAAAAAAUAUUAACUAUAAAAGUAAUUUGAUAUUAAAUUAUUUAUUUAUUUUUAAUCUCAAUUUAAUACAAUUGUCUAUAUCACAUUCACACUUAAUCUCUCUCUCUCUACAUAGUACUCGUAAAGAUAAAAACUACUCCAUAAUUAAUUAUACCUUAAUACAGCUAUUUUUAAUUAGUAUAUAUGACUAAAAUGUAAGCUAGUGUAAAAAUGAAAAAGAAAUGGAGUGAUAGUAGUAAAAUGUUGGUAACAAAAAUAAGUUAAUUAAUGUGAGAAUUAAGAAAGCUCCAAACCCACCGCUAGCCAAGCUGUCCUAUUAUUUUGUAGUGUCCUUUUCUCAUCUUAACUCAACAUCUUCUCAUGUAGGGUCUCAUCGAUAGCUAUGUAGAUCUUUCUAUUAACUCCUCCCCCCCACCCCACCCCUAAUCUUCUCUCAUAAAAUAAAUAUAAUCUCCGCUUUAAUUUAUAUAUAUAUAUAUAUUUUUUUUUUUAAUUAUUUAUUUUGUUUCCCACCCGGUGUCCGGAGCCCACAUUGGAGCUCCGACUAAAUCCGGAUUGCACUCUGCAGGGUUCAUUUGGGGGUGGCGCUCCCAGCAGAAUUUUCUCUAUACCUAGGGCUCAAACCCGAAACCUUUGGUUAAGGGUGAAACACUCCCACCAGUAUACCACAACCCAUAUGUUGGUCACUUUAUAUAUCUAUAUAUGUACCCUCUAGAGUGUAUAAUUUUUUUAAUUAAUAAAUAAAGACUUUGACUUAUUGUGUGCUUGUUUAUUAUAUCUAUUUUACACUAUCUUUUCUUGUCCACAACUUUCAUUUCUCGUACAAUAACUCCAGGUAAUAUAAAUGGAGGAAGAAACUCUACCCCUUUUUAGUCUAUAUAUCAUUUGAAUUCCCUUCAUGACAAGUUACUACUACUAAAGUUAUAGUAGUAUUUUGUAUGGCAAUUGUCCCUUUUACUACAAACAUGAGUCAAUCCCAACAACAACAUCAACAACAAGAUGAUGAUGAUAACAUCAACAACACUAUUAAAGGAGAUGAUGAUGAUGAUGAUCAUGAACAUGACAUGGUCAUGCCUGGUUUUCGAUUUCAUCCUACUGAGGAAGAACUUGUAGAGUUUUAUCUUCGCCGUAAGGUUGAAGGAAAACGUUUUAAUGUCGAACUCAUCACUUUUCUUGAUCUUUAUCGCUAUGACCCUUGGGAGCUUCCUGGUAUAUACUUCUAUCCAUUUUCUCCAUCCUCUUUUUUUCUCUUCCAAUUUCCAAUUUCCAAUUUCUUUCUACGUAAUAGUAUCAGUUAGAAGCAGAUUCAGAAUUUAAAUUUUAACACAAGUUCAAUCUUUAAGGUUUUAUUAGAUUGAAUUCAUUGAACUUAUGUAAUUAUGAGUUUCAUAAUUCAAUAUACUAUAGUCUAUAUCAAUCUAUAAAAAAAAUGCUGGUUUUUAAUUGAACUUGUUGAACAAAUUGAUACAUCUCCUUUUAGGUUGUGACGGAUGGAGUAUGGAUUUAUCUUAACUCAAUACUUUCGAUGCAGAUCAUAAUUAUUAUUAUUAUUAUAUAUAUAAAAAUCAAGUAAAACUACAACAAAUAGUUUAUCUGAAUGCUUAUUUUUUAAAAUAUUAAGUUUGAACCCUAGAUCCGCCUCUGCUUUUGGGUGCUAGCACAUAAUUUUUGAAGUUGAUUGUAUACAUAAGUUUGUUUGUGUAUUUUGUUUGUUUUUAGCUUUGGCAGCAAUUGGAGAGAAGGAAUGGUAUUUCUAUGUGCCAAGAGAUAGGAAGUAUAGAAAUGGAGAUAGGCCUAAUAGGGUUACAACAUCAGGCUAUUGGAAGGCUACUGGAGCUGAUAGAAUGAUUAGAACGGAGAAUUCGCGGUCGAUUGGCCUGAAAAAGACAUUGGUUUUCUACUCAGGGAAGGCUCCUAAAGGCAUAAGAAGUAGUUGGAUUAUGAAUGAAUAUCGUCUUCCACAUCAUGAGACUGAACGCCUACAAAAGGUACUACUAUUUAGUAUCACAACCUUAAUUCACUAGUUUAUUCAAUAUGUCUUAGUUUCAAAUGGUUCAUUAGAAAACCUAGUUAUUCAUUCUUCUCUAUCUAGAGAUCUCAUGUUUCUUUGAACAUCUCAGAAAUAUUCCGUCAUAAUUAGUUAGCAUAGUCAAACCAACUCUUACACGAGCUCCCAGACAUGGGUAAACUAGGGUCACUUUUGAUUCUGCUUUGUCACUCCAUAAAUGUGUUCAAAUUUAUUGAGUUUCUUAAAUGUCAGACACAAAAACGUCCAACCAAUUGAAUGAGAAUUGACCUCCUCCACUCUUUAAAUUCACAGGCACAAAGAGGUCAAAUUCCGAUUGUUAUAUAAACUACUAAUAUGUAUUACAUUUUUAUUUUUUUUCAGGCAGAAAUUUCACUUUGUCGUGUCUAUAAAAGAGCUGGAGUGGAAGAUCAUCCAUCUCUCCCAAGAUCACUUCUAACAACAAGAGCAUCAUCUUCUUCUUCUUCUAGAGGAACAACUUCCAUCAAGAAACAACAAGUACAACAACAAGAUUCGUCAUUAAUCUCUCCAUUAUACUUAGGACAAUCUUCCCAACAACAAAUCGAUGAAAAAUUAAGUACUGAAACAAGUGCAAGUAGCACUAGUACUGAUCAUCACCACCAUCAUCAUCACCAUCAUGUUGCUACAUCACUCGGGCUCAAUUCCCUCUCAAAUUCCUACACUAACAUCGCGUUAGACCCUAUUGGGAGCGCGGUCAACUCAUCCCUAAAUAUCACAACAUCUACCUUAACACCUUUCACUUCAUUAGUAGCAACAACAAAUAAUACUGAUGAUCUCCAUAGACUAAUCAACUUAGACCAAGUCGUCGCGUUUCAUAAUAAUCAACACCAUUUUCAUCCUCCUCCUGGUGUUGUACCCCAACAAUAUCCUCCAUUGUUAUUGCAACAACCACAAUUAGCACCACAAUCUUUACUUCAUCAGGGAUCACUUCCGUCUUCCGCAGCCGCGGCUUUUUCAGACAGAUUGUGGGAAUGGAAUUCAAUUAAUCAAACAGAUGGAAGCUGCAAAGAUGAUCACUACCAAGACAAUAAUCCCUUCAAGUAAUUUCAUGAUCAUUAAACUGCACAUAUACAACAUAUAUUAUAUAUCUACUGAUAUUUUUAAUUUUGCUAGCUAGCUAGCUCUAUGAUCAAAUUAAAUAAUGUGUGUGUGGUAUCUUUGUUAUUAGGGUUUUGGUUAGUUCUGAUUAGCUAGGGUACUAUUAUUAAGCUAUUGUAAUCUUUCUAAUUACUUUCUGUACUUGAUGAAAUUAGAUAUGUGCUAAUUAAGUUAGCUCUAAAGUUUAAUUCAUCUUCGUAGGGUUUGAUUUUUAAAUUUUAUGGGGAGUAUGGAUGGACCUUUUUUUUUAAUUUUAUAUAUAGGAUUAUAACUUUAAUCUAACUUUUCAUUAAGUAAGAUGAAAAACCAGCUACUACUUUCAUGAAGAAAUAUUUUAGGAAUCAAAACAAUGUGUCUUGAUGUCCCUUUGCUGAUUAUUCAGGUAGCUGGCCAUAGAUAAACUAUUGAUCCCCUCUCGACUCAAUUUAUGUGAUCCACUUUUUUUUAAUUUGUCAAAGUAUAGCACAUGAAUUGAGAAAGAGAUAGAAGUAUUUUUCUAUAGAUGACACAAAAUGACUUUUCCAUUUGGUUGUUAAAAUUAUAUAAAAAUAUUAAUUAAAAAAAAAUAUAAAUUGAUUGUGAUCAAAUUCCUACAUCCCAUGUUACUAAAAAAGAAACUAGACAAAAAAGAAGAAGAAGAAAGAGAAGCAAAAACAAAAGAAAAGAGUUCUGUCUCAUGUUACAUGCAGAUCAUGUGAAAAAAUUAGCCCAUGAAAUUAUAAUUCAUCCAAUCCGUUUAAGUUUGUGUUGAUUAUUAGUACGUACCAAAAAAUAUAUAUAUAAAAAAUAAAUAAAACAAUUAAAACUUAGAAAGAAUUAGGCGAAUUAAGUUUUGACCCAUAUUUUAGUUCAUUUAUGCUCAUGUCAAUUUCAGUUCAAAUAACUAUUAGAGGGACAAUCCAUUUUAAUCCGCCUAAAUUCAGCAUAAUCUGUUCAUUUGACACCUCUAGACUUACAUGCACAUAGAAGCUUUAGGAAUGAAAAUGUAUGCAGUCAGUCUGGUUCCAAUAUACACACUGUUAUUCAUAAGAAUUAAUAAUGAUGCAAUUAUUGAUUCACAGACUUGUGAAGAGACAAAGCUAGAAUGCAAAAUGUUGGAAAAUUAAGGAACACUUGGAGUUGGACCCAUAAAUAUAUUUUCACAAGCCAACAUCUAAAUAGAAGACAAAUGCUUAGUGUCAAGAUUUGCCUAAAUAUAUAGUUUUGGCAGUAACUAAAAGAUUUCAUUGUUUAGUAAAAAAUCAGUUUUAAAGGUAAUUAAUUUUUGCUGGUUGUAUCCAUAUAUAGCUACAUUAAUUCUUUGGAUUAUUAUCUGUCCUAUUGGUUAGCCUGAAAAGUUUUUUACAUAUAGAUUUGCUAUUGACACUACUGCUAAGUGCUGUAUAACUUAUGAACUAUGCUCUUUCACCUAUGUUAUACUCUAUGUUAAUUUGGAGAUGUCCAUGAAGGGAAAAUGAAUGUUUCGAGCUGAAUUUAAACAGGUUAAAAUGAAUUGAAUCAAUGAAUGAGUUAUGGUCCAAUCUUUUAAUUUUAAGAAAUUACUUGCGCUGAGAUGAACUAAGUGAAACUAGGUUAAAGCAAAAUUUAUUUUCUUAAAAUUUGUUUAAUUACUAAACAAAACUAAUAUUUUUAUUUUUAUUUUUUUGUUAUACUUAUAUAUAAUAUACCUAAAAAAAAGAAAAUCAUUGGGCAGAUCAACAGAUCAACUUAAGCCAACUUUUGGGCAGAUCAUUUUAGGCAAAUUUGAAUGAAUUACAUUUUCAUAUCUCAAAGAGAAGUCCAUAGAACAUAACGUGCAUGUUGUGUCAAUUUUUUGUGCCCCUAUUCAAUUCCGCGUGGAUAUAGCUCGUGCAUGUUCUUUGUUUCAACCAAUGCUACUUUACACGGCGAAGCUAGUAAGGCUCGAGGGAUUUAUCUAAAUUCUUUUCAACGGAAAUUUAUAUUAUUCAUAUUUGAUUAAAAUUAUAUUUUAUGUAUAUUUAAUAAAUAUUAAACCACCGUCAACUUUUUUGUGUGUCUAUUUCUUCAUAAUUUAAAUCCCUAGAAGAAAAUCAUUCUCCAAUCUCCGGUCACUAAGUCUCUCUUAAUGAAUUGUGUGACCAACUCAACUAAAAACUUAUUCUCUCCGUCCACUUUUAUUUGUCAUGUUGCGCUUUUCAAAAGUCAAAUUGAUUAAUUUUUAAAAUUAAACUAGAUUAUAUUAAUUCGAUAUUUUGAACAAAAAAAUUAGAUAUUAAAAAACUUUACGAAAAAUACUAUAAAUUGCAAUUUUUUACAUAUCAAUAUGAUGAAAAACUACAUCGUAAAAUGUUAGUCAAAGUUCUUAUAAUUUCACUCUAAAAAAACUGUGACAAUUAAAAGUGGACGAAGGGAGUACCAAUAGUUUCUCACAAACUGCUGUUUAAUUGUCAAUUUUUUCCUAACUUUUUUUUUUUAUGAAAUUGCCAUCACCAAGGUUUGUCACUCUGAUGUCAGGGGUCUGGCUAGACCCUAACUAAAGGGUCAAAAAGUUAUAGUGUAUCUAUAAUUCCUAAUUGGAGAACUUCAUAUUUGUUUGCAAAGAUGAAAUAUAAUUAUAAAUGAUUAGGCGGCCAAAAUAAACUGUAAUUUCACAUGUUGCAAAGGGAAAAACGUGAUUUAGUAUGUAUGUAUAUAUAUUUGCAAUGUUAAUUUCAUUGUUAAGGCAUCUUCAAAAUUCACCAAUAAUUGGCGGUCCAUCUCACAUUCAUAUAAUAUAUACUAUACGAUAGAUACAUCGUGAUUGUGCAGCAAUAAUGCAUGUACUGGGAUUAAAGUUUAUUUAGUAAUAUUUUAUAUAAAAUUGUAAAGUCAAUAAUUAGUACUCUACUUCUUCAUCUUUAAUAUGUUUGUCUCGUUUUGAUUUGACACAAAAUUUAAGAAAAAAAUAAUAAUUAAACUUUGGUAUUAAACAUGACGUACAUGUGAAAAGUUACAAUUAAAGAGUUAUAAAAAAAACAUUUUAAAACUGAAUUUAAAAAACAAGUAAAACAAACAAAUUGAAACGAUAUAUAUAAUCUAUGACAAGUCAAGAGAAAUACGACCCUUUUAAUGUCGUCUUAUUAGACAGAUUCAGAAUUUUGAGUUUAUGGAUUUUGAAGUUUAAAGAAGAUAAACUCAUUGAACUCUCUAUGAUAAAUUAUUUGUACAAAUCAUGUGAAUUUUUGAACUAUUAAAUUUUGUCGAAUCUGAAUCUGUAGCUAGAACUCUAACUUCAAAGUUGUAAGCAAAUUUGCUGAGAUUUUUUUCUUAUUAGACGAAAAAAUGAGGACUAGGAACUUGAAUGUAUACAUUUAGAAUAGAAAAAGUAGAAACAUAUCUGAUAUCAAGAAAGCAUGUUUGAAGUGUUAUAAGAAGUUAUAAUUAAAAAAAAUUAGGAUACAAUACUUUUAAUCUUCAAUAUUUAAGUCCUAUAGAUUAAAAUUAAUUGACAAUAUAUACUUGUAUACAUAUGUAUACAGAAAUAGCUAUGUUUAGAGUUGAACUGGAGCUGAUAAAAAAAAGUUCUAGAUAUUCAUUUAUGAUAUGAUUAUCAGUUAUAUAGGGGUAUGUUAUUACACAAAAAUGACAACUCAUUUUAGAAAUAAUUUUGAACUCAGUUGUUAGCAGCAAUUACAAAACAGACAUCAAACAUAACCUCUAAGUUACAUUAAUGUUGUGUUGGUAGUGUCAACAUCCCGUCUAUGGCAAGGCCCACGAGGGGCUAAAGUAAUCUAGGAUGGAGUUAUGAUUGAACAUAACACGUGCUUGGUGUACUAAGCUAAAAAUAAAGUUGCGUCUUUGCUAUCAACUAUAACUUUUGGAGACAAAAAUACUACUUUGGAGAGCAUUUCUCAUUCUCAGUAGUAGUAGUUCAGAAUUAAUAGUGAUCAUUCAAGUAGUCUGAAUGAGUUACACUCUAUCCUCUCCAAAGUCCAGAUCACAUUUUAAAAUGUCAUUAGAUAUGUUGUUGAGUUUAAUCGCAAACGUAAAAAAUGUCGAAUAACAUAUCAAGGAAUACUUCAGCUAGAUCAGUUCAACAAGUUGCAGAGCAGUAGAAUGUACGCACAUUUUAUCUUACCCCUAAGUUGGAGACUUCAACUAAUUUUAGGAUAAAUUUCACAAUUAAUCAUAUAACUUUGAUUCUUUUUUCUUUCACUAAUAAAGUCAUAUAGCUAUGAUUUCGAAUAUAAAAAUCAUUACACUUUCACUAACUCACACCAAAAUCACAAUUGUCGAAAAUAAACUUUUCGAUGUAAUGUUUUUUCUCCACAAUAAAUAUGUAUUUAUUUUUUAUUUUAUGUAAAUUGCAAGUUAUAGUCUAUCUCAAGUCCAAAUAAAAGAGAAAAAAUAUCCAAAUGGGCCAGCAUGGAUAUAGAUGAAUCGUUUUCCAAGUCCAAUUUGUAGAAAGAUAUUUGUGAUUUUUGUGAGUUAAUAAAAGUACCGUGAUUUUUAUUUUAUGUUAGACAUUACAAUUAUGUAAUUUUGGUGGAAAAACUAAAAAGUCGUAAGCAUAUAACCAUUAGUGAAAUUUUACCCUAAUUUUAUGCUAUCUACUAUCUCUCACUAUAUUGAAUAACUCUGUUCACAAAAAAAUUAAACAUACAAAAAUUCACCUCCAAUAACAAUUUAAACCUAAAACUUUAUAAUUUCACUAGAUAAAACCCUUGAAUGUACGUCUGUGAUUCGUGAGUGCACAGUAAUUUUUUUUAACCCUUUAUACUUUAUAACUUCAAAAAGGGAGAAUUUCGCAAAUAGUCACUAUAAUAAACUUAAUUAGGCUCCUUGACUAUAGUUUAAGCUGCCUCGUUUGUAUAAUUCGCGAAUGAAUUUGUAUAAUUUGCGAAUGAAUUUGUAUAAUUCGCGGGUACUUUUGUAUAAUUGAGCUAUUUUUGUAUAAACUUGAAAUAGCAAAUUUAUACAAAUACAAACAUCUGAACAAUAAACCGUUAUACAAACUAUAUUAUACAAAAUUACAUUAUACAAAAGUUAUACAAAUUUCAAAUUAUACAAACGUGUGAAUUAUACAAAGUUAAAACCGCAACCCACGUAAUUAUCACUGAAUGUUGAUGAUGAGUGAUAAUCAACUAAAAUUAUAAUUAUUAUAAUUAAUUAACUAGAGUAUAUAUUUACUUAACCAUAUAAUUUCCCUUUAAAAAAAAAAAGAAGAAAAGAGCGAAGACCUUUCGAUAACUAAAAUCCAAGUAGUUAUCCGUGCUAUUUAUAUCCCCACAACUUUUAUUGAAAACAACAAAUGUCAAAAUCAAAACCUACAAAUACAACAUCAUAGUUCUUUUUUUUUACUCCGUUUACUUUUAUUUUAAAAAUACUUUUAAAAUAAAAAUAUAACUUUUUUAUAUUUUAUUUUAAUAUUAAUUAUUUAUUUUUCAAAUUAUUUUUAAAAUCCAACACUACACAGCGAUUAUAAUAGAUAUUAUAAUAAAUUACUCAUAUCAAUCAUUUUUUUUUAAAAAUGUUUAAAAUUAAAAAUGAACAAAUAGAGUAACAUCUUUUUUCCUAACAAAUAAAAUAAGAGAAUUUUACACAAAUCUCAUAGUGUUAAGAGCUAAUAACAUUAUAUAUUUAUUCUUUUCCAAAUUAUAAAAAAAAAAACUCUUAAAUUUGGUGUUAUUCGGAUACAUCACGUUUUAAUUUUGGUUACAUCGCUCAACGUCCCGAUACAUCACGUAUCGAUUUUGAAUACAUCACUUAACGUCUAGAUACAUCGCUUACAUCUUGAUUUUGGUGAAAUCCAAAUACAUCACAGAUUGUCUCGAUUUAAAAUACAUCGUUCAACGUCUAGAUACAUUACGUCUCGAUUCAAAUAGAUAAUCAAUGUCUCGAUACAUCACAUAUGUCUCGAUACGUUGCGUAAAGUGAUGUAUCUGAAAAUGUGAGAGAAUAGAGAUUUUUGUAAUUUUUUUAAAUCAUAUUUUUUUUUAGAGAAUAUGGUAAAAUAAGUUGGAUAUGAAUGUAAUUUUUCCAUAAAAUAUUUUCAAGUUGGAGUACAGUAUGAUUUUAACUAGAAAUAAAAAGACUUUUUACAUCAGAUUUCUGACAACUUUUUUUUUUUUUACCAGUAGAGUAGUGAUGCACAAUAUCUGUUUUUACCAAAAAACGAACAAAAAUUAAAAAAAAUAAAGACAGAUAAGAAUCUAAUCAAUUUACCAAAAACCCUUUCCCUCUCUUCCCGCUGUUUUGGUCUCAUUCUCCUCUUUCUCUCCCUACAAUUUCUGCAACUUUACUUCUUACAAUUUUCUCAUAAAAAUCUAAGCUUUUUCUUUAUGAAAUCUUCAUUUUCACUUCACAUAGCAAACUAAUUUUCAAAUUUUGAGCAACAUGAAGUGGAAACUUUAGUUCUUGGGGAAAACCCUAAUUUAUUUCAACCCACUUCUUGUUUUUUUUUUUCAAAGACUCAAUUUUUUUCUUCUUGUGGGGUUGUUAGAAAUUGCGUGUAGACAAGGGUAGUAUGGAAAAUUCGGUACCCAGGACUGUAGAAGAAGUAUUCAGCGAUUUCAAAAGUCGUAGAGCUGCUUUAAUUAAAGCCCUUACCACAGGUUUGUAGUUUUGUUUUUUUAAUUUUCAUGAACUUUUAUGGGUUUUUGAGCUUAAUUACUUUCUGGGUGUUUCUGAAUUUUGUUGGGCUUUGCUAAUUUUUUGAUAUUUUUUUUUAAAAAUAAAAUAAUAUUGCAGAUGUUGAGAAGUUUUAUCAGCAGUGUGAUCCUGGUGAGUUUCUGUUGCUCGUUUUUAGAUUGGAUUGUUGUGGUUCAUCAAUAUUUGCAUAGUUGGUGGUUCUGUUUUUAUUGAGCUUGAGGUGUAUUUCUAAAUGUAGUAUAUUUCUUAUAAGCUUUUAAUUUUUGGGAUUAUUGUCUUCAUAUAAAAAGGUGUUCAUGUUCCUACUGUAUCUUGGAAUUUCAUUGUCAAAUGUGGUAGAAGUGAUUGAGCCACAUGAUUAGGACUUUGUGACUCUUAACAUUUUAGAAUUUUAUAAUUUGCUUCUUGUCCUGUUUUUGUGUCUGUUUUGUAAUUUCAAUUCCGUUGUUCUAGGGAGUGGCCUAAAACAUUUGGUUAGAGCUUUCUGGCUGUUGUCAUCAUUUUUUUCAUUUGUCUUCUUUGGCUUUUAUGCAAGAACAGAAAGAUCAAAUCUUUGUUAAGUAGUUUAUUGCUUCAAUUGAAAAAGCAAUUCUUCUGCAUUCUUACUGUAUCUUGGAAUUUCAUUGUCAAAUGUGGUAAAAGUGAUUAAGCCACUUGAUUAGGACUCUGUGACUCUUUAACAUUUCAGAAUUUUAUAAUUUGUUUCUUGUCCUGUUUUUGUGUCGGUUUUGUUAUUUUGAUUUUCUUGUUCCAGGGAGUGGCCUAAAGUUAGAGCUUUCUGACUGUUGAUAUCAUUUUGUCAUUUGAUGUUCUUCUUUGGCUGUUAUGCAGGAAUGGAAAGAUCGUAUCUUUAUUAAGUAGUUUAUAGCUUCAAUUGAAAAAGCAAUUCUUCUGCAUUUACAACAGAAUUAUCAUGAUUUCAAACUGCAUUCCAGAACAUGAAUUGUAAAAGUGAGAUCAGUACUUAGAAUUUUAUGUCAUUUACAGUGUUGUCAAAGGCGCGCUUAAGCCUUGAAAAAGAGGCUCCAAACGUGUUGAGGGCUUCGACCGACUUAAUGUGCGUUUUAGUGUCAUCGUUAAGGCUCUAAGACAAAAUUUUCCUUGCAAAUGGGUGUUGUCUGAGGAGGCAUUUAACAAUUGAUAUUUCACUUUAUUGUGAAAAUGUUCAAUUUCUUUGUCCAUAGAUUUGUUAUUCAUGCUUAUAUUUAUUAGUUUUGUACUAAUAUUUUUAUUUUUUUUAUGUUUUUUGUAUUUUUUUCAAUUUGCAUCCUUUUUCAUUAAAGCCCACGCUUUAUUUGUGUUUAAAGCCCCAACGGACCUUAGCUUUUUUGCGCUUUUUGCUUUUGAUAAAUUGGUCAUUUAGUUAGGAUGUCAAUGUCAUAAGUGUUCUCAUCGUAAUCCUGUGUAUCAAUUCUCAAGGAAGUAGAGAUGGUAUCAAUUCUCAAGGAAGUAGAGAUGUAAAACUUCUUUUAUGUAGCAGUGAUCAUCAUUUCUCUAUCACAGUGAUGCAGUGUCUCCAACCAUCAUUAAUCUUGUUUAUGAUGUGGGUAAAAGCGCAUAUGAUUGCAUAUUAUUGCAGUGUGAAAGCACUUUGAUGUCUCCAUGACUUUUUUAAUGUAAAUGCAUGCAUUUGCUGUAUACGUAUUUAAGGUUUCUGGAGGCAGGGUAGUUACAGUGGGUGGAUAUUAUACUGUCACCUUAUGAUUAAUAAAUGUUCUUGUCUUUUUUUUUUUCUCUUUCUUGGUAAGUUUUUUUUCUUAUUUUGUUUUUUUUGGGGGAUUAGGGGUUGGGGGUUGGGGAGAUUCUGUUAUUUCUGGUCUAUGGAAAAACAUGGAAAUUCUUAGUUUGUAUUUGGCAGUUUCAGAGAUGUUUUUUUGUGCCAGCACUCGUUAAUUGUUUUUGAAGUAUUUGAUAUAGCAGUGAAACAUACCGUAACUUUACCCCGAACAUUGGACUCCUUUCUUUUAUGUGGUGUCUAACUGUUUUUAUAUAUUUUAUAAUCUCUUUAAAGAACUCUAUUUAAAGAACUGGUUUACAUUCUUUAUUUCAUUUUGCUCCCAUUUAUGGAACUGCUGAUUAUGACCUUUGUGACGAUGUAUAUCAAUAGACUACUCCCUCUCUGUAUCAAACAGUUGUGUCAGUCCUUAUGAUAGUAUCUCUCUCUUAAAUGUUCUUAGUCCUUCUCUGGAAGUUUUAAGGAUAUUAGAUUUUGCUUUUGUGUUGCAUUAUUCUUCUCCCCUUUGUUUCCUUGCUUUGAGGCUUGUUGUGUGUUUCCCCUCACUGGAUGUUCAAUUCUUGUUAUUUUAGAUCACUUAUGCAGAUCAUUUGUGAAUUGUUUAUGAAAAUUUCUGAAUUUAACCAUAUGUAUACUUUCAGAAAAGGAGAACUUGUGUCUCUAUGGGCUUCCUAAUGAAACAUGGGAAGUAAACCUCCCGGUGGAAGAGGUCCCUCCAGAACUUCCGGAACCAGCAUUGGGCAUAAAUUUUGCACGUGAUGGAAUGCAAGAAAAAGACUGGUUAUCACUUGUUGCUGUUCACAGUGAUUCAUGGCUGCUUUCUGUUGCAUUUUACUUUGGUGCAAGGUUUGGGUUCGGCAAGAGUGAAAGGUAAAAUAGCAUCCACCCUCUUUGCCGUGUCUGUUUGGUAAUUUUUGCUCGCAUUUCUUUUUAUCUUCUGGGGUUUAUCUAGUGACAUAUGUUGGGCUAUUUCUUUCCCAUAGCAGUUCCCCUCAUGCUUCUUAAAAUUCAUCUCCCCAAGCAUUUGGUGCAUCCAGAACUUGUAUGCUCCAUUGAUCAAUUUUAGGGAGAUAAGCUUCUGUGAUUGCUGUCCUUUUUUUUUUUCCAUAGCUGAGAUAAUUUUCCAUGAAAAAUCACUGAAGAAAUUUAGUCAACAAUCAUGUAUGAACGUCUCUUUUCCAGCACUGUACUUUCUAACCCAUACAGUUAGAGCUCCCUUUUUCCCUUUGAUCUCUGUUGAAGAAAUAGGUAUAUGUUUCCUUUUUGUUGUCUUCUUGCUUACCACGUAGUGUUUGACCUGUUUGUUGCCUCUCAUUGCGGUAUGUUAACCCAGCAAUCAAUCAAUCAUGAACUAGGCCUAAUCCCAGAUAAGGUGGGUUUGAUUCCCUUAUCUGCUUCAUCUCUCCAAGAUUCAGUAUUUAGAAUUCAUCAUAAUUAGACGAGCUUAUGCUUGCCGUUAAUCUACUCCAAUCGUUCUGCUUCACUGACAUAUUAAGGCUCUUAUAGACAGUUGUGACUGAUUGAUGGUGUUGAGUUUAAAACAUCUUUUUCAUUCUAAGGAUAUACUUUAUAUACAAAAGCACCAAGAAGGUGCAAAUAUAUUGAGUUUAUAACAGUAAAACUCUGAAGUAUAAGUAUUAGCUGUAAUUAGGAUUACUAAGUUGGAACUCUGGAAUGGAGAAUUUCUAGCAGUGAGAUAAUUUGGGCAAUAUGUAGAAGUCCACCUUCAUCCAAAGUUCAUUUAGGCAGUGUUUCAUAUUUUCUGUGUCAUGUAAAGAUGAUAAGAUGUACUGAUAAGCUGGAGUUGCUUUGAAAGUUGACAACACCAUCAAGAGAAUUUGGAAGAUGAUACCUGCAGCCAUUUUUUGGAGUAUCUGGAAUGAUAGGAAUAGAAGAUGCUUUGAUGAAAUAUACAACUACCUACCAAUCUCUAAAAGCUAAUUGCCUCAUGUUUUUGUAUAGUUGGUUUAUUUAUCCCCUCUAGAUUCCCCUGGUUCCUUUCUGAACUGUGUCAGCUCCCUGACUCUUAACUAGCAAUGUAAAGGAGAGCUGACCCUUUGCUACUGUACUUUUGUAACUAUUAUGCAUCUACUUGAUGCCUGCAAUAUAAUAAUUACUUCAUCAAAAAAAAAAAAGAUGUCUUAUUUCUUUGUCUUGGUGACCAUACUGAUGACUUGUUGGAGUGAAAUUCCAGACAUCUUCCAUUUUUAGGUUUCUAUAGAAUUUGUUUAUCAUUACCAUAUAAAUAUGGAAUAUAGAUUUGCAAAGCCCUUUGUCCUUUCACUAUUCUGGAGAAGGUUAUUAGGUGCUAGUUAUUAGACAAAAGCAGAUUCAUUUGCAUAGUGACAUAGUUUGUGGCAUCAUUGGAUCAGAUAAUAUUUGGUUUAGAACCAAGGAUGCCUGACAUGUUGAGAUGCUUACCUUCAGCUGGUGUUUUUGGAUAUAUCAUCAUUGAAUAAAAUAGUAUGUUGAGUGAACAGUAGUUCAGACAUGUUGAGAGAUCAUUCUGUUAUUAUUGGCUGUAGCAUCAUUGAAUAAGUUAGUGCUUAGUUGAGUAGGCAAAGAAUGUCAAACAUGUCGGGACAGCACAAAUGCUGUAUAAUACUUGGAGCAAUUUUUGAGUAGCAGGUCUUUUGCCCCUCUUUUAUACCCUUGGGUUGUCUACUUUUUGUAUCUGCUGCUAUUGUAGGUUAGAGAAACUUCUGGAUGUGAAACUAUGACUGAAAUCAUUAUAAACUGGAUUUUAUACUGGGAAACUGGUGCAUGAGAUUCCGUGAUCAUGUGUACAUGUCCAGAAAUGUUCAACUUAAAUUUGGCUUAUAUUUUGUCAAGUGUAUGGAUAGUUUGCCUAGCUAGUCCAAUCUCAUAAAUGUGUCUUCCACUGGUUUAAUGGUUAUCUGAGAUAUAUUUAGAGAGAAUAAUUGUUUUAUUUUGGAAAUCAUGUAUACAGGAAGAGGCUUUUCCAAAUGAUAAAUGAUCUCCCAACAGUGUUUGAAGUUGUUACCGGAGCUGCUAAACAGACACGUGAUCCCCCUCACAACAAUAGCAACAAAAGCAAAUCAAGUGGAAAGGUUCUCAUAUACUUAACCUAACAUAUAGAAUUACUGUUUUUUUUUUUUCCAUUUUGUUUGAGCAUAUGUUUUCUGCAUCCUCUUUGAUUUGCAGCCUCGACAGCCAGAGUCCCAACUCAAGGCAGUAAAGGUGUCUCCAUCUAAAAUGGAGAACGACAGUGGGGAGGAGGAAGAAGAAGAAGAGGAUGAACAAGGAGCAACUCUCUGUGGAGCUUGUGGUGAUAAUUAUGCGACUGAUGAAUUCUGGAUUUGCUGUGAUAUUUGCGAGAGAUGGUUCCAUGGAAAAUGUGUGAAGAUCACUCCAGCUAAAGCUGAGCAUAUCAAGCAGUACAAGUGUCCUAGUUGCAGUAGCAAGAGAGCUAAAGUCUAGAAUUUGUGGCAAGAACAAUUAAGUGGUGAUGUUGGAAGGUGUAGGAGUUUUAGCUCAAUUAUCAAAUGUCAAAAGUUAAAUGUUUGCUGAUGGAAUUGGGAUGUCCAUUUCAUGAACAUUUGCUUUCUGUUAUCUUGCUUUCGGAUUGUGUUUUAGAUUAAAAGAAAUUGUGCCUGUUAUCAUCUUGUGUUUGAAGAUCCAUUUUCACUUUUUACUUUUGUAUUUAUUAUGAGGAAUUCCCAAACUUUUGUGAUAGUUUUGAGUACCGGAACAACAACCUGCUUAAAACUUAUGAAGGUCUAUCCUUUAUACCAGUCCACCAUGACUACAAGCUUUUAAUACCCCAAUAUAGGUUAUUCUAUCUGCUUCAAUAUUUUCUUUCUUCAUCUUCUACAACAAUUCAACAGCUUCAAUCACACUGCCAUAAGCUGUUAGCAUUCCAAUCUGCUGCAACAGCUCUCUCAGGAAUUUCAUCAAACUGUUGCUGUGCAAUCUCCAAAGACUAAAACUUUCCAUACAUACCCAUAAUCGCAUUCCGAAUGAACCUACCCAACCAUGACCUCUUUUGAUAGUAGGUUAUAACCUCUGAAAAUUGGAAUAAUCUAAGUGAUUGACAGGAAGAACAAUCCACGUACCCAGUGAAAUCUCACACAAUAACAUAAACAUAUUGAUAUCAAAAGCAAGAACUAUAAGAAUAACCUAAUACACAACUUCUGAAUCGUAUACGUAUGAAAAAAAGAAAUUCAGUCUAACUUGAUUUAUCAAAAAAUGUAAAAACUAGUGAAAAAGCUACUCACCUUAAUUCAAUAUUGGAGUUUGUCUUUAUACUCAAAUCACCGCCUUUGCUAUGAUUUAUUUCAUCAGAAGAAAUAUUUACGCAACCCAAUAGGUACACUUGCUCUCUCACAUCUAUUACAACCUCUUCCCUCUUUCUCUAACUUAAUCUCCGCUUUUUCACCAAUAAGUUGAUUUGCAAAAGUAACAAACAAAUAAGUCAAAACCCUGAAAAUUAAUCCCAAAAUUAGUUGGGAACCGUAAAUAAAAUCACAAUAAGAUUAAUUUUUAGGUUAGCAAAUUCAACUUACCAUAGCCCAGAAAAAAAGGAUGAAGAUUGCUUCCGAAGGAACAAUGGUGCAAUUGAAGCCAACAAUUCUUUUGGACUAAUUACAUGUGUUAUCCGCUAUCUCUUAAAACUCUCACCCUAUCACUCAAUUUUUUUUGUUCAUCUUUGUAUCCAAAUCUCAUGAUUCUCAAAUCAUUUUUCACGACUAUUAAAUUAAAGGUAUAUUUAACUUUUUAAAAAUCCUUUAUACUUUUCUCAUUUGAGUAAAAGUAAAACCUCUUGAUAACUAUAAAACCCAAAUAAGCUAUCCGUGGUAUUUAUAUCCCCCAACUUUUAUUGGAAACAACAAAUGUCAAAAUCAAAACCCACAAAACACAAACAUCAUAGCCUUCUUUUUUUUACACCUCUGUCUCAUCAUCAAACAAGAAGAAAGAAAAGAAGACAGAAGAAUCCCUCUCCAUUCUCCAAGGCAAAAUCUUCAUCCUAAAUUCUAGUAAUAAAAUAUUCUCAAGUUGGGAGUAUUACUAUAAUUUAACAACAAAUAAAAAGACAUUUCACAUCAGAUUUCUGCCACAUUUUUUUUUUGAAAGAACCAAUAGAUCCAAGUAUUCGUACACUAGUGCUACAUGUAUCUAUUUACCAAAAAAAAAAAAACUAAAAUAAAUGCUGCUGCUAAAACCCUUUCCCCACCACCCCACUUUCCUCUUUCUUCCUGCUGUUCUCUUUCUCUUUCUAUAUCCGUUUCUUACAAUUUCUCUACUUCUCACAGUUUCUCAUAAAAAAUUGAGUUUUUCUCUUUAUGAAUCUUCAUUUUCACAGUACGUAGCAAACUAAUUUUUAAGUUUGGGUAACAUGAAGAGGAAACCCUAGUUCUUGGGGGGAAAACCCUAAUUUUCUUCAACCCACUUCUUGUUUUUUCUCAAAGACUCAAUUUUUUUCUUGUGGGGUUGUUAGAAAUAUGGAAAAUACGGUACCUAGGACUGUAGAAGAAGUAUUCAACGAUUUCAAAGGUCGUAGAGCUGGUUUAAUCAAAGCACUAACUACAGGUUUGUAGUGUUGUUUCCUUUUUUUUUCUUAGAAUUUUCAUGCACUUUUAUGGGGUUUUGAGCAUAAUUUCUUUCUGGGUGUUUCUGAAUUUUGUUGGUUUUGCUAAUUAUGAUGUUCUUGAUUUUUUUUAAAAAAUUAUGCAGAUGUCGAGAAGUUUUAUCAAUCGUGUGAUCCUGGUGAGUUUUCUGCUGCUCAGUUUUGAUGGAUUGUUGUGGUCCAUCAAUAUUUUCACAUUUGGUUCUUCUGUGCUAUGAGCUUGAGGUGUAUUUCUAAAUGCAGUAUAUUUCCUAUAGGCUAUAGCUUUAAGUUUUCCGGGACUGUUUCUUUAUGAGAAAAUGAUCAAAAUGGUCCUUAAUGUAUGGUCUUUGAUUCCAUUUGGUCCUUAAUGUAUGGAGUUGAUGGAAAUGGUCCUUUAUGUAUCAUAAAUUGUGAUCAAUUUAGUCCUUAACCCUAAAAUUUUAAUGGCAGCAAUUAUUUAAAAAAAAUUUAAACUAAAAUCGCUACACGCGGAGCGAUUUCCCAUUAUUUUUUAAGCAGUCCUCGCCUCGAGAAUUUUUAAUAAAAAAAAUUGAACUUUUUUAAGAAAAUGGCUGCUAUAGCAGCUAUUUCUAUUUUUUAAAUGCUGCUGGGGCAACGUUGUUAAAAAAAUAAAAAUCACAACAGCGAUUUUAAAGAAAAAAGAAAUUUUUUUUUGGACCGGCAGCGAUUUUUAUGUUUUUUAAAGGAGUAACAGCGUCAAUUUUGUCAGAAGAAAAUCACUCCGUCAGAAGCGAUUUUGCCCUUUUGGUUAAGAAAAAAUUGAUGUGUCAUUUUGGAAUUUUUGGAAACAGGGGAAGGAAAGUCUUGAACGAGUGCAUCUUUUACAUAUUCCGUGUAUUUUGACGGCAAAAUAAAAUAAAAUAUUAAUUUUAGGGUUAAGGACCAAAUUAAUCACAAUUUAUGAUACAUAAAGGACCGUUUUCAUCAAGUCCAUACAUUAAGGACCAAAUGGAAUCAAAGCCAUACAUUAAGUACCAUUUUGAUCAUUUUCUCGUUUCUUUAUACUCCUGUUUUUUCUUUAAAUUUCUGUUGUUUUAUGUUCCUACUGUAUUUUGGAAUUUCAUUGUCAAUUUGGUUGAGUGAUUAAGCGACUUGAUUAGGACUUUGUGACUCUUAUAUUCCUAUAAGAGUCAAGCUCAUAUAUUUUCCUAUAAGGCUAUAGCUUUUAAUUUCUGGGACUGUUUCUUUAUAUUCCUGUUUUUUCUUUAAAUUUCUGCUGUUUAAUGUUCCUAAUGUAUUUUGGGAUUUCAUUGUCAAUUUGGUAGAGUGAUUUAGCAACUUGAAUAGGACUUGUGACUUAAUAUUUCAGAAUCUUAUAAUUUGCUUCUUGUCCCGUCUUUGUGUCAGUUUUGGAACUUCAAUGUUGUUUGUCCCAAGGAGUGGCCUAGAACUCAUGGUUAGAGCUUUCUGACUGCCUAUAUAAUUUUGUCAUUUGAUGUUCUUCUUUGGCUGCCAUGCAGGAAUGGAAAGAUCAUAUCUUUAUUAAGUAGUUAAUUGUCGCCUUCAAUUUUGAAAGAGUAAUUUUUCUGCAUUUUCAACAGAAUUAUCAUGAUCUCAAACUGCAUUCCAGAAUAUGAGUUGUAAAAUGAGAUCAUUACUUAGAAUUUUGUGUCAUUUAGUGAGAAUGUCAAUGUCAGAACUGUUCUCGUUGUAGUCUUGAUGACUUUUUGUCAAUUCUCAAGGAAGAAGAGGUUAGAACUUCUUUUAUGUAGCAAUGAUCAUCAUUUCUCUAUCACAGUGGCAGAGUGUCUCCAACCAUUGUUUAUCUUGCUUACAGCAACAACAACAACAACAUACCCAAUAUAAUCCCACAAGUGGGGUCUUGAUCAUUUAUCUUGUUUAUGAUGGGUAAAAGUGCAUAUGAUUGGAGUGUUGAAACCACUUUGAUGUCUUUAUGACAUUUUUUAUGUUGAUGCAUUUGGUGUAUAUACAUACUUAAGGUGUCUGGAGGCAGCUUAGUUAAAGUGGGUUGAAGUAUGUGUUUUCUUUCCUUUUUUUUCUCUUUCUUGGUAAGUUUUUUUCUCUCUUCUCUUUUUCAUUAUUCUUUGGGGUUUUGGUGGGUGGGGUGGGGAUGGGGGGUAGGAGGUGAGAGUACUGUAUUUCUGGUCUGUGAAAAAACAAUUUGGAAAUCCUUAUUUUGCAUUUGGCAAUUUUAGAGGUGCUUUUCUUGUGCCAGUAUUCAUUAAUUGUUUUUGAAGUAUUUGAUAUAGUAGGGAAACAUACCGUGGCUUUAUCCCAAGCAUUUGAUGCAUUUCUUUUAUGCAGUGUCUAACUGUUUAUACUUAUUCGACAGUCUCUGUUAAAAACUCUAUUUUGAAGAACUGGUUUAAAUUCUUUAUUUCGUUGCUGUUAUUUAUUUUGAUCCCAUUUGCUUAAAUGUUCAUUGUGACCUUUGUGACAAUGAUAUCGAUAGACUACUCCCUCUAUAUUUCAAACAGUUGUAUCGGCCUUUAUGACAGUUUAUAUCUCUCUUUAAUGUUUUUAGUCCGAUAGAUUACACAGUUAUUUAAGGUUUCGUAGAUAGUUUAUUAAAGCCUGGAAGUUGUAAGGAUAAUUGAGUUUUCUCUUGUGUUGCAUCAUUCUUAUCCCCUUCAUUUCACAGCUUGCCCUCUCUUUUUCCUUGUAUAGAGGCUUGUUGGGUGUGUUCCUUCAUUGGAUGUUCAAUUCUUGUUUUCUAUAUAGAUCACUUAUGCAGAUCAAUUAUGAAGUGUUUAUGACAAUUUCUGGAUUUAACUAUGUUUACUUUCAGAAAAGGAGAACUUGUGUCUCUAUGGGCUUCCUAAUGAAACAUGGGAAGUAAACCUCCCUGUAGAGGAGGUGCCUCCAGAACUUCCGGAGCCAGCAUUGGGCAUAAACUUCGCACGUGAUGGAAUGCAAGAGAAAGACUGGUUAUCACUUGUUGCUGUUCACAGUGAUUCAUGGCUGCUUUCUGUUGCAUUCUACUUUGGCGCACGGUUUGGGUUCGGCAAGAGUGAAAGGUAAAAUAAAAUCUGUUACCAAUAGAUUUCACCUUUAUCGUUUUAACUGUCUUGCAAACUUGGUCCUACCCAUUAUAUUUUAUUUGAAUGUGUAUGUUUUUCCUGUUUGAUGGAAGACAUUGGAGGCCUUGGGCUACCUUUUGGCAAAUUUAAAUUAGUGUUGUGCCAUGUGCUUCCCUGCUAUUAAAUUCUUUGCGGAUUUCCCGCCCUCCCUUCUAUACUCUGUCUUUGCAUUGUAUAUUAGGUAGAUUUUGCUUGAUUUCUUUUUAUCUAUUCAGGGGUGGAUCUUGUGGCAUAAGUUGAGCUACUUCUUUGCCAUAGUUGUUCCCCUCAAGCUGCUUAAAACUCACAUUUUUCCCGUUGGAGCUUACUUUUCAUUUUUUGUUGAACUCCAUGCUUACUAACUGUUGGCUGAUGGAGGAUUUCCAAGAAGAUAUUCUUGUCAUCAAAGAUGUGAUCCUCUAAGAUGAGAAGAUAUUCUUCAUAUCAAGAUAUGAUCCUCUAAGAUCUUAGUAUAAUUGUGGUAAUCUAGAAUAUCAUAUCUCUGAUUCUUUCUCUUAAUGUAAAGAUUUAGGUGAUUCUAUUCCACAAUCUUUUAUGUAUAUAUAAAGCCAUGUACAUGACAUAGAAAAAUAUGAAUGAAAUUAUUCAAUAAUCUUAUUCCACAAUUGGAUAUGGAGACGACGGAGAUGCAAGGUGUUACCUAAUUAUGCAGUACUAUUCUGGUGGUAGUCUUAGGGAUAUACUUAAUGGUAUGUUGUCUAUUCUUAUUUUCUUUUUUUUUCUUCUAAAAACACAAAGGUUCCACAUGCUUAAUGUAGUUUUAUCUCUCUUUCUACAAAUGUGUGGAUAUGUUAUAAUUUUCUUGAUGCAGACCUGACAUAUGAUUGUGCAUUAAACACUCUAAUUGAUGUGUUUGACGGGCUGCAUCUAAUACAUACCCAUUUUGAACACGGUCGGAUAGUUCAUGCUAAUUUGAACCCGAAAAAUAUAGUGCUUGAUGAGGUAAGCACCAUUCUCAAUGAUCUAGAUCAAAAAAAUCAUCCCCGUAUACCAAAAAACUAAACUUGUAUAUUAAACAUACACCUUCAGGAGUGGAGAGCAGCACUUUGUGAUUUCAGCCUCACUCAUGAGGUUUCUAAAGACGAGGCAAUUUGCCAUAGCAACUACGUUGAAAGAGAAGCAAAAGGUAAGAAUUUUAUGUUUUAAUGAAAAACGACCUGUUCAAAUUUAGCAUGUUAAAAAGUGAUUUUCACUUUAAUCAAUUUAAGAUUCUACUAAGAUAUGAGAUAUGGCUGUCAGUGAACAUGACCAUAUGGUUGGGGAGAGAAAGAGGUUAUGGGUAUGAUUCUUGGAAAAAGGAUUUAUUUCAAAACAAAUAUUAGUCAACAGUUCUUACUAUGAGCAUUGAAUUAGUUGCCUUGCCUUGAUCUUCAUGCAUCUUGGAGUAACCAAAAUCUUUUUCGUUUUUUGUUUUCUUGGCAGGUAGGACAGAGGCAACCCAUGACAAACAAGCAGCAGAGAUAUAUGCAUUGGGAAUAAUCAUGAUUGAAGUUUUAACCAAGGAACCAAUUGGUGCACAGGAACUUGAAAAAACAGUUAGAAGGAAAAUGCAACACAAGGAGUCCAUCCGAGCGAUGAUGGUAGAGCCAAUGAAUUGCUUGACUUGACUCUCUGGUGCAUUAGUAGUGGAAGGAUAGAUCGGCCUCGAGCUUAUGAAGUCUCACACAACCUAAGACGAAUCCGAGACUCAAGUGUGUACAUGAGAAUGGCUAAAGCUGGCGAUUUACAAUCUGCUGAUCCACUAAGCCUUUUCAUGUACUGUUAUUUGAAAUAUUCUAGGACAUCUUUCCACACCAAAUACACUUCGGGAGGUAAUCACUUCACUUGUAUCCUAUUUUGCUUAGACUCUUCAAAAUGUUGUUGCACCCGUGUUGGGUCCUCCAAAAGUGCACUAUUUUAAAGGAUCCAACAUGCAGCCCACAAUUUGUAAAAGAGUCUCAACAACAUAGCUUCUUAUAUAUUUGGGUUUUUCUUGUCUUAGCAUUAUAAGAGUAACAUUUUCUGAGAUGUGGUAUAUUUCACACAUUAUAUAGUUGUUGAUAUGUAUACUCGAGCUACGUUUUGGAACUUGAUGAUUUACUUUAUUUACUUAAAAGGUUUUUAAGAGUACUGUACUAACAAGAAAUUUCUCAUUAGUGUAUCAAUGAGUUUGAGUUCUCCUUAAAUGAAAAGUUCUUCAUAUGUCGGAGCUUCUACAGUUUAGCUAUUUUCGAAUUCAACAUAUAUGGUUUCUCGUAACUAAUGAUUCAGCAGAAGCCUUACAAUAGUGCCAGAUUCUUUUGACUUUUGACUUUUAAUUUUUUGUUUUAAAAUGAGUGUUGACAUGGCUUGUUGAAUUUUUGUAAUGUUAGAAUAAUACUUUUUCUUGUUUUGAGGCGGAGAUUGUAGCUUGUUAAGUUCUCAUUCUCCAUGACAUUUGCCCAUUUUAGCACACCAAAUAUCAGAAGCUGAUAUAUUCUUUUGACUUUUUUUCCGAAGUGAUUCUCUCUUCGCCAUACAAACCCUGUGUCACUUUCAAGUAAAUAAUUCUUUGUUGUCAAAAUUGUCUAGUUCCAUGCUUGGAAAUUCUGCGAAAGUUUCGCCUAAUGGAUCAACAUCGUUUAGUUGAACAACUGAAGGAUUUGGUAGCCCGUGAUAUUGACCAAACAGCUCGUCAACACAGCAAAUUUGAAUCAUUUAAAAAGGAUGUGAUGCAUCUCUUGGAGGAACUCGAACUCAGUAUGUUAUAUUAUCUGUAUAAGAGAUGUCCAUCAUUUGAUUGGGCAAGUGAAAGAUUUGAAAAUCUGAAGGAGGGUCUUAAUCUAAUUGAUAUAACAGAGGAAAAGGUAUGGAAAAGUUUUAUUUCUUUAUGGUUUCAGAAAUUGCUAUACUCUUCUUGUCAUGUUUGUCACUUACUUCCGUACUUGUCUUCUUGUGACCCCAAAAAAAANNNNNNNNNNNNNNNNNNNNNNNNNNNNNNNNNNNNNNNNNNNNNNNNNNNNNNNNNUUACAUGGAGACUUAGAUGAGGAGAUCUAUAUGGAGGUGCCACCUGCUUUUGAAAGCAAGAAGGGAAUGGUGUGUAGACUGAAGAAGGCACUCUAUGGAUUAAAGCAAUCACCUCGUGCAUGGUUUGGAAGAUUUACAAAGGUUAUGAUCAAGCUAGGGUACCGACAAAGUCAAGGAGACCACACCUUGUUCAUACGACACUCAAAAACAGGAAAAGUGACAGCAUUGUUGGUUUAUGUGGAUGACAUCAUAGUAACAGGUGAUGAUUCAGAGGAGAUACAAAAUUUGAAGAAGUGUUUACUCAAGGAAUUUGACAUCAAAGAGCUUGGGAAAUUAAAGUAUUUUUUGGGAAUCGAAGUGGCACACUCAAAACAAGGAAUCUUUAUUUCCCAACAAAAAUAUGUGCUUGAUUUGUUGAAAGAAACAGGAAAAUUAGGGUGUAAACCAGUGGCUACACCAAUUGAAUACAAUCAUAGAUUGUGCAAUGCUCCAGAAGAUUCAGUGGUAGAUAAAGGCUUGUAUCAAAGGCUUGUAGGGAAAUUGAUUUACUUGUCCCAUACAAGGCCGGACAUUGCAUUUGCUGUAAGUGUUGUUAGCCAAUUUAUGCAUGAUCCUAGAGAAAUGCAUCUUCAAGCUGUCAACCGGAUUCUACAAUAUCUUAAAGGAAGUCCAGGAAAAGGAAUAUUAUUCAAAAGAGGAGGAAACAUGGUUUUAGAGGCUUAUACAGAUGCGGACUAUGCUGGUUCAUUAGUGGAUCGAAGGUCAAGUUCUGGAUAUUGCACCUUCUUAGGAGGAAAUCUGGUGACUUGGAGGAGUAAAAAACAAAAUGUAGUAGCUAGAUCAAGUGCAGAAUCUGAGUUUAGAUCCAUGGCGAUGGGAGUUUGUGAGUUGUUAUGGCUAAAGAUAAUCCUUGAUGAUUUGAAGAUAAGAUGGGAAGGACCUAUGAGGCUAUAUUGUGACAAUAAAUCAGCAAUAGUAUAGCUCAUAAUCCUGUACAAUAUGAUCGCACUAAGCAUAUUGAGGUAGACAGACAUUUCAUUAAGGAGAAAUUAGAUAACGGACUCAUUUGUACGCCAUUUGUAUCUACAAAAGAUCAGGUUGCUGAUGUUUUAACAAAAGGACUGCCAAACAAUAUGUUUCAAGAUCUAAUAAGCAAGCUAGGAAUGGAAGAUAUCCAUUCACCCGCUUGAGGGGGAGUGUUGGCUGAUGGAGGAUUUCCAAGAAGAUAUUCUUGUCAUCAAAAGAUGUGAUCCUCUAAGAUGAGAAGAUAUUCUUCAUAUCAAGAUAUGAUCCUCUAAGAUCUUAGUAUAAUUGUGGUAAUCUAGAAUAUCAUAUCUCUGAUUCUUUCUCUUAAUGCAAAGAUUUAGGUGAUUCUAUUCCACAAUCUUUUAUGUAUAUAUAAAGCCAUGUACAUGACAUAGAAAAAAUAUGAAUGAAAUUAUUCAAUAAUCUUAUUCCACACUAACUUGGAACUCUAGAAUAGAGAAUUGCUAGCAGUUAGAUUAUUUAGGCAAUAUAUAGAAGUCCACCUUCAACCAAAGUUCAUUUAGUGCGUUCACCUUCAACCUAAGUUCAUUUGGUCAGUGUUUCAUAUUCUUUGCGUCAUGAUAGAUGUGUUAUUUCUUUGUCUUGGUGAGUAUACUGAUGACUUGUUGCAAUGAUAUUCUUGGUGUGAUGAGAUUCCAGACAUCUCCAAUUUUUAGAAAAUAGAUGUGUUAUUGACUUAUUUCUUUGUCUUGGUGAGUAUACUGAUGACUUGUUGCAAUGAUAUUCUUGGUGUGAUGAGAUUCCAGACAUCUCCCAUUUUUAGUUUUCUACUAUAAUUUUUUUUUACUAUUAUUACCUUUUAAAUAAGGAUUAUAGAUUUGCAAUGCUCUUUGUCCUUUCACCAUUCUAGGAAGGUCAUUUGGUGCUUGUUGUUACAAAGGCAAAUCCAUUCACUUAGUGGCAUUCGUUGUGGCAUCAUUGAAUAAGAUAAUGUUUGGUUCAGCAAAGCUAAGGAUGCCUGACAUGUCGAGAUGUUUACCAUCAGCUGGUGUUUCUGAAUGUAUUAUCUUUGAAUAAAAUAGUGCUCAGCUGAGUGAACAGCAGAAGGUCUGACAUCUUGAGAGAGGUUUACUGUCAGCUGUUAUUAUUGGCUGUAGCCUGUAGCAUCUUUGAAUAUUAGUGCUAAGUGAGUAAGCGAAGGAUGUCUAGCAUGUCGGUACAUUCAGGACGGCACAAAUGCUGUAUAAUGAUGGGAGAAACUUCCAUGUAGCAGGUUUUGGUCCCUCUUUUCUACCCUGGAGUCCACUUUUUGUGUCUGCUGCCAUUGUAAGUUAGAGAAUAUUGAUGGAUGUGAAAAUAUGACUGAAAUCAUUAUAAGCUGGAGUUUAUACUGGGAAACUGGUCACAUGGGAUUCCAUAAUCAUGCGUACAUGUCCAGAAAUGUCAACUUAAAUUUGACUUAUAUCUGUCAAGUAUCUGGAUAGUUUGCCUAGCUAGAGUCCAAUCUCAUUAAUGUGCCUAUGUUGCUCGGAGUGCAUGUCGGAUCCUCCAAAAUUAGUGCAUUUUUUGGAGGAUCUGACACAAGUACGGCAUCAAUAUUGGAGAGUCCGAGCAACAUAGGUGGCUUCCAUUGGUUAAAUGGUUAUCUGAUAUUAAUUUAGGGAGGAUAAUUGUUUUACUUUGGAAAUCAUGUAUACAGGAAGAGGCUUUUCCAAAUGACAAAUGAUCUCCCAACAGUGUUUGAGGUUGUUACUGGAGCUGCUAAGCAGGCACGCGAUGCCGCUCACAACAAUAGCAGCAAAAGCAAAUCAAGUGGAAAGGUUCUCAUAUACUGGACCUAACAUAUAUAGUUACUGUUUCUUUUCCCAUUUUGUUUGAGCAUAUGUUUUCAGCUAUUAUCUUUGAUUUUCAGCCUCGACAGCCAGAGCCCCAGCCCAAGGAAGUAAAGGUGUCUCCACCUAAAAUGGAGGAUGAAAGUGGGGAGGAGGAGGAGGAAGAAGAAGAAGAAGAACAAGGGGCAACUCUCUGUGGAGCUUGUGGUGAUAAUUAUGCCACGGAUGAAUUCUGGAUUUGCUGUGAUAUUUGUGAGAGAUGGUUCCAUGGCAAAUGUGUGAAGAUUACCCCAGCAAAAGCUGAGCAUAUCAAGCAGUACAAGUGUCCUAGUUGCAGUAGCAAGAGAGCUAGAGUUUAAAAUUUGUGGCAAUUUUAGAGCAACAUCAAUUAAGUGGAGGUGUUGGAAGGUCUAGGACUUUUAGCUCAGUUAUCAGAUGUAAUCUAUGUCAAAGUUAAAUGUUUGCUGAUGGAAUUGGGAUGUCCAUUUCAUGAACAUUUGCUUUCUGUUAUCUUACUUUCGGAUUGUGUUUUAGAUGAAAUUUGUGCCUGUCAUCAUCUUGUGUUUGUGAAUCUAUUUUCAUCUUCCUUUACUUUAAUGGGUUAUCUAUAUACUACUACACUGCGGUAGUACGAGGAAUUCAGAAACUUUUUGUGAUCCUUAGUCUUGAAUACAGGAAAUUAUCACCCCUUAACUUUUUGCAUUCAUAAUUUUUCUGGAUCAAGUACACAUUCAUAAUACUAAAAUCAAAUCAACCAAUAGCCUUUCGUGAACCAUUUCUCAAUGUUCAAGUGUAUUUCUAUCCACACAACAUGAAUAUUGCUGCUGGAACAAAACCACCCAGCUGAACAUAGCUGUCAUCAGCAAUCUCCGAGCAUACUGACAAAGAUUCAGCAAAUUGCCAUAGCCUAACAUGAGACUAUUUUUCUGCAACCUAGUCAAUAUUGCUGAUCUGAGAACAAACCAUCUUGUAUCAGUGUGGUUGGUGCAGUAAGGCAUGCCUUACCAAUAGUCUUUACAAGAACAGUGCCCUUCACUGAAGGAGUGAAAUCGAUUAUUAUCCCUAACAAUGAUCUCCCUCCCCUCCAUCUUUGAAAUGAUUUUGAUUGCUGUGUGGCAAUCCCUACAUAUCCUGAGAUUCUUCACCACCCUUAUGACCGAGUGUGGUUCAGUAACAAGAAGAGCAAAAGCCACAGCCAACUUCUCGCUAUGGGUCCCUACCAUCUCUUCCAUCUCUUCUUCUUCAACAUCUUUUAAAACACAGCUCGUAUCAGCCAUAUAUCCAGCUAGCCUCAUCUUCUUUUCUGUUUCAGAGAGCACUCUAUGAAUAUCUGCAGAUCGCUCAUGUGACCUGUCACCCACUAUAAACUUGUGCAUCUCUCCCUCGUGUUCAAUCCAACUCCAUCCAGUUGUCUUCUUUACUCCUCCUAUUGUCAUCAACCCUCUCACCCUGUCUACAUCUUCCCAUCUUCUUGCUGAGGCGUAUAUGUUUGAAAGCAAAACGUAAUUACCUGAAUUUUCUGGUUCUAUUUCAAAGAGCUUACUAGCUGCAAACUCUCCAAGGUCUAUCCUUUUGUGAACUCGACUAGCAUGUAAAAGGGAACCAUAUACUCCUGCAUGUGGAUGCAUUGCCAUACUUCCAAUCAAACAUUUUGCUUCGUCUAGUUUACCAUUUCUACCUAACAAAUCAACCAUGCACGCAUAGUGAUCAGAGUCUGGAUCUUUGAUUGAAUCAAAUAUCCUUUGACCUUCUUCUAGCAGUCCACCAUGACUACAUGCAGUUAGUACCCCAACAUAGGUUAUUCGAUCUGGUUCAAUAUUUUCUUUCUUCAUCUUCCACAAUAAUUCAACAGCUUCAACGGCAUUGCCAUAAGCUGCAAAACCUGUAAUCAAUGUGUUAUAAGAAAUCACAUCUCUGGAGUCCAUCGAUUGGAAAACUUUCUCAGCGUCCUUCAUAUUACCACACUUGGAAUACAUGAAAAUCAGAGCAUUAUCACCUGAAAUGCUCAGUUUGAUUUGAUGCUUUUCCAGGAAAUUCACUGCCCAAUUACCAAAUUCCAAAGCCCCAAGGUGGCCACAGGCUGAGAUCACACUGACCAUGGUGACUUCGUCUGGCAGCACAUCUUUUGCUAUCAUAUCUUUGAAAAGGUCAAUAGCCACUUUUGACUGUCCAUUUUGAGCAUAACCAGCUAUAAUUGAAUUCCAAGAGAUGACGUUCUUCUCAGGCACCGUAUCAAAGAGCCUUCUUGCAGAAGCCAAAUCACCAACUCUUGCAUAUGCUGAAAUCAUUGCAUUCCAUGUAACUAAGUUCUUGUACGUACCUAAUUCAUCAAAGAUCUUUCUAGACAUAGCAAGGUUCCCACACUUGGCAUACAUGUCAAGUAGAGCAGUCUUUGCAAAACAAUUAAAGCGAACACCCUUGUCAUUUAUCAUCUUAACAAGCCCCUCUGCAAGGCUAGCAUCACCAUGCGAAGAACACAAAGAAAUGACAGUAACCCAUGUAGUUUCAUCAGGGCAAACCCCACAACUCAUCAUCUCAUUAAACAACCUUAUAACCUCUUCAGAACACCCAUUUUGAGCAUACCCCGACAGCAUUGCAUUCCAAGACACAACACUCCUCUCCGGCAUUUGAUCAAAAUACUUCCUAGCAUUCUCCAAAUCUUUCCUUCUUGAAUACCCAGUAACCAUAGCAGUCCAAGUAACCACAUUCUUCUCAGGCAUCAAAUCAAACAAACUCCUCGCUUCAACUUCAUUCCCCCAAUUCCAACACCCUGAAAUCAUAGCAUUCCAAUCUGCAACAGCUCUCUCAGGAAUUUCAUCAAACAGUUCCCGCGCAAUCUCCAAAGGCCCAAACUUUCCAUACAUAUCCAUAAUCGCAUUGCGAACGAACCUAUCCCAAUCAUGGCCCAUUUUGAUACAAUGCGCAUGGAAGACAACGCCCCAUUUUCCAGAUGCUUUAAUAAGAAUCGGGUAUACAAAGGCAUCAGGGGCUACAUUGCAUUUCUGCAUUUUGUCAAACAGGUAGAGAACAUCACUGUGGGCACCCAAUUGAGAGUAGAACUUGAGGAUAUUAGUGAAAAUAAAGACAUUGGGUUGGUGGACUGAAUCGAAAACUCGGCUAACAUAAGUGGGCGGAGCGUGGAGGCGCGUGCAGAGUUUGAUGAGCUGCGCCACCCAGUAGUUGUCAGAACAGAGAGAGCGUUGAAAGAGCUGCGCAUGAAGCUGUUUCAAGUGGUUUAAUUUGGUGGCUUUCAAUGCAGCUGUGUGCAAGUGUGACAUUAGAAUUUCAGUGUGCCAACAUUGGCCCUUUUUGUUAACCAACUUAACUAGUUUUUUUUUUUUGUUUCAAUUCAACUUAUAUACCAAGACUAUGUGGUAAAAAAUUGAUAUUCUAUAUUAAUAUACUAGGGAUAAUAUAUAGGGAAAAUUGUAUAUAAUAGCAAACUAUUAAUUUAAAUUAAAUGCUAUAAAUAUAGUUUGAUUUAAUUGUAGCUCAUAGCAAAUUGUUAUUAUUUCACCUCUCUCCUAGUGAAUCUCGCUCGCCACUCUCGUUCUCUCCCUCACCUCUCUCGUUUUUUAUACAAACGCAAGUGUAUAAAGUGCGUUUGUGUUUGUAUAAAGCGAGAGAAUUGUAUAUACAUAUAUUUCCGUUCCCCUCUCUCCCCUCUCCCAGAUCUCGCUCUCUCACUCGCCUCUCUCACUUUAUACAAAAAACGCAAAUUGUAUAAAAUGUGUUUGUGUUUGUAUAAAACGAGAGAAAAUUGUAUAUAUACAUAUAUUUUCGUUCCCCUCUCCCAGAUCUCGCAGAUCUCGCUCGCCACUCUCCNNNNNNNNNNNNNNNNNNNNNNNNNNNNNNNNNNNNNNNNNNNNNNNNNNNNNNNNNNNNNNNNNNNNNNNNNNNNNNNNNNNNNNNNNNNNNNNNNNNNNNNNNNNNNNNNNNNNNNNNNNNNNNNNNNNNNNNNNNNNNNNNNNNNNCUCACUCGCCUCUCUCACUUUAUACAAUUGAUAUUUUUGUAUAUGUAUACCAAAACAGAUUAUACAAUUGUUUUUUUUGUAUAUGUAUAACGAAUUAUACAUAUAUAUGUUUGCUAUGGAGCGUAAUUAUGCAAACUUUGCUAUAGCAUACAAAUAUGAAUUUUGUAUUUGCUCUAUGUGAAAGUUGCUCUAAUAUAUAACCGCCGUUUGAAUUUAUCAGGAUAUUUUAUUUAUACAUGUGAACUAUGCCAUAUUCCAUCUGAACAUCUCAAUUCUUAAUAAGAUGUUUUGAAUUAGAAACUCUCGAUUCAAAUUCUGAAAAGAUUUUUUCGUGUGUUUUCAUUUAGGUAUUAGGUAGUUAAGUCAAUCACAUAAAAUAUUUCAUUUUUUUUAAUUAUAUACAUUCACCUUAAUAAAUCGUAAAACUAUAUUUUCUACUUAAGGUUGAUUUGUAUAAUUUAAGGAGAUGAUAAAUUUUGUGUUUUUUUUCUUCAAAAUUUAAAUCGAAAGUGUCUAGCUGAAACACUUGAUUUAAUUGAGUGUCUAAAUAGAAUAUCUUGAAAUGUCGAAAGUUUAUAUAGGUAUAAAAUGCUUCAAGUAUAAAUUUAUUCGCAAUAUAACAUUUGUUUUGAGAGAACAACAACACGAUGGUCACUACAAUCCCAUAAAAUGUAGUUUGGAAAUGAUAGACGGUAUGCAAACUUUAUAGAGGUAGAGAGACUUUCCGAUAGACUCAAUACUCAAGUGGUUUUAAGAGAAAAAGAUACAAAAAGAGAAAAGGAAGAGAAACAAGAAGAUUCUAAUCCCACUCAAGCCCAAGUGUAACGCAAAACCAAACAAACCCCAAAACUCUUGGGUUGAACCCAUUUGUAAAACCUAAUUCCCAAAAUUCCAUUUCAGCAGCCCAUUUUUCCCCCAAAAAACCCUUAAUUCUUUUCAAACUGCGAAAUCCGUUACCUUCUAAACCCCCAUUAAUCCCUUCGCCGGCGAUUUUGCCGGAAAACCCAACACCAUCUUUCUGAUUAGGUGACCCAUGGCGGAAGAGAGACGCAUGGUAACAGUGGGAGGGAAAGGCUCAUCACUGUCAUCUUCCUCUGUAUUUGAUAUUGCCAGUGGACUCAGUCGUCUGAGCAUAGACUCUUCAGCACUCUCCAAAGUAUCGUCUUCCUCUAAUUCUAAAACCAGCAAGACUAAUGCGCCUACGGUGUCUGCAUCAUUUUCAAUUCUCAGUAAUUUAACACCCGAUGAGGCUAGAGCUUCUCUCGUGGUCCUCCUAAACAAGCUUUUGCUUUCUUCUUCCACUUCUGCAGCUGUUAAUCAGCUCUCUGAUAUCAUCCUUAAGGAUGUGUCGUCGUCCUCUAAUUUACAAAUUUCAUUUGAUAACACUAUUGAUGGCGUUUCUCCAGGUGAUUUUUCUGUGGCAGCAAUAGCUGGAAUCUCCGCUAUCUUGGAUCAUCAAAGUUCAGCUUUGUCUGUUAUUACUGAUGCUAUUGCUGCCUUGUCCUGCGAGGCCUUGGGGGCUGACAUUUCAGCUUUCAAUUUGAAUGAUUCCGGUGAUGGUUCAUCUGCCAAGGACGUUGUUUCUGUGGCUUCUGACUUGAAGAUCUUGCUUAACGGUUCUAAAUUUGUUAACCGUGAGGGUGAUGAACCUGCAGUUUCUGGUGUUCCCGUGGUGCACGGCAAGUUUAGGGAGAUUUCCCGGCUUCUGCACUCCAGCACCCGUGUCCAAUUGAACUCUGCAAUUGUAUCCAAUUCUGGAUCUUCUGGUACAGCCAGCUCCAUGUGCACCACGUUGUUUUCUUUGGCUGUGGCCCUCAAGGAUUUGGGUAACAUCAGUUAUAACCGAGCAAAGCACAUUGUCGAUUCUCGCAUUGCUGGAGAUGAUGAAUUUCCUGCAAUGCUGAUAAAAGAAUGUCCUCGCCCUGAUCAGCUAAAAGCUCUUUUCGCAUCUUUGGUGUCAGCUCACUCGGAUGAGGAAUAUGUUAAGUUCUCACAUGAUGUCAGCUCUUUACUGGUGAUGGUAGAACAAAUAAUUUCUUGGGAAGCCCUGGCUGCUUUCCUUUCCUUGGAAGGAAGGGACUUCAUUACUUCAGGUGAUACGAGUGUAGGCGAGGACAGUGCAAAGACAGCAGGUAAAAAAGGAGCAAAGAAGAAGAAGAUUCUGGGUAAAGGUACCACCGCUCUGGUGCAGUUUUUGAAGGAUAGGCUGCUGAGCAUGCCAAUUCAGACUGAAGUGUCCCAGACUGUCAUGGUUUUGGAGAAUUUGGUUCGCAAUUUCUUGUCACUACUGGACCCAAAAGACUUGGGAUUUGACACUUUACUGAAA